AUGGACUUGUGGGUUGCCCUUCACCCUGAUCUUUCGUCGAGACCAGAGUACUAUGAUGCAAUAUUGAAUGGUCUCGAGAUCUUCAAGAUACAGAAUUAUGGAAAUAACAGUCUUAAUGGGCUCAACCGUCCCAUUCCAUCUGUUGAACCUGAUGGGAAGCCUGGUGGAAGAAACCCAAAGGUUGCUGCACCAGCAGCCAUUGGUGGAGCUGUUGGUGGAUUUGUUGUGCUACUGAUUGCCUCUAUUGGUGUGUGCAUCAUCUGCAGAAGAAAGAAGAAGGUAGCCAAGGAAUCUGGGAAAUCUGAUGAUGGUCACUGGACUCCUCUCACUGAUUACAGCAAGUCACAAUCAAACACCUCAGGAAAGACAACCAACACAGGGAGCCGCACAUCGACGUUGCCAUCUAAUCUUUGUCGUCAUUUCUCAUUUAGUGAAAUCCAGGCUGCCACCAAUAAUUUUGAUCAAACCUCACUCCUUGGCAAAGGUGGGUUUGGGAAUGUGUACCUUGGAGAGAUAGAUAGUGGCACAAAGGUGGCAAUCAAGCGUGGCAACCCAAUGUCUGAGCAGGGUGUUCAUGAGUUCCAGACUGAGAUUGAGAUGUUGUCAAAGCUCCGUCACCGCCACCUUGUGUCAUUGAUUGGGUAUUGUGAGGAUAUGAAUGAGAUGAUUUUAGUGUACGACUACAUGGCCAAUGGAACUCUUAGGGAGCACUUGUACAACAGCAAGAAGGCACCACUCUCAUGGAAGAGUCGGCUUGAGAUCUGCAUCGGUGCAGCUCGGGGUCUGCAUUACCUUCAUACAGGUGCAAAAUAUACCAUCAUACACCGAGACGUCAAGACCACCAAUAUUUUGUUGGAUGACAAGUUGAUUGCUAAGGUUUCUGACUUUGGCCUGUCGAAGACUGGUCCAAAUGUCGAUAACACUCAUGUGAGCACAGUUGUGAAGGGAAGCUUUGGAUACCUCGACCCUGAGUACUUCCGACGGCAGCAGCUCACUGAGAAAUCUGAUGUCUACUCGUUUGGGGUUGUGCUGUUUGAGGUCCUCUGCGCGCGCCCUGCCCUGAGCCCCUCACUUCCAAAGGAGCAAGUGAGCCUUGCCGAUUGGGCACUGCACUGCCAGAAGAAAGGCAUUCUUGGCCAGAUCAUCGACCCAUAUCUCCAAGGGAAAAUUUCUCUCCAAUGCUUCAUGAAAUUCGCAGAGACCGCAGAGAAGUGUGUGGCUGAUCACAGCAUUGACAGGCCAUCUAUGGCCGAUGUCCUCUGGAACCUUGAAUUUGCACUCCAGCUGCAGGAGAGUGCAGAGGACAACAGCAGCCUCACCAAUGGGACAUCAUCAAACACAUCACCACUUAUCGUGCCCAGGCUUCACUCGGAUGAACCAUCGACAGACACAACCACUACCACAUCAACCACAAUGAGCUUGACAGGGCAGAGCCUUGCAAGUAUGGAGUCAGACGGGCUGACCCCAAGCAGUGUCUUCUCACAGCUCAUGAAUCCAGGUGGCCGGUGAAAGCCAACUGUAAGCUAGAAUUGCAGUUAAUAUCUUCAGAUUUGCUAUGUAUUUCCAGCUUCGUGGUAUAUAUAACUAACUAGUAUAUUUAUCAUAUAGACAUGUUCAGCUCCUAUUAUAUAGAACCGGUAUAUAUUUUUGUCUAGUCGAAAUCACUGUAAUUGUAUGGCUAUUGCCAAGGUACUGUGUUUUCCAUUAUCAUUGAAAAGCUUUUAGAGAUACGAAUCUCACUUAAGGAUCGAUUUGUAAAAUUUACAUGUGCAAGCAAGGUGUCACUAUUUAGUUCCCCUGACAGCAAUCUCCUUUACUUAAUAGUACACGAAUCGGGAGACAUACAAGGUUAAAAUGGGUUACUGACUGCAACAUGUGGUCAAAUGGGCAACUGACUGCAACAUGUGGAAAUCUGUAUUUUCAUUUCUUAGACCAAAAUGCCUCUGUCGCAGAUACAAACUUAGUUCAGUGCAGUAUUUGACUAUCAGACCAUAGUAGUCAUAGCAAAACCUGUUGCUACCACCUUUCCAUCUGUCUGUGUUCAUGUGUAUAGUACACAGAGAGCCUGCAUUGUGAUCGUGUCCACUAUUAACUUGAGAGGCACUGCCAGAUGAAAUUAUCAGAACAUACUACAUGACACUGCAUUGUUAAAUUACCAUCUAGCAAUGCCUCAACUUCAAGUCCAUGAGCUUCUUGGUUGAAAAGGACAUGUCAAAAAGGGAAAGCAUGGUUAUUGAUAGUAGAAAUAUCAUAAUUAUGUAUUAUCCAUUUUGCAGCAAAUUGGAAAAGGUUUUCUUGUUUGUGCUAGCUGUUUUAUCUCCUCCAUGAUGAAAUCACGGAAUGAUGCAAACUGUUCCCACAAUUGCUUAAGAUCUAGGUCACUGAAUUUUAUAUAAAUAGCCCAUGAGGCUCUUUAUAGAUCAAUCUACAAUUUGCCCUAUAUUUUCAUAUUGUCACUGGUAUAGCGCUGCUGUCUCCACAGCUUCCGCCACACCGACCCCACCCAUGUCUGAUCUCUCUAUCAGUGGCUGGAAACCUGCGACCUGGAUUUUAGGGUUCAUGCAUGCCACCGACCACUGAUUGGGCUAGAGUUGUUACCGAUCCUUUUUACAUAGGAUUUUUCUCUAUUUUUUCCGAUCAUAAAUUUGUUUGCAUAAUCCUGCUGACCCGUCAGUACUCCACAAUUCGGACUUCGACCUCUCCAAUGCUUCCUAGCUUGCUUCAUUCUUUAUGCAAUACAAUCUUUGUAAACCUAGCUUGCUUUAUUCUUAAAUGAAUCAGCAGUACUGCUAGGUCGAUCCAGCCAUGGGCGCCCUAGCCAUGGUGAUAUUGUGCCGGGGUGCCACCUGAUCCAUGCGGUGGACAUAGGUUAUUCUUAUUUACUUAUUUAUUUUUAUCCUCUGUUAUCAUCUAAACUUACUCUAGAGUUCUGCGGUAUAAAGUUAAGCUAUUUUGUAUGCUUUCUUAUGCAAUCAACCGUUUUAAUUGAUUUGGCUCAAAUACAAUCUGAUCCAAUUACUUGGAUAGUUAUGUUCAACUUUUUAAUUAUGUCAUUUGUUAAAAAAAAUGCGAAUUGAUGGUCAUGUUCGAAUUGACAUAAGUCUUCUUUGGUUCCAUCCAUUAUAAAAAGCAUGUCAGAACCACGUAUCAAAUAAAAUUUACUGUAUGUUAUAUGUAACAGAAAAAAUACACUAAAAUGAAAUGAAGAAUCCAAUCACUAGAAGAAAAGUGGGUCAAUCGUCUAUAGUUAUUUUGCAUACUCUAUUUUGAGUAUCCCGACAUCACAAAUACUUGGAUUUUUUUGGCCUAUUUAGUUUGUCUGAAAUGUCAUAUUUAAUUGAUCGGAUAGUAGCAGUUACUUCAUCUUAUCUUUUUUUUUAAGUAAUGCAUGCAACCCAAGAUCCGUACUUUCUAAUAUUUGACCGACCUUGUUUUUUAAAUUCGUAGAUUACUAUAUAUAUAUACAAAUUAAUUUCAUGAGCAUAAAUAUUUUAAUAUACUCUGAGUCAAACCGUAGCGGUUGGAGAUCGUAUCAAGUCAAACCAUACUUUACAUUUUCAGAAAGAGGAAGUAUGCACUGCUUCUUUGUAAUCGAAUUUCUAUUUUGGUAAUUCGGUUGAGUGCAUUUUGCAUCGGGGACAAAUUAAUUGGAUUUUACUAUUACUAAUUGGAGGCUUCUUUUGAAACCUCCAGAUGAAUCCACCUAGGAUUCCUAGGUGAACACUUUAGAAAAAGAGAGAAAUUCUAAAAAUUCUUAAAAAAAAUAAAAUAUCCGGCCAUCAGUUAGUAAUAGUAAGAUUUUAAUAGCCGUUGGAUGUACUUGAUUUCUAAAAUUACCUACCAAUACUAUUAUUAAGAAUUAACAAAAAUAAUCCCAUAUAUCUAUGUCUAAAUACCCACGUAUGCCACUAUAGAAAAAUUUUAAUCUAAACGAUCUGCCGGUCACAUCUUACAUAAUAAAUCUCUUUGCUUGAAAUAAAAUAAAAAAUCAUCUAACUAUCAUGUCCUUCCGGUCACAUGUGACGCAAUUAAUCUCUUGCCCUUAAUCUCUCUCACAUUUCACUAAGCAGAGAAUUGGCUUUCGAUGCGCACCCUUUUGUCCCGGUUUAAAGUUGGUCCGGGAUAAAAGGUUUACCAACCGGGACUAAAGUUCGGUCACUGGUGGGGGGCUCACCAACCGGGACCUUUUAUCCCGGUUGCAAAGGCUAGUGGGAAAAAAAGACCCUGAGAGGCCUUUUAUCCCGGUUUGAAACACCAACCGGGAUAAAAGGGUCCCCAACGAGGUGACUGAAAGAGGACUAAAUCCCUCGAACCCUUUUAUCCCGGUUUGUAAUACCAACCGGGAUAAAAGGGGGUCUUUUAUCCUGGUUGGUGUUUCCAACCGGGAUAAAAGGGUCCCCACGAGUUAAUACAAAAGGAUAGCAUCCCCUAUAUAGUCCCAGUUGAGUGACCCGGGACAAAAGAUUCCCCUUGUCCCGGUUGGUUUAUCCCGUAUGGAUUUUCGGGAGAUUUGCACCCUACCAACCGGAACUAAAGGCCAAUUCUCUAUUAGUGUUUAAAUCAUAAAAAAGAGUCUAUCAUGAAAGGAUCUUUAGCUAAUACAAAUAACAAACAAACUAGAUACGUACGUGCAUAUAGAUAUGCCUGCCGAUCAGAUGUAGCGUAAUCUCUUGUCUUCAAUCUUUCUCCCAUAUUUAAAUCAUAAAACAAUCUAUCCUAAAGGGUUGUUAGCUAAUACAAUUAACAAAUUAGAUACUCUUACGUGUAUAUAAAAAGAGAGGUGCCGUCUUUCCCAAAACAACUCUUUUCAUUUGUGUACUGCUUCAUCAACUAGGGCCUGCUGCUACUUUCAUCAACAGAACUAGGCCCUGCUACUAUUCAACAGAAAGGUACGAUUAACUUGCCUUGAACUGUUAUUCCUAUUGAAGGUUCAAGUGCUACGGCCAGGGAACCUUUUAGACCUUUCAAAUCUCAAUUUGUUUAAUUUCCCUUCUACAAUUAGAUUAAUUUUUCAUGGCAUGUGUUACGCCUACUAAACCAUUUGUUUAUUGUUUGGCCUGCUACGUGCUAGGUAUAGAUGACUUCGGAUUGAUCAAAAUCCGUGAUAUUGUGCUCAUGAUCGAGUAGGAAGUUAAUUCAUCUUUCUCUCGUCCAAAACAGCUACAAAACUUUCAAUGAUUACAUGCAUGCUACAGAACUUCUGUUGAACUCAAAAUAUCUUCUAUAGUGCUCUUCCAAACAAUUUAAUUUGUAAUCAGAUAUUUAAAUACAUAUAUUUAAAUACAAAAUUUUAAAUUUGCAGUGACCAUGAAGUUAAAGUUAGAUUUUGGGGAGACAAAGUUGAGGAGGUUGAUGAUAGGACAAAAUCCCAUGUCAUCGCAAUAACAUCUACAACUGUGAGGAAAUUUAGCACUAAGUCAUCAUUUAAUAUGAGCUUUUCAAUAUUUUUCAUUCAACAAACUAACCUCCUAAGAAAUUAAAUUAUUGAUAUUUUCUCAAGGUAAUCAAUAUCAUCAACCAAUGCAACAAAAGUUUAUGUAGAUCUACCUAUUCCUGAAACUAAGGAUGCACACGACAGGUAAAACAAAUUUAGAUAUUUGUUUUCUAUUUAAGCUAUGUAGCAUGCACUCUAACAUGAUAAAUUCUUUUUUAUGAAAAAAGCUUGAUAAUAUUAUCAAAGAGAGAUUCAUAUUGAGAAUCAUCUAAAAGGGACAUUGGAAGACCAAAUACAGUACAACAGAAGAACUUUAGAAGAAUUGAAUUCGAUAUUAUUUGACAUAUCAAAUCAGGUAUGCGUUAGUUUGUUCAUUAUAGAUUAUCCUGUUUAAAGACUUACAUACAUACUGAUGGUAUUGUUUCUACUUACAGGAUAAGAUAUUUACCGUUGAAGCAACAAUAAAUGAAACUAAUGCAACAUUUUGGUUUGUACUACAUCUCAUGUAGUAGAGGCGAUUGUAAUAAGCAACUUGAAAAAAAGUUUGAUCACUACUAUUGCAAUAAAUAUGACAAGAGAGUUGAACCUAAAGCACAGUAAAUUAUUUAGUACUUUACAAUCUUAUUAUAGUACUCAUAUUUCUAAUAGGAGAAAAAUGUCUGCCGAUAUAAAAUUAAGCUUCAAAAAGGUGAUCCAACAGCAGUUGCAACUUGUGUAGCUUUUGACAAGGAAGCACAAAUGGUAAUUAAUGAAUCGGCAGAUAUGUGGACAAACAUUGAUUUUUCAGUUCAGAAUGACCGAGUACAACUUGACAAGUUUUUGACCUGAUUAUACUGUUCCAAAGAUACUUUUCCAACAGAAAAGAUCAGUUCAAGAAUUGACAUGCAAAGUGUCAAAAAGGUAACACAUUUUCAUUAUUACUAAGUAUUUUAUUGCACCUUUUCUUUUGAAUCCUUACUAUUUGAUAAGUUUACUGUAUCGAUGAAAUAAAUUCUGACCUAAAUUUAUUUUCUUUUUGAUUAUUUGAAGGAAGUAGAAGACAACUCAUACAAAGGCUGCACAAUAACUACUGAAAAUGAAGAGGUAGACACUGACGACUCUUUUACCAGAAAAAACAUUUGUAGAAGAAGACACAAGAGAUGGACACGAUGAAAAGAGGAUAAUAUUAUCGUCUCCUUUACAAGGGUGCACUAUUUACAGGGGACAAAACUACCAAUAUGCUAUGAUGAUAUGUCAUUCUAUUCAACACCUAAACUAUUUGUGUCAUUUAUGUGUAACGUCGUUGAGGAAGAAGAAGGUCAAAGACCAUUACCUAACAUCAACAGUACAGUGUUUCAAGAUAACAUGAAGAAAUUGACGAGAGAUAUAAAACGUGGACUACAAUGUAGGGAACCUAUUGCAGGUAAAUAUGAACAUCUCAUAUUCAAGUAUGCUGCUAAUUAUUCAUUUAUAGGUGAGCUAACAAUAUCCAUUUUCAAUGUAGAUAUCUACAUGAUUGAGUUCCAAAAGACGGGCCUCCCACAUGCUCAUAUACUUAAAUUUGAUUAAUAUCUGCUACAUUGGGAAGUACCGAGGAGACACAUGAAACAUAUUGAUUUUCCUUUUUUUAUUGUCAUUGUACUUAUUACCAAUUUUAAAGAAUAGUAUCCACUAUAAAAAAUGUAUUGGUCUCACUACCAAUCAUAACAACCAAUGCUCAUUAAUGUAUUAUGUACUAUUUAAAUUAUAUGAUGUCAUAAGCAUUAAGAAAAUAACACAUAAAAGAAAGCAAAAAAAUAGAAAAUAUUAUUGAUUGUUCUCCCUAAUCUAAAUAAUAACUUAUAAGUACUAGCCCGUGCGGAUGCACGGGUUGAUGGACUAGUUUGCUAAUGAAAAUCCAGCCCAGCCCGAAGCAUGGCCCAGCAAAAUGAUUGGAAACUUGCAAUGGAUUCCUUUUACCGGCGUUGGAAUCCUUACCUGAUCCGUCCCACGUGAAAUCUAGCGGCGCCGGUUACCAUCGCAGUGAUGCCUAGAAAACCCCCAUUGACCCCUGUGCCCUAGCAUCGAUCCCCCACAUUGCCGUCACGCCGACAACCCCCUCCGCGCCUUGCAACCGCCGUUCCGCCGAAAUCCCCUCCGCGCGUCGCAAUGCCAUCGAGGAAGAAGAAGCAGCAGGCCCAGAAGGCGGCGAAUGAAACGGUGAGCGCCAAGUGUUACUCGGCCAUGGAGGUGGAUCCCGCCAAAGAAGACCUCAGCCUCCUGGAGGCCCUCAGGUAUACCACUUGUACUACACAUCGAUCGCGCGUGCACCUGCAUCCUUUGUUCUGAUGAUUGUCCAGAAAAGAUUUAAUCUUUGUCAAACGAGCAAGGUAACUAAUAAGGCGAUCGAUGACGCGAGUGCGCGACAACACACGGCGUACCUGAUAGGCCAAUAUCUGUAGAUAAACAAAUCUUGGGGAUUGCUGGCGGCUUAAGAUUUGCGUAGAUCUGAGCUACGUUAACGAAACUCAUGAUGGAUUGAAACACGCGCGGUGCUGAUUAUGUGCUUGCAGCAUAUUAUUCCAUAGGUCUGAUUUUGCCCAUGUACGCCAUCGUUUUGGCCAACACUUAAUUGUUGGGCAGUGCAGUGAUUUUAUUAGGUCUCUGGUAGGUUUCCGGUCCUAGCAAUCACUGCUGCAUGCUAAUCAGGUUCAUAGUGCUUGAUCAAUAACCACGUGCCAUUGAUUCGAUUUGGUGUCGCUACAUAUGAAUGUACUUGGUGAUGGCCGUGUUAUAACAUGUAUACAAAUUGAUGGUUAAACUAAGAGAAGCUUUCACUAAUCUGAUCUUGCUUGAAUCAAUACAGAGAACCAUUGCAAAUUCCGUUUUUUUAGUGUUUGCAGACUAUAUUAUUCUGCAUAGGUUGCACUUGCACAUUACACUCUCCACGGAUUUUCUGUGGAUAAUCUUAUACUUGGUACCAAUUUUAAAUUGGUGCUCUGCUUUUUCAUAUUCAUGUUUGUGUGGUUCACCAUGCAGUAAUUUUUCAAUUAGGUUUUAUUGUCUGACUAUUUGAUGUAACUGUUGGCUCAAAUGGAUCAUUUUCUCAUUAACCUAAGGGCAAUAGCCCAAUUUUGGAACAUAUAUUGGUAGCUAAUAGAGCUACUAGACUUAACUAACAAUCUCCCCCUAAGUCUAGCAGCUUUUACGUAGAAAUGAAAGUAUAAUUGGUGAUAAGGUGCACGUAGGCACGAACCACCAAUGGAUACUAGUGCUCACAGGCAUUACUAGUAUAUUAUUCUAUCACCAUAAAGACUUAACCCUUCCUGAGUGUUGAUGCGGUUGCCUUGACGCUCCCUUCCUCAACAAACUUGAGCGGACUUACUAUCAAGCGUCCAUCUGCAUGUGCCAGGCCGCGUGUCCCUUAGUCUCAACAAAGGAGCGAGACUCACCGUUGUCGCGCGUCACGUAAAGGACAGCACUGGUCCCGUCCUGGCACCGGCUGGUCGCCGAGAAUGUCCGCCAUGGUGCUGUACCACAGUGGCUCGCCAUUGUGGUGCACGUCAACGCGGUCCUCAUCCUGAGAGAGCGGAGUGGCAAAACUCACCGAGCAGUCCAGUCAAGAGCUCGCCAUAGUCUGUGGAAACACAGGGACUAGGGUAGGCACGCUCGGCGAAGAAGAGCUGCCCACUCCCAUAGGUCCCACAGCCACCAUCCACCAUCUUGCCUUGCACCAUCUCCUUGGUGCUGAGCUGUGCCUCCUCCGCGUAGAGGACGUAGAGGUUGUUCUUCCCCUAUCCACCUUGGCAAGGAGGCGGCAGCGUCGAUCCCAGAUGCGGAGCACUCCGCUGUCGAUCUCCACGCGCGACCCGUUCUCAUCCAGCUGCCUGAGGCUAAUGAUCGAGUUCCUCAGUGUGGGAAUGUAGUAGACACCAGUGAGGAGCCGGUGCUUGCUAGUCUUGGCGAUGAGGAUGACAGAGCCAACGCCCUUGAACUCCACAGCCGAAGAGUUGCCAAACUUUACGGAGCUGCGCACGUCAAUGUUCAAGUCAGAGAAGUACUCCAGGCCCCCAAUCAUGUGGUGUGAGGCACCACUAUCCAGAAACCAAACAUCAAUCUUGUCGUCGCUGGAGGGAGACGUGUGCGCGCGGCUCGUUGAGGUGGAGGAGAGCCGUCGCGGUGCCGUGGGAAGAAGCUCGAUGGUCCCGUGAGGUAGGAACAAAGCCGGCUCUUCCUCCUCCUCCUCCAUAGCUUGCACAACAUGGGCCUAGCCGAGCCUCGGCUGGCGGCACUCCCUAGCCCGAUGGCCAGUCCUGCCAUAGUUGUAGCAAGUGUCAUCUUGUGCAGCCUCGUGCUCGCUGGCGGGCACUGCCCUGGGCGCCUCCUCGCGCCUUGGGUGCUGCUUGCCGUGCUUACGGCCGCCUAUUGAGAAAGAAGACUCCCCUCCUUCCGCUCCUUUUGGCAGGCGAGCCACCUCUCCUCGGUGAGGUGGAGUUGACCACCGAAGAUGAUCUCCCCACCAGAAGAAGGCUCGUCGCGGUCAUCGAACGCCUUGAGUCGUCCCAUCAGCUCCUUGAUCGACAACGUUGAGAGGUCGAGUAGCGUCUCGAUGGAGAUAGCGAGCUGGGUCGCAGCCGCUGCCGCCGCAUGUGCCUCCUCCAUGGCUAGGCGGCCUGCCUCAGCUGCACGCGCUGCCGCAGCCUCUACAGCCGCCGCGUGUGCUGCUCGAGCUGCAGCCACCUCUCGCACCUCGGUGGUGCGCAACGCCGCGCCGCGGCGCUGGUCCUCUCGCCUCACAGCCUCCGCCCGCCGCUCCUCCUCCUCAUGGGCUGCAGCCGCACGCCGUGCCCAUCGCCGCUCCACUGCUGCCUGCUCCUCGGCUGCAAUGCGCUACUCCUGCUCCUAACGCGCUGUGCCGCCGCCUCCUCCUCCUCCUCACGCCGCUCCUCCUUAGCCGUCGCCCUAUGGCGCCGCGCACUGCUCGUGGCCGAGCGGUGGGAGGAGGUACGGAAGGAGCCCCUGGAGCUGGUCGGGAGUGCCGGCACCACAUCGGCCACCAGAGCCGCGGCACCGCCCGUGGCCGGUGCUUUCCUGGAGCCAGGCAUGGGGAAGGUGAAGGAGAACCGGUUGGGGAAGAGGUCGAGGGAGAAGUCACGAGCUGCUCUGCCCACUGCUCUUGGCUGCCGCGCGCAUCCUGCUGCUGAGCCACCCCCGCUCGCUGCUGCUCCAGCUGCCACACGUUGCCUGCCUCGUCUACCCGCGCGUUGCGAGCCGCCGCCGCCACUGCCCUAGAGCUGCGCGAGCCCAAGCAGUCACCGCCUGCCUUUGAUUUGCGCCGUCCCGAUCCGUAGGGGAAGAGGCUGCGCGCCGCCACUUUGAUCCGCAGGGAAAGAGGCCGUCGACGUUGGAUCCACGCGCGGGACAGGUGGGGAAGGUGCUCCAUCAGCUGGAUCUGGCUGGGAGAGCGCGCGUUGCUGCUGUUGGAGUGGGCCCUACGGGCUAGGGUUUUGGGCUAGGACGAGAGGGUGGAGAACGGGAGAGGAGAGAGGGGGUGAGAAAGAUGGGCUCUAGAUACCAAUUGUUGGCCUAAAUGGAUCACUUUCUCAUUAACCCAAGAGCAAUAGCCCAGUUUCGGUAUAUAUAGGCUGCUAACCAAGAGGCAGCUAACCAAAGGAGUAAAAUAGGAAUAAAAGCUGAUGUAGCUACUAGAGUUAACUAACAGUUACUACCCCCAUAUUGUUUUAUUUGACAUUGGUUAGUUCAAAAAAGAAUUAACCAACGUUGGAGGGAGUAUUUAACUUGUUUAUUUGCUCAUUAUGCUCAUUUUUUUCCUUGUUUAUUUGUUGAUCUACUUUCUCUUAGGGAGAAGAACAAGGAUGCAUUGAGACAUGUCCUUGAUCCCAGUUGUGGACCCUUCAAAUCCAGCAAGCCCAAUACAGAUGAAACAGUCUGGUAUCUCACCAGUAGCUCUCAUCAUAUGACUGGUAAUCUUGACCUAUUGACUGAUGUUACUCCAGUGUAUGAUCGCUGGAUACGAAGCAUCCUGGGAAUAGGACCGCCAGCGCAAGUCCUGGCCCGUGGAUCAGUUAACAGCAAUGGCAUCAUUCUCCACGAUGUUUGGUUUGUUCCAGACAUCAACGUGAAUGUUGUAUCUGUCCCUCAACUCGGUUUAGAAUGGCAUAUGGAUGCAGAUGAUUGUUUGCUCAGACGUUCUGAUGACCAAGCAGUGGUGGGGACAGGUCAUUUGGGAACUGAUGGAUUGUAUGAGCUUGACUUCAUCAAUCUCAGUAGGUAAGUUGCCAGUACUUCAAUGAGUUAUUUUUCUAUCAGAAAUUUUCAUUUCGCUAUUCCGUUUUGCUGAAUUACUGAAUAUGCAUACUCUGAUCACCAAAGAGGACAAUUUUCUAGUUUUAUUUAUGAACUGAGGAUUAUACAUGUUCUCAGAUCUUCCAUUGUUAAUAUUGUUGACGAACUGAGGCAUAUGUUCAGCGUCUCCCAUUGUUUAAUAACCAAGCAAAUAUGACCCGCAUUGGUUGUUGUAUCAUUAUUUUAACUUUUUGUUUCAUAAUAUAUGCAAACUACCGACUCAUAGUUACUCCUUUUUUCUGACAUACGUAUCAGAGGACCUGUCUGGUACAUUGCUUCAAGUGUGAGUCAGCACAUGACAGGUGAUCUGCAUCUCCUCACUGACUUCAUCCCCAUCCGACCAAGUCAUACGGUUAAGACGCACACGGGGGCGAGGCUGCAGGUGUGCGGCAAGGGAUCAGUGAAAACUGGGCCAUUCAUGAUCCCUGACGUAUGCUAUGUCCCUGGCCUUGGUGAGAACAUCAUCUCGAUCAGCCAGCUCACUGAUACUGGUUUCACCCUCAUAUUUGGCGCUGAUAGAUUCGCCGUGAAGAAACUUUGCGAUGGAAAUUUAGUUGGCUAUGGCACCUAUGGCGGGAACCAGCUGUUUCACCUGGAUUCUCUCAAGAUCCCCACCAACAAGUGACAGUGUGCCUGUAUCUUGCUAUGAACCUACAGAUAUGAACUUGAACUCGCCUUAUACAUUCUUCACGUACGAGAGGUGGACAUAUGUUACGCCAGUAAACGUCUAUACUUCUGUUAUAUAUAUAUAUGCUCUUUUAAAGGCUGGGUCUUCCUGCAUGACCGUCUCUCUAAACUUUUAAUGCGAGUAACUGUUGGAUUUCCAAAUUGAUGCAUUUGAAGCUAAAUGUGUCUCCUUUCUGUAAGUUUGUGAAUCAUCUCUAGGAAAUGGAUGUUGGUUCGUGCAUAAUUUAAUGAUGAUUUACGUUGUCACAAUCAUAAUUUGGUGUUGUGGCAACAUGUUUGAAACUUAAAACAAUUUAGACUUUUGGCUGGCCCAAUGUGCCAGACACUUUAAAAAAUUCAAAUAUAUCUCAAAUCCAGUAGCAUCUGUCGACGAAUUCCUUCAUCUAAAAAAAGCAUAUGUCAACGAAGACUAGUUAUAAUUUGUGGACCUCUGGAUGAGAGUUGUAUGGUUCAACAUGUGAAUGGUAAUAGCUGUCCAGAUCAAAUACAGGGAUUAAGCAUGCGAAUGGUACUGACUGAUGUACUCCCUCCUUCAUCCCAAAUUAUAGAUCGUUUAGAUUUUUAACAUUGUAAGCACCAAAUUGUUAAUAAACAUAGUAAGCACCAAAUGGUUCCUUUCACAGUAAUUGCUCACCUUUACAUGCAAAUGUACUGGCAAAUGGCAAUGCAUCACGAGCCAAUAACCUUCUCUUUACUGCAAAGGCAGAUCAUGAAGGGGGAGCAAUCAUGAUUAUUUUGUAGUGGAAAUAUCGCAAUUCUACAUCCAUUUACAAUAAAUUCGAAAUGGUUAUCUUCCCUGCGCUACCUGCUUUUAUCUCCUCCAUGCUGAAUCUGCUACCUCGCGCCCACACGGCUAAUGCCAAUGCAACAAUGGGAGUUGUAACGUUUUUCAGAUAAUGGAUGACGUAUUUCUAGCUUUACAUCCUCAGGAUCACAGGAUGACUACAAUUAUUACACAAAAUGGCUUAGAGUGCCCACGUUGCCAUUGCUAGGGAUGAAAGCGGUCGGGAACGGUCGGGAAAACCCCUUAACCAUUCCUGCUACUGCAGGAAAGCCGGAUGGAAAAAACGAAAUUGAUAUUACAGGAUAUAAACGGAACAUUUCGAUCGGGAACAUGUCGAUUACGAUAGGGAAUCGAUAAGUCAAAACGGGAACACCAUGAUACAUAAUGACUCCAAACAGCUAAACAGUAAACACACAUACCACACCAUUACAACAUUACUUAGUCAUAGACACACGGCACACAACCAAGAGAUCCAGCUAGAGUUCCAGACAUACAUCAUGAUUCACAGAUGGCAAGUCCAAAUAAAAAAAAUAUAAAUGCCACAAUGGGCAGCAGCAGCCAACAAAACAAAGUUCAGAAAGGAUAGCAACUCAGUAGGCCCGCGAACUGUGGCAGAGGGGUGGGAGCCUGGCGUCCUAGCUGCCGAGGGUGACCGGCCAACGGCGGAGUGGCUAGGCUGCCUAGGGAACCGGCCGGUGGCAGUGGUGAUGGGGGCCUGGCCGCCAGGCCCCUGGGGCGACCGGUCGGCGGUGGCGGAGUGGCCUGACCGCGGCCUCCUUGGGCACCCAACUGGCGGCGGAGUAGCCUGGGCGCCUGGAGCUCGGAGGCCUGGGCCUGGGGGUGGGCGGCGGCGGCUGACGAAGAAGGUGACUUAGAAGAUCUCUCAUGGCCUCAAACUUGGAGAUGUGAGAAGAGAGAGAGAGAGAUUGGAGUGUGGCGGCAGCUUAGGAAUCGAUGGGGAGCUGGGGACGGGGAGGGGGUAGUCAUGACGUGGUGGCGUGGGGUGGCUGAGGCGGGCCUUAGGGUUCGAUGAUGGGCUAAAGUGCUAGGCCGAGCGAAGGAGUUGGCUGAGUUUGGGGACCGAAUACAUGAAACAACCGCAGGAUUUUUCCCGACCAAAUACGGGAACUGACGAUACGGUUGGGAAAAGGCCCCGACCGGUUCUGCUCCCGGUUUCACCGGUUUUUCCCAGUUUCCUAUUUUUCCUGUGAAAACAAUAUCUGAUCGGAAUCUACAAUAUACUUGGUGCCGGUCGGUACGGGAUUUUCCCGUCCUGUUUUCAUCCCCUAGCCAUUGCUCGAUACAUUGAAAUGAAUUGAAGCUUUGAUAGUUUCACCACUACAUCUGAUUCAUCUAAUUCAAUCUACUUGUGUUUUCUUGUUCUCUCUCUCUCGAAACAACUAUCUUGUCAUUAAUGAAUAAAUAGUUGUACUUGUCGUGCUACUAGUUGAUUGAGUGGCUGUUAAGUUCAUUUCUUAUUGCCUUUCUUUCUCUAGUCCUUUCUUUUUCUUUUCUUACAUCUUUUUUUCAAGGUUUUGAACCUUUUAUUAUUAAAUAGUAAUUCAAAAAGUUGUUUCUUACCGUAAUUCAUUGGAAAUACGCCACGGCACCACUAUCUCUUCUCUACAGCUUAAAAAACCACGAUGGCGAAAAAACAUCGUCGUACAAUCGCCUUCCGCUCGAUCGGUCUGCUGAGGCCCGAUGGGCAGCCGUCUACUGAUCUGUUGCCCCACCGUGCACAUUGCGUUUUACCGUUGAUCCUUGGGAUCAACCCUAGCCGUCCCUCAGCGAACACGCUAAUCCUGCCACCAUCCAGGUCCCUCCGAUAGAGCCCAGGCCAGGACGCCCUCCCUAUUUGCCUAACUAGAGGUCGCGACCUCUCCCCAUCUAAUACACCGCCGCCGCCGCUGCCAUCGAUCCCACCAUCACCUCCAACCCGCGCCGCCAUCCACCUCCUCCAACCCGAUGCUGAGGUAUCCUCGAGCCCGUGCCGCCGUCUCCUUCAUCCUGGGCAAGGAUCACCAUCAGAGAUGGGAAUUGGGAACAGGUGCUGUUGUCAAUGCCGUAUCCAUCCUGCAACCACAAGGAACCAAUAUAGAAGGGUUAGAUCUCCAGAUCAUCAUGUGAUUUUUGCCUCACCACUCCUGCCACUUCAAUUUCUCCUUGCAUUGUUUUGUAGUGUCAAAAUAGUGGUCGAUGGGUUUAAUUUGUACCUUCUUCAGAAGCUAAGGAAAGAUUACAUACUCCAGUGACAAAGGAAUUUCUAGGUGAGGAAUAAGAUGAAUACCAAUUUUAUCUCCUAGUUAGGUCAAGCUUUGCUUCUCCUAGAAAAUAUUUAUUUUGCAAUUCCUCCGAUCCUCUUGUUGUUCCCUAUGACUUCAUGGAAAAAUGCCAUGUAAACACUAUUUAUACCUCUCUUUUUAUGGGCAUCCAUCGUGUAAUUAUCUAUAAUGCGUGUUACCACUAGAAGAUAACAUAAUUAGAUACUUUUGAAAUGGUGCUAAUGUUGUUGAUAAAACAUUAGGGGUGGGAUGGCCUGAACUUACAAUGCAGCUCUUAUCGCCACCCCAAUCAAAAUGAUCAUAAUCAGCUGCAUACAAAAUAAAUCCAAGAUGAGAAGAAAGAAAGGUGAUCUUUCUCACAUUUUUUUAAACAAUGAGAAAAAAGAGACCCCGUCCUACCUCUUCCCUUAUAAUAAUCCUACCAGCAACAAUACGAUACUAGGACCAUGUGUCAAUCGACCAUCAUAUGUUUGAACCCCAACCUCAAGAUAACCUCUGAUCAAGCAUGCAUUUUAUUUAGUCUAACAUUGUUUACAAUGUUCCAACAAAAAUGUGAAUAUGAAAACACUAUAUUUGUUUAUACUCAUGUUAAACUACGUGGAUUUUGGUGAAAAUUUGACCAGCAGGGACAGCAUGAUGAAUAGCAAGUUUUCCCUAUGCGCCAAAUGAUUGUAUGGUGCUUCUGUCGGGGAACUAGUAGGCUACCCUAGUAAAACAAUUUUAAUCUACCGUUCAACCAGAAAACCUUGUAAGAGGGAGAUCAUGGAUCGUUACCACUAGAUGCGCAAGCGUUGUUGGAGAGGCUCGGUCCAACGUAGUUGCACGUCGAUGUAGAGGAAGUAGACGAUCACGUCUUGCUCCACGUCCAGCCGUCCAACACCACAGCAACAACAGUAGCACCUCCUUGCGGUAUCCACACGUACGGGGUUGGAGCACCGUGCGUGGUGUGCUAGCACCGGUGGCGCGGCCUAGGGUUUCGUGGAAGGAGAGUAGAGGCGGCGGCUAGGGUUUUGAUGUCCCUGCGCCCUAAGCCCUGCCUCUACUUAUAUGGACCCCGCUAAUGAGCUUUCACGUAAAGGCCCAUUAGUGGUCUAACCACUCUCGGAUCAAUAUCCAUAUGUCCCUCAAAUAUGGAUCAAAUCCAUAUUGUCCCUUGGGCACAUAUCCAACAAUCUCCCACUUGCACUAGAGACAAUCACAUAGGCAAGUUACUCCAACCCGUUAAGUGUGUGACCUGUUGGGUUCACAUGUGCACGAUAAUGACAUGAAAACUAUUUUUCAAAUCAUAAAUCAAUAGCAGCACCUAGCAACACAUAUUGACUCCCAUGCACACAUAAAGAUCAUAUCGGCUGAACCUUAGACAUACACAUGCACCGAUCCCUUUGCCUCACGAUAUCAGUCAAGCUCAGGGCGAGAUAUGUGCCAUCCCUGUGGUAGCUUGACCAUUGACUCGAACAAAUAGUGGAUUCAUCAUGACUAACUCUUAGUCAUCGUGAUUAACUUUUUAAUCACAUUGGCAUGGCCAUGCACUUCCAAAUCCAACUAUCUCGAGGGGCCAGAGAUAUCUCUCAUGUUAUUAGGUGGGACAAAUUCCAUCUUGAUUGGUCACAUCUCAUGACAUAUUUCAUAGCAUACCCGAAAGGUACCUUUUUAACUACCCAGUUAUGGAGCAGCGUUUGGUAACCCCUAAGUGUGCUACUACAUAUUCUAAGAAUCAAUGACAAUCUUAGGUCUAAGGAUCCUGAAGGUACAUCAUAUAAGACAACAACUGAUGGCACAAUAAAUAACAUCUCAGUAGAGUCUAUUAGUGGGUCAAUCCAACACCAUGUCCUCUAACAUGUGUCCACAUUAUUGAUUUGACAUCUCUAUGUCUAUGAUCUGUGAAAUGUGAUCAUCUAUCAAUACAUGUGCUAGUCCAUGAAUCAAUAUUGUCCCACAUAAUGAUAAAAAAACUAGGGAUCCUUUAAGAUAAUAUCAUAAGCGAACAAAGAAUUUCACAAACAAGUCAUGUACUCAUUGAUUAAUGCAAUGAUUAUUAUCCAAGGGACUGAAUAACAUUUUAUUCCAUUACACAUAAACAUGGACGCAAUACAAUCUCUCACAUACACUAGUCUUGAUCAUGCAAGUAUCUAAUACCCAUGGAUCUCAUAUGCGCCUCAUGCUUGGGCUGUGAGAGAGGCUUCGUCAACGGAUUAGCAAUGUUUAAAUCCGUGUGCACUUUACAGAUAUUCACAUCACCUCGAUAAACGAUGUACUGAAUGAGACGAUAAUGCUGUAGCAUGUGUUUGUUCUUCUAAUGCGAUCUAGGCUCCUUGGCUUGCGCAAUGGCACCACUAUUAUCACAAUAGAGGUCCACUAGGCUGGAGGCACUAGGAAUCACACCCAACUCAGAAACAAUUUUUCUGAUCCAAACAGCUUCCUUUGUAGCUUCAGAAGGGCUGCAAUGUAUUCGGCCUCCGUCAUGGAAUCAGCAACUGCAUCUUGCUUGGAACUCUUCCAGCGCACCGCACCUCCAUUGAGGCAAAACACAUAUCCAGAUUACGAUCUCGAAUCAUCUUUGUCGGUUUGUAAGAUAGCAUCAAUGUAACCACUUACAACGAGCUUUUUCUCACCUUCAUAGACUAGGAACAUAUCCUUAGUUCUUCUAAAGUACUUUAGGAUAUUCUUACUAGCCACCCAGUGAGCUUCUCCUAGAUUUGAUUGGUAUUUGCUUGCAGCACUAAGAGCAUAGGCUACAUCUGACCGCGUACAUAGCAUGGCAUACAUGAUAGAUCUAAUAGCAGAAGCAUAUGGGAUCGCUCUCAUCUUCUCUUGCUCAUCAGGUGUCGAGGGACACUGAGUCUUGCUAAGAGAAAUACCAUGUGACAUUGGUAAGAAACCUUUCUUGGAAUCCUGCAUAUUGAACCAUUUCAAUACCUUGUCAAUGUACGUGUCUUGGCUUAAUCCAAUUAGCCUUUUUGAUCUAUCUCUAUAGAUCUUAAUGCCCAAAAUGUAUGCUGCUUCUCCCAAAUCUUUCAUUGAGAAACUAUUUCUUAAUGAAGACUUGAUAGCUUUGAGCAUUGGAAUAUCAUUUCCGAUCAACAAUAUGUCAUCUACAUAAAGGACCAAAAAUACAAGUGCGUUCCCACUAGCCUUGUUGUAAACACAAGGCUCUUCUUCAUUUUUAGUGAAGCCAAACCCUUUGACUACUUCAUCAAAACAAAGAUUCCAACUCCGAGAUGCUUGCUUUAGUCCAUAAAUGGACUUUUGAAGUUUGCAUAUUUUCCUAGCAUUUUUUGGAUUGACAAAACCUUCAGGCUGUGUCAUGUACACAUCCUCACUUAGGUUUCCAUUAAGGAAAGUCAUUUUGACAUCCAUUUGCCAUAUCUCAUAAUCAUAGUAUGUGGCAAUUGCUAGGAGGAUCCAAAUAGACUUUAGCAUAGCAACUGGUGAAAAGGUCUCAUCAUAAUCAACACCUUGAAUUUGUUUAAAACCUUUCACCACCAAUCGUGCUUUAUAGAUGUGAACAUUUCCAUCCAUGUCUAUCUUUUUCUGAAAAGCCCACUUACACUCAAUGGUUUUUACACCAUCGGGUGGUUCAAUCAAGUUCCAAACUUGAUUUUCUCUCAUGGAUUCUAGUUCGGAUCUCAUGGCUCCAAGCUAUUUCUUAGAGUCUGGUCCCAUCAUUGCUUCCGUGUAUGUCUUAGGUUCAUCAUUGUCCAACAACAAUAUGUCGUGCUGCCCCGUGGUUAGGAGCAUGAACUUUACAGGUGCACGACGUGCCCAUUCAGAUCUACGUGGAGCUAGUGUCUCAACAACAAGUUCUACAACGUUUUGUAUAGCUUGUUCCAAUUGAGAUUCAGUAGGAGAAGAAACAUUUUCUGGUCUCUCAUGAAUUACUUCAAGUUGCACCAUCCUCCCACUUACUUUUCUUGAGAGAAACUCUUUCUCUAGAAAAACACCAUGUCGAGCAAAAAAUACUUUGCCCUCUUCCCGAUUGUAGAAAUAAUAUCCUUUGGUUCCCUAGGGUAUCCCACAAAGAAGCAUUUAUCAGACUUGGGAGAAAGCUUAUCAUACAUCAUACAUUUUACAUAAGCUUCACAACCCCAAAUCUUAAGAAAAGACAGUACGGGAUGCUUCCCGGUCCAUAUCUCAUAUGGUGUCUUCUUUACAGAUUUAGGUGGAACACUAUUAAGUGUGAAAGUAGCAGUUUCUAGAGCAUAUCCCCAAAAGGACAAUGGAAGAUCAAUUUGGCUCAUCAUAGACCUAACCAUGUCCAACAAGGUUCGGUUCCUCCAUUUAGAUACCCCAUUUAGUUGAGGCGUCCCGGGUGGAAUCCAUUGUUGAACAAUUCCACAUUGUUUUAGAUGAUCACCAAACUCAUGGCUCAAAUAUUCACCUUCAUGAUUAGAUCGUAGAGUUUUAAUUGCUUUAUCCAAUUGAUUUUGUACUUCAUUCUGAAAUUCUUUGAACUUUUCAUAGGAAUCAGACUUAUGCUUCAUUAAGUAGAUGUAACUAUAUCUACUACAGUCAUCAUAAAAGUAAUGAAGUACUGAAAUCCACCUCUGGCCAUGCAGCUCAUUGGUCCACAUACAUAUGUAUGCACAAGGGCCAACAACUCAUUCUCCCGUUCACUAUGUCCCGUAAAAGGCGUCUUAGUCAUUUUGCCAAGUAAACAAGAUUCGCAUGUAUCAAAAGAUUCAAAAUCAAAUGAGUGUAGAAGACCAUCUUUAUGGAGCUUCUCCAUACGUCUCUCAUUUAUAUGACCCAAAUGACAAUGCCAAGUGUAGGUGGGAUUCAAAUCAUUAGGUCAGAGCCUUUUAGCAUCAAUGUUAUAAAUUGGCUUAUUCUCAAGAUCUAGAUAAUAUAAUCCAUUCACCAAUGGAUAAUUACCAUAGAUAAUAUCAUUCAAAUAAAUGGAGCAACACUUGUUCCUUAUUAUGACCUCAUAACCAUCAACUUCCUCUAAACAUGAGGAGGAUAUAAUGUUUUUGCCCAAGGCAGGAAUGUAAUAACAAUUAUUUAAUUCUAAGGAGGAUAUAAUGUUUUUGCCCAAGGCAGGAAUGUAAUAACAAUUAUUUAAUUCUAAAACUAAUCCCGACGGUAAUGAAAGUGGAUAAGUCCCAACAGCCAAUGCAGCAACCUUUGCACCAUUGCCUACACGAGCAUCCACCUCGCCUCUUGCACACUUCCUUGUCCCUUUAAGCCCCUGCAACGAUUUGCAAGUAUGAAUCAUCGAUCUGGUAUCAAGUACCCAUGAAUCAUCAGGACGAGUAGCAAGAUUAAUUUCAAUAACAUUGAUAUCUGAAGUAGAAACAUCAACACUCUUCUUCUUCUUGAGCUCUUCCAAGUAAAGCUUGCAAUUCCUCUUCCAAUGGCCAGUCUUCUUGCUGUGAUGGCAAGGAUCACUUGCUCGCACCUUUGGCUUGGGAGUUGCUGCAACCUUAGGCUUAGGAUUUGAGAUCUCAUCUGAAGACUUAGCCUUAGGCUUGUGCUUUCUCUUUCUAUCCUUCUGCACCAUCAUCACAUGAUUUGCACCACUUUUCUUGAUGCUUUCCUUGGUAGCCUUUAUCCCAUGCAAUUCAGCCAAUGUCUUCUCCAUGUUAUUCAUAUGAAAGUUCAUAAUAAAAGGCUCAAAGCUCGUCGGGAGCGAUUGGAGAAUGACAUUCGUAGCCAGCUCAGCACUAAGGGGAGAACCAAGUUUCUCCAGGCUCUCAAUGUAACCAAUCAUCUUGAUCACAUGAGGACUGACAGGACUACCUUCUGCUAGCUUGCAUGCAAACAAGGACUUUAGAGAUGUUGAACCUCUCAGACCUUACUUUGUUCUCAAACAUGCCACGUAAUCCUACAAUCAUAUUGUAGGCAUCCGAAUUCUCAUAUUGCUUCUAAACCUCAGAGGACAUAGUGGCAGGCAUGAGACAGCCAACAUCAUGUACAUCAUUAGUAUGCUUCUCAUACUCCCUCUUCUGAGCGGCGGUAGCAUUUUCUAGCAGGUCAUCAAGAAAGGGAAUCUCUAGAACAUAUUCCUUUUUCUCUUGCUUGAGAACAAUUCUCAAAUUGUGAUACCAAUCGAUAAAGUUUGUUCCAUUAAGCUUUUCUUUUUUGAGAAUUGAACGCAAGUUAAAACUGGAUGGGUUACUAGCAGUUGGUGCCAUGAUCUACAAUAUAAAAAUAUGCAACAAUAAGCACUAUGUAAAUGUAAAACUUCUUUUAAACAAUUUAACAAAAGUUCCUCCACUAUAUGGUUGGAAUCAUUUCCCUCUAACGACAUAUAGUGGUAUAAGAUCCAUAUUCAACUAGAUCGUAGUGAGCUUUGGCAUCACGGCUAGAAAUCUAGUGACUAAGGUAACCAGUGUUUGCUAAUCACAUCCUUAUGUGACUCUUGUUUGUUGGGAGGCAUCAUAUGCCCCAACGCCCAACACCAUGCCCCAAAGCCCAAAACCAUUUUGAUAGCUUUGUUAAGUGGACCAAUACUAUGCAUGUAAAUGUCCGACAUUUACCCUACUUAUUAAGAUAGCUGGGGUACUCUACUUUGGCGGACAUACCACUCAAUGAUCAAAAUUUUAAUAGUUGCAACCUUUGGAAGGGCAUCAAUUUCAAUCUUAAUUUUUUCGAGGGAACCUAUUCUAGCGUGAAUAUCAAGUCCAACCAAUAAUUCAUGAUAAAUAGGAUGAUAGGAACAUCAUCACAGGCAAUCAUAUUAAUUGUGAAAUAGUAUGUCCCAUUAACAUGGUGAUCUCCAUAUCCAUCGCCAUAUGCCUCCUGUCCUUGUGAAAUAGUAUGGCCCAUUAACAUGGUGAUCUCCAUCUCCAUCGCCAUAUGCCUCCUGUCCUUGUAUCCACCGUGCUUGAAAUCAGCCUCCACGAAUGAAUACAAGCUACUACAACCAAUAGCUAGUAUGAAUUACAUGAAGAAAUCAAGCAUCACAAGUUGACGCGCAGGUCGUUAUACAAUAUCAUGACAGCCUCAACCCAGCUGUAAUUAAUCAUGACACACAAGCCAUGAAAAUUACAUACAUGCAUCACAUACACAUCUUGGGCCAUACCAUUCACAACAUUCUCUGCAAAAACAAGUUAGGUGAGAACUAGUACUAUCGUAUGAUCAAAAAAGGGGGGAUAACAAUCUAGGCGCGAGUCGUAUAGCGGUCCUAAAAACCUCACAGGAUUACACUGAUCUUAUCUAUGAAAUCGCAAUGAAAAUCUCAUCGGACAGAUCACAUCUAGCCGAUUUUGAGUCAUUCAUAAUGCCUCGUAUUUUGAUUAGGUUUCCAUGAUUAGACUAUGACACAUAGUCAUGAUCACAUCGGCUUUGUCUACUUGCGCACACGGUUAGUCCCGAUGGUGAUUCCAGCCGGUAGGGACAGGUUGUGCACGCACGGAGAAGAAGCACGAACAGAUCAAUGACACAUAUGACACUAUCAUCUCAUAACCUUGUGAACCCUCCUAAUGACCAAUUGAUCUAAUCAACCCGUACUUGAAAAUAUGUAAUAGAUCGCAUCUACUACACCAGCAUAUCAACUAUAUGUGCAUGAUCCAAAUCACAAAUUGCACAAGGCCGGCUCUGAUACCACUGUUGAGGAACUAGUAGGCUAUGCAAGCAAAAUAAUUUUAAUCUACCGUUCAACCAGGGAACCUUGUAAGAGGGACAUCAUGGAUCGUUACCACUAGAUGCGUAGGCGAAGCGAAAGCGUUGUUGGAGAGGCUCGGUCCAACAUAGUUGCGCGUUGAUUUAGAGGAAGUAGACGAUCACGUCUUGCUCCACGUCCAGACAUACAGCUCCACAGCAACAGCAGUAGCGCCUCCUUGCGGUAUCGACAUGUACGGUGUGCUAGCACCGGCAGCACGGCCUAGGGUUUCGUGGAAGGAGAGUAGAGGUGGCAGCUAGGGUUUUGAUGUCCUUGCACCCUGAGCCCUGCCUCUACUUAUAUAGACCCCUCUAAUGGGCUUUCACGUAAAGGCCCAUUAGUAGUCUAACCACUCUCGGAUCAAUAUCCAUAUGCCCCUCAAAUAUGGAUCAAAUCCAUAUUGUCCCUUGGGAACAUAUCCAAUAGCUUCUUUAUGUUCAUACACAUAUAACGCAUUGGUGUAUAAAUGCUAGCUUCGUGCAAGUUCUUGCGAAUCUUCGUUUAAAGGCACAUUUUUAUUUGAUACUAUUCAAGGCGUCAAAAUAAGCAUUCCAAGCAAACCAAUUGCACAAAGCUCUUAUGAAAUUGGAUCCAAUCAAUAUGCUUCCUAAAAUGGAAAUGAUAGUAGUACUUGUUUAACCAUAAGAGAAAUACAUCAAAGAGAAUCUUAGAACCGAACAUCACAUACUAAUGAAGCAACUGAACAUCUUGUCGAGUGCCAUGGAGCUGUCCUCACACCUGCACAUAAGUUACUCCAGGAAGUGCCCAGGGAGCCUGCAAAUCCUCACCGCCCCAGCGCGAGUAGACUGCCCAGACCCAGCAUUGGAGCAGCAGUGUAGAGAGAGGCUGAGGGAGAGCGCUGGCAGAUCCAGUGCCAAAGCAGUAGUCGACAGAUCCAGUGGUGGGCGGAGCGUGAGGUAGUGUUGGCGCUAGAAAUCGGCUGAUCGAAACCCCAGCGUCUGACACACGACCCAGGAGAAUCUGCUUAACUCCUGUUCGGGUGAUCGCCCUGGUGCGGUUCGCGCGGCGUACCAGCCAAUCUGACAUGUUGAUUGGCAAGGAAAAAUACGUGUCAGAUCCCAGAGGUUGCGAUCGGCUAAAUUUCCGAUCUCGAGAAAGCUUAUCAGCGAAUCGGCCGAUUUGCCGUAAUAAAGAAAUCAGCUAUGUAGCAGCCGAUUAACGGGCAGCGUGAAUGAAAACUGCUGGGGUAAUCAAUACAACGCUAUAGUAGCAAUACCAGGAAUAGAUCUAGUCGGCUAUGCGUAAAACAAGUAAAUUAAAUGACGCAAUACGAGAAAAGCCGAGAUUGCCGAUUCCUAGCUGGAUAACUGAUGAUAAAACUAGAACAACAGGUAAAACCUAGAAUUCUAGUAGAUAUCGAUAACUAGUGAAUAAAUCUAAACGAAACAACAGCGAUGCGCCCAAAGUUAAAGCUUAGAAUUUACUUGAUAAACGGAACUUAGAAGAUUAGCCGGAGGUCAAGUUGAUGCAGCCCCGCCAACCCGUACGAACUCGUGAAAGAGGAAAAGUAUUUGGCGAAGUCGCCUGCUUGAAAAGUAAGUACGAGGAAAUAGUAGUUUGUUGUAUUGAAUUGUUGAUGAUUACAGAUCUACAAAAGUGGCUAUUUAUAGCCCCGUACAGACGACUCCUUAUCUGACUAGAACUCUAUCCCUAAUUCAAAUGGAAAACGAAUAUUUACAAGUACGAUUCGUACUAGGUCGAUUAUUAUGCACUUCAUGGGCUGAUUCCCUCUUCAUCUUUAUAAUCCUUUCUAAGCCCAUACCGGCCCAACUAUUCCAACCUCCUAAUCGGCCGAUUUCCUCAUCGGCAAGGGGUAACCGAUCGGGAACCGGACGCGUCCGAUCCUAAACCUUCAAGGGUCAAGCGAGGCAGAAUUCUAAAGGUCAAGCGAGGCAGAAUUCUAAAGAUCAAUCGAUCCUGGACUGUAGCAUCGACCGAUCCUGGACUGUAGCACCAACCAACCGAUCUUUAACUGUAGCGCCAUUCGGCCGAUUUCCAACUGUCACCCCUGUAUCUCGCCGUAUCUUCCAAUUUCUUCCUCUCCUGACGCCGAUUUUACUCGUGUCAAAAUCUAGCGUCAACACAUGCCCCCCAGUUUCGGAGUAAAACAUAGUCUUUACUUCGAAAUUCUUUUCAACUUCCCCUCCGAAACAACCGCAAUGAAAAUAUCCUUCCGUUUCGCGGUCUUCAACCUGAUGAUUGCAAUCUUUUCAAAACGGGCGCCCACGACAACCACUACUCCCGAAAAACUCGAAACGCCGGCGCGGUAAAAAUUCCAUUUUUACCCCUCCUCAGGCCCCCUUUAAAUAUCAGCACAUCCCGCACUUCCCUUUCAAGCUCACGUCCUUCUUCCUCAGCGCACGAGCCUUCUUCUUCCUCCAGCAUUUUUCCUUAAUCCCCCAGCUUUUCGGCACCGUCUUCCUGUCACUUUCCUUCCUCCCCUUCCAAUGGCGGCACCUUGAGGCACCUCACCCGCGCGCGAAGCUCCAGAAAUAGUGCCUUCGGCGGAGGUUCUAGCAGCGACAGUGGUGGCCCCGUCGUCGGAAGAAGGAGCUCCAUUUAGCGAAAGUUGAAGCUUCUUCCGAGAUCUCGAUGGCGACCUCGUCUUCCGCAGCUGCACCGGCGAUCCCGCCGACUACAAGGAACUUCAUCCCAGAGGUCAUCACCGAAUCUUUUCUUUAUCGGUAAUACAUUUACUUUAGAUCUAUUUCUUACUUUUGCACCCCCUUUCCUUUUUUAGGCGGUUAGACAUCGCAUCACCAUUCAUCUUACGGGAAAUCCCGGCCUUGUUUGCCUUGGACCCAUGGGAAACCCAGAUCCAACGGAGCUAAUCAAUUUGGAAACCCAUAGGAUCCCCUUCAAACAAUCAACCAUGGACCUAGAUCACUGGUUGGGCACCUUUAGGUCUUGGCCGAAUGAAACUCCCGGUUGGAGGGAAUGGUACCAGCGGAUAGCCGCACCCAAGAGGGUCCAAUGGGACGAGCUCAAAAUCGGCCAAUGCAUCAAUCUAUCCCUAUCCCAAAUGGAACGGAAUGAACCAUUAGUGAUGGCAGCUUCUUACUUUUGGUCUGAUGCUCUUAAUGCAUUCUUGUUUUGACACGGACCCAUGACCCCCACACUGGCCGAUGUGGUUUUGCUGACCGGCCUGGACAUUUCCUCCCCGGACACCCCUUUCCGCCUUCUAACCGUAACAUCACAUCGACUGGACACGAGGGGAAUCGGCGGGUGGAAAGGCUUCAUUAGAUGCAACAAAAGAGCCGGAUCUGUCGAGAACAGAGAACACACGGCCUUCCUAAUGAUGUGGUUGGAGAAGCACUUCUUCUGUGGGAGAGCAGCUGGCCCAUUGACCAACACCCAAGCUUUAGCUGAAGCAUUAUCAAUGGGGACUUCUGUUCCUCUUGGAAAGCAUUUACUAGGAGCAGCAUACCACAUGCUUCACCAAAUCGGCAUCAAACUAUCCCAAGGGGAGCCGAUUGGAAAUCCAGGUGGACCCUGGUGGUUCAUUAACUUAUGGCUGAACUUGUACAUGAGCAAGAUUUCUCAGCAGAGAGUGGAACACAUGACAUUCCCCAGCAUUGAAUCGGCAGAGGAUCCCACUAUCCGACGCCGAUGUACAUCUUUUGGCGAAGUGGCAUCGGCCUUUCCCGGUUGCCCGUACUCUGCUACCAAAGUGGCCGAGUACUUUCGGUGUUUUUACAACGGUUUUAAUGAAGAUGCAGCCGUCUGGUUUCCUUAUUGGCGAGAUGACCCAAUCUUUGAGCUCCCCUCUUGCUUCGACUCGACUACCGGCCGAUUCGACGAAGACCUCACAGAUGAGUUAAUUAAACCGGGAAUCCUACCGGCCAACUUCUUCUCAGGGAAAGAUGCUCCUACGUAUGAGUUUUACAAUCCCUCUGCUGCAGCACGUCAGUUCGGCAUGGGUCAGCUACCGAUUCAAGUGUACUUCGCUGGCCGAGCUAAGUUCAGAGAUGAGCUCACAAAAGGUCUUGACUAUAGUCGGCUGCGAGAUCGGGUCCCAGACUCCAGCACUAUUGACCUGAAUGACCGGAUAGUAGCUCCCUUCGCUGUCCAACCAUUCAAGCUUUGGUGGGCUGAAUGGAAACAAUACCUUUUCUGCAACUCCGCGUCGACAUACUGCAAUCUCCUGGAUCCGACCAACACCGACCCGAACGCCGAGGUAUUUUUUCUCUAGCCGAUUUUCACUCCUUUAUCAACGCGGUUGAAUACGUAUACUAACAUCUUGCUAUUGCUUCAGUCUAAGAACCGUGUCCCCCCAAUACGCAGCCGGAGUGGCCGGCCGAUAGAAGAUCAUCAUCCAUACACCAUCUUCCCCCUUAUCGGCUACAAUGCCCCUUCCGUGGACGUGAUCGCUGGCCGAUCGAAGCAGGCGCAGAAGAAAGUUACCAAGAAGACCAGUCGCCGAGUUCGAGCCCGUAUAGAAUCGGCUGAUCCUCCCACGAUCAUAUCGGCAGAAACUUUGGCCGCACUGCCUCUUCAAGCUGCCAGAGAAAUAGAUACUCAAGUCGUCACGCAAGCUGGGGCAGCCGCUGCAUCAUUACUGGUGGAGGCCGUGCAGGUAAACUUAUGUCCAAUCCUUCCAAUUGAUGUCUCAAUACUAACUCCUCUUAUCUUAGACUGCACAGAUUACUUCUAUGGACCCACAACAAUUGGCAGCAACCCAAUCGGUCAUCGACGCGCCCCCGCUUCCAUCCGCCGAGGUAUAACACUCUUCAACUGAUUCUCCUAGUAUUUGAAUGAUGUUCUCAUUCAUCCCUUUGACACAGGUCACCGGUACGCUAAGCGCUCCUCUUAAUCAACCAAUGGUCAUCUCCCGGGAAGCUGGCCCGAGCACAGCACCAAUCAUCGUAGGAUCUUCUUCUUCUGAUGAACCAAUGGCACCAGCCCCUGAAUCGAGGAUGACGGCUCCCCAAACGCAUCUUGAGGAAAUCCGAUUCAAGGAGGUAAGAGACCUUUCACCCUUACUUAGCCGAUUUGCUAUCACCAUCGGCUGAUUUGUUUUUCUUCUUGACUUAUUAUUUCCAGGAACAGGACACCCAUGACAACAGUCUCUUCUCAUUUGCGGUCGCGCUCUCUGAUGACGAGGAAGUCGCCUCCCGCCAAGUCACUUUGAGCUCCAUCCCUGAUGACGUCCGCGCCAAACUUACCAGCAUCCGAUCCCUUCUUCAAGAAGACAUUGGCCGAUUGGUAGAAGAUGCCUCGCCGAUUCGGCAGCUCUUCGGUGACGUCAGCGGGCGGGUGCCAGAAGAAGCGGAAGAAGCUUUGGCGCCGGCCGCGUAUAUCGAGUUAAUGAGGAUCCCGGUUUUCAGGGCCCUGCGUCACAUGGCCGAUCGCGCCAAAUUGGCCAAGACUCGUGAAGAAGAAGGAACGUACAAGCGUCAGGCCCAAGAGGUGCAUCAACGAAUUCACUUUCUGGAAGAUUCUCGCCCGGGAAUCGUCGGCACAAUAGAUCACCUCAAACGCCAAAGGGCAGAGCUUGCCAAGGAGAUGGAACAGGUGACCAAAGCAAUAAAUGCCGAAGAGAAGAGGCUUCAAGAACUCCCAUCCGUCAUCGCCGAUCUGAAACGGGAGAGGCAGCAUCUGGCCCACAAAGCCCUUAAACUCCACCGCAAUAUGCUAGAAGUCCCCGGAUCGGCAGAUGAUGACCAACGGGUCCUGGACUCUGCCGAUCAAAUCCGGCGCCGAGCGAUUGCGGCUAUCGAUGCCCUUCUGGGUAACCUGUAAAAGUACUGGCUAUUUUUGUACGAACAUUUAAUGACCGCUUUGACCGUCCUUCGCGGCGCCUCUUUUAUUUAUUGCCUUUCUCACCUCCGACGGGACACGCCUUACCAAACAUCUACGCCUCCUUUUCUUAUAAAUGCCGGCCUAGGCCCCCAUUCCAAGAGUACCAGUCUAGCUCGGCUUUAUCUUCCCAACCUGCUUUCGUCGGUGCGACUUUCAGUCACGUCUUCUUCAUCCUCUUCCUCUUUCUCUGUUAACCAGGUGAAAGUUUUGCCUUCAUCCUUUUUCUUAGUUUAGAUCUUCUGAAGGGAAUCCCCUUUUUGAUCGUUACUUUUCACAGCCACGGCGCCUUAGCCCUGAACUCGAGCGAGCCAUCAAACUCAUGCACUCCGAUGAACCGUUGUCGCAAGAGGACAAGGAUUUAAUCAGGGCUCAUCGUGACGAACUCGAAGAGCAUGUCCCUGCUGACAUCCGACGGAUCUGGGAUUUUCUGGACGGCAACGCCCGCCGGCGACCUCAAGCCGACAGAAGUCAUCUGCUUCCUCCACAAGUCGUCCUUGAAGAUGCAGCAACAGGAACAUCGCGCCCGGCAAUGGACCGGAGCCACCCUAUCCCCGUCAAGUCGAAGCGGAGCCUUCGAUGAAAGAGAUAGAAGAAGAGUACAUCCGUCUUAUGAUAGAACUAGGUUGGGCUGAGAGAGAGCGUAAGAAAAAGCGUGGUUAAUUAUUUUUUUGUUCUAAGGGCGACUUAUACCUUGUCGGCCGUGUAACUCAUCGUUCGUACCGAAUGAAAUAUAUCGGCCAAUUUGGACGAUUACGUGUUUUCUCUAGACGAAUCCUUUCGUAUCGGCUGUGUGUCGCUCAUUGUGGUCGAUCCUUAUGCUCCGACCCAUAUACUAGGGUAGUACCUUUUCAGGUAUCUCCCGUUCAGAGCCCUAGUAAAUUCUUCUCCUUCGAUUGUUUUCAGAAUAUAAGCAUUUCCUGGAGCACAUCUGCCGAUUUUAUAUGGCCCUUCCCAUGUAGGGGACCACUUACCGAAUUUAGGAUCUUUUGACCCAAUCGGCAACACUAACUUCCAAACCAGGUCCCCUGGAGAGAAUUUCUUGACUUUGACCUUCUUAUCAUACCACCUGGCCACUUUCUUCUUGUUUUCCUCGAUGCUUAUCAAAGCUCUCAGUUGUUGGCCAGCCAAGUCAUCAAGUUCCCUUUUCAUGAGUGAGGAGUAGUCGUCGGCCGUCAGCUGGUCCUGGAGCGAAGUGCGUCUUGACCCCGCCCUAACUUCCCAUGGUAGUACUGCAUCGUGACCGUACACCAACUGAUAAGGGGACAACUUGGUGGAACCAUGGCAAGCCAUCCUGUAUGCCCAUAGGGCUUCAAUCAAACAUAGAUGCCACUUUUUUGGCUGCUCCUCUAUCUUCCUCUUGAUUAACUUUAUUAUCCCUUUGUUGGAGGAUUCGGCCUGGCCAUUAGCUUGGGCAUAAUAUGGAGAGGAGUUUAACAAUUUGAUCCCCAUAUCAGCCGUGAGCUCCUCAAAUUCUCCUGAUGUGAACAUUGUCCCUUGAUCAGUUGUGAUAGUCUGAGGAAUGCCGAACCGGUAGACGAUGUGGUCCCUUACGAAGUCGGCCAUGGCAGCCGAUGUCACGGCUCUUAACGGAAUUGCUUCCACCCAUUUGGUAAAGUAAUCGGUGGCUACUAGAAUAAAUUUGUGCCCUUUGCUUGAUGGAGGAUAAAUUUGGCCGAUAAGGUCUAUUCUCCAUCCUCUGAAUGACCAUGGUUUGAUAAUGGGAUUCAUGGCCGACGCGGGCGCACGUUGGACAUUCCCGAAUUUCUGACAAUCCUGGCAUCCUUUAUAAUAUUUGAAGCAAUCUUCGAGGAUCGUCGGCCAGUAAUACCCAUUAUUUCUGAUCAUCCAUUUCAUCUUAUGGGCCGACUGGUGGGCUCCACACACCCCCUUAUGGAUUUCUCCCAUCAGAGUCUUGGCCUCCUCUGUUCCCAGACACUUGAGUAGAACGCCAUCAAUUGUUCGGUAGAACAAGUCGUCCUCCAGUAGUACGUAUUUGGUAGCAUGAAAACGCACCCGCCGAUCCACUUUCUUAGAUGGAUCUUUCAGGUAGUCGGCAAUUUCUUUUCGCCAGUCAUUGGCCGCGAGUUCCAGAGCCAUAGCGCCUUGAAUUGGCCGAUACCCAAAUGCGUGCUGGGCGAGCUUGUUGGCAUCCUCGUUGUGAUUCCUUGGGAUGUGUUCGAUUACUGCCAAUUUGAACUCUCUUAAGAGCUGCAGGCAAUCUUCGUAAUAGAUCCUCAAUACAUUGUCCUUGCAUUCGGACUUCCCUGUUAAUUGAUCCACAAUAAGCAUGGAAUCCCCAAAAAUUUUGACAGAAUCGGCCUGGACUUCUCUUAGCAAUUGUAAUCCCUUCAAUACAGCUCGGUACUCUGCUUGAUUGUUAGCGGCGGUUGCUUCUAUCGGCAGAGAAAAAUCAUUGCUUGCCCCCCGAGGCAAUAUGAGGACGAUGCCGAUUCCUGAUCUGACCCCACAUGACGAUCCAUCAAAGUAUAAAGUCCAAGGUACCGGUUCCACGAAGGUAGCCUCUGGUCCGCAGUGUUGGGCGACGAAAUCGGCCAUGACCUGACCCUUGAUGGCUUUCGCCGAUUCAUACCGAAGGUCAAACUCUGACAAAGCUAAGAUCAAUUUGCCGAUUCGUCCUUUCAAAAUCGGCAAUGACAGCAUGUAUUUUACCACGUCGUCUUUGCAUACGACCACACAUUCCGCCGACAGCAAAUAGUGCCUGAGUUUGGUGCAUGAGAAGUAAAGGCAUAGGCACAACCGUUCCACUGGAGGAUACCUUGUUUCGGCGUCCAGAAGUCUUCUACUGACAUAAUAGAUUACUCGUUCUUUUCCCUCGAACUCCUGGACUAGAGCCGACCCAAUAGCUUUUUCAUCGGCUGAUAAAUAUAGUUUAAACGGUUUACCAGUUUGAGGAGGGACCAAUACCGGUGGUGAGAUCAAGUACUGCUUGAUAUCUUCCAGUGCUUUGCGUUGCUCUUCCCCCCAUAUGAACUCCUGGUCGGGCUUCAACUUUAAUAGUGGUGUGAAAGCUUGGAUCCGCCUAGAUAGAUUAGAUAUGAAUCUUCUGAUGAAAUUCACCUUGCCGAUUAGAGAUUGCAACUCAGUUUUAUUCUGCGGGGCCACGACUUGUUGAUGGCCGCUAUAGUCUUCUGAUUGAGUUCUAUUCCCCGCUCGUGCACCAUGAAUCCUAAGAAUUGUCCGGCGGAUACGCCGAAGGCACACUUAUUCGGAUUCAUCUUCAGCCCAUGUUUCUUCGUGCAUUCCAAUACUUUUCGCAAAUCGGCCAGAUGCUCCUCGUGUCCUUUUGACAUGACUACGACGUCAUCGAUGUAGAUUUCUACCAGUAUGCCGAUGAGUUUGUGAAAUAUAUAGUUCAUGGCUCUUUGAUAUGUGGUGCCGGCGUUUUUUAAACCGAAAGUCAUUACCACCCACUCAAACAAACCAAGGUGACCUGGGCAUCUGAAGGCCGUCUUGGGUAUGUCUUCUUCAGCCAUAAGUAUUUGAUUGUACCCAGCGUUUCCGUCCAUGAAACUAAUAACCUUGUGUCCCGCGGCGGCGUCUAUUAGUACAUCGGCCGUCGGCAUGGGGUAUCCGUCCAUUGGUGUGGCCUGAUUAAGAUUCCUGAAAUCGACGCACACGCGUAGCUUCCCAUUCUUCUUGUAUACUGGUACAAUGUUGGAGAUCCACUCGGCAUAACGGCAUUGCCAAAUAAAUUUUGCUUCGAUUAGCCGAGUUAUUUCGGCUUUUAUGUCUGGUAGGAUUUUAGGAUUGCACCGUCGUGCAGGCUAUUGAUACGGCCGAUAUCCUAGUUUUAUGGGUAGCCGAUGUUCAACAAUAGACCGGUCUAAUCCGGCAUCUCAUGAUACUCCCAAGCAAAACAAUCCUUAAAUUCUCUUAACAAACUUGUCAGUUUACAUUUGUAUUCUGGAUCUAAAUUUGCACUAAUAUAAGUCGGCCUUGGUUUGGUGCCAUCGCCUAAGUCUAUCAUCUCUAAUGAGUCGGCCGACGUGAACCCAUGUCCCAGCUUCCCAUAUUCUCGGGCGAACUGAUCCAUUUAAUCUGAGUCUUCAGAGCCGACUGCUCGGAUCGGCUGUAGGCCAAAAUCGGACACCUUCAAGAAGUCAGUAUCCCAUACUCUUCCGGAUAUGCACCUGACGGUUUCGCAGCUCCAUUGCUGCGUGUCAGCUGCUGCGAUGCUGUAUGCGGAAUCGGCGGUGACCACUUCGAUGUUGUCGCCGACCCAUUGUACGAGGCAUUGAUGCAUUGUCGAUGGGAUGCAGCAGUUUGCAUGUAUCCAGUCUCGGCCGAGAAGCAUGUUGUAGGACCCUUUGCCAUUAAUAAUAAAGAAAGUAGUAGGGAGGGUCUUACUGCCGAUGGUGAGGUCGACGUAGAGGGCGCCGCGAGCGGGGGAUACGUGUCCCUCGAAGUCCUUGAGCAUCAUAUCUGUCUUAGUCAGGUCAUCAUCGCCCUUCCCAAGCUUCCGGAGCACGGUGUACGGCAUGAUGUUGACUGCAGCGCCUCCGUCUACCAGUAAUCUAGUAAGGGGUCGGCCGUUGACAUGUCCUUUAAGAAACAACGCUUUCAGGUGUUGCCGUUUGUCGUCUUCGGGCUUCUCGAAUGUGGCUGUCAUUGGCUCAAAAGCCAAUUGCGCCAUCUGUUCUUCUAUUGCCGAUAUGUUCUGUCGGUCGGCAGGAGUCAUAAAUUCCAUCGGCAGUAUGAAAACCAUGCCGAUGUCGGCUGCCGAUUCGUCGCCUGCCGAUUCGUCGCCUCCUUUGUCGUUUCUUUUGGGGCGCCAUACCUGAGACCUACCUUCCCUCUUGUCCGUCGUGUACUGUUGUUCUUCCUCCUGCUGUUCCCAUUGGCGGAGACGCUGAAUUCUUCAUUUUUGAGACUUGGUCAAUCCAUCGGGACACCACCUGGGGUUCACUGGUUUGGUUCGUGGCCUGGCGCAUUCCCAUUCCGGUUCACGUCCUAAAGGGUUCUCGUCUGACACUCGAGCAUCGGCCAUCUCUUCAAGCUGACUGUGGACGCUGGCCCUGUUUUCUGGCCGGUCAUGUCGAUCGAAUCUGCCCCCCGGCCUAUCAUGGCGCCUGCCUUCCGACCGGUCAUAUCGGUCACUUCUGCCCCCCAGCCGAUCACGCACGGGAGGGCGCCGGUCGUCUCGGUCGCGCCAGUUCCUGCUGAUCGGCUCUGGUCUCCCGUCUCUAGAGCGAGACCUGUUGAACGGCCGAUUGUUACGAUACGGGCCGUUGCACUCCGGGCAAUUAUCGGCCGAAAGUAACUUGAGGUUGCUUUCCCAACAGUGGAUGAAGAACGGGCAUCUCCAGUGAUCUUCAUGUCGUCGCAUCGCUUCUUCCCGGGAUCUUGAACGUUCAUGUUGCCGCUGAUAUUUGUGGAGCAGGAAUUGGGAAGUAAUGCGUGGUUCAACUGAUCCGUCGUCAUCGUCCUCCAUCCGCCGCUUCCCCUUGAUGUCUUCAGGUGUCACUUGAUUUCUGGGGUCUACGACGCCGCUCUUUUUAGCCGAUUCGGACGUCAGCACCUUUGUUUGGAGCGAGUUCUUUCCCGCGUCAACCAUGUUGGUGGGGAAGGGGUGCUAAUCGAUCUUCAUCGGCUUGGCCGGUUUUGUUGGUACUUCAAAUUUAAGUCUGCCCUGCUCAAUAGCCGUUUGUAUCUGCUGCCGGAAGAUUUUGCACUCGUUAGUAUCAUGGGAGGUAGCGUUGUGCCACUUGCAAUAUUUCAUCUUCUUCAGCUGUUCGGCAGAAGGAAUAGUAUGGUAUGGAGAGAGCUUGAUCUGUCCUUCCUGGAGGAGGAGGUCAAAGAUUUUAUCGACCUUUGAUGUGUCAAAGCCGAACGUUUCCGGCUCCUUCUUGCCUAACGGGCAUGAUAUCGGUUUCUUUCCUUUAACCCAUUCUGCAAGACCGACUUCUGCAUCUUCUUCGGCCUCAACCUCUUCUAAGUAUGCCACCUUCUUCUGGAAGUUCCUCCGUGGAUCGAAAGAACGUACCUCCUGUCCAGACAAUCAGUGGACGAUUUGGCUCAAGCUCUCAAACUCCUGUGAGGCGUAUUUUUCCUUGAUGUGAGGUAGGAGACCUUGAAAGGCUAUAUCAGCCAGCUGUGCAUCAGUCAGAGCUAGAGAGUAGCAUUUGUUUCUGAUUUCUCGAAACCUCUGCACAUAUGAGGAUAUUGGCUCGUCGCUUCUCUGCCUGAGGCUGGUCAAAUCGGACAGCUUCAUUUCAUGUACCCCGGCGUAGAAGUAUUUAUGGAACUGCCUCUCCAGAUCAGCCCAUGUAAUAAUCGAGUUGGGCGGUAAAGUUGUGAACCACUGGAAGGCCGAACCAGACAAUGACGACGAGAAAAGCCGCACCCGUAGAGCAUCUUGCGCCGCUGCCUCACCGCAUUGGAUGAUGAAUCUGUUCACAUGUUCUACGGUUGAGGUAUCGUCCAUCCCCGAAAACUUGGUGAAGUCCGGAACUUUAUACCGAUGGGGAAACGGCAGUAAAUCGUACGUAGACGGGUAUAGUGUCCUGUAGGUGUAAGUCUGCACCUUUGGCUUCAAGCCGAAUUGUUCCUGAAUCACCUCUGCUAUACGUGCUGACCAAUCCGGCUGUUGCUGGUAAACCGUCGGCUGAGGGACUGGUACGUGAUGGUAUAUUGGCGGCGGGAUGACUUGAUGCUGAGUGAAAGUAUGUGGCAUUUGAUGUGUUAUAGCCGGCUGUGUAUUCAGGGUCGGCUGUUUGAAUGAGCCACUCGUUUCAUCAUAUAGUACGAGCUCUGCUGCUUUGCUCAUUUCUGGUGUGACAGGCUGGUACGGCGGCAUAGUUGGUCGAGUGGCUGCCUGGAAAGACGCCUGGAAUUGGGGACUUUCCUGAUUGGCCGAUUGAUCCUGAACGGCCGUAGCUGAUGAUGCCCCCCAAGGCGCUGGAUUAACCGGAGGGAACUGCGCAGAGGACAACUGAACGGGAUGGGGCUGGAGGUGUUGUGUGCCAGUAUACCCCAUAGAGAUCGAUGAUGAGGAAGCGCCUGAACCCCCAACUGGAAAAUGGAUCGGCUGAGAAGCCGAAUUCAGAUAACUCUUGUUUGGUGGAAUCGGCGGAGCAUAUGCCGGUCCCUUGUACCCUUGAGAUACCCCGCUAGCCAAGGAGCUGAUGACAGCAUUGUACACCGUAUUCGCAAGCACCGGGGAUUGAUCGAUGAAGGCUUGAUAAACGGACUGCUGGACCAUCUCGGCCAUCUUGUCCGAGUCCUCGGUGAUUGUGAUCUGGCGGGGAGUUGGAAACAGAGUCUUUUUGAUAGUUUCCCCGCUUCUGGUACGACUGAAGGACUGCAGGCAAGCCUUCCGGUAGUAUGCCGUCUGCCUCUCUAGUUCUUCCUUCUGGUCAUCCUUGAGAUCUGCUUCUGUCACUUCGAUGACGUUAUCUUCGGAGACUUCAGCAGCUUUUGACAUGGUGGCGGUUGUAUUGGUCCCACUGGGCGUGCCAAAAGUGUGUUGGCGCUAGAAAUCGGCUGAUCGAAUCCCCAGCGUCUGACACACGACCCGGGAGAAUCUGCUUAACUCCUGUUUGGGUGAUCGCCCUGGUGCGGUUCGCGCGGCGUGCCACCCAAUCUGACCUGUUGAUUGGCAAGGAAAAAUACGUGUCAGAUCCCAGAGGUUGCGAUCGGCUAAAUUUCCGAUCUCGAGAAAGCUUAUCAGCGAAUCGGCCGAUUUGCCGUAAUAAAGAAAUCGGCUAUGUAGCAGCCGAUUACCGGGCAGCGUGAAUGAAAACUGCUGGGGUAAUCAAUACAACGCUAUAGUAGCAAUACCAGGAACAGAUCUAGUCGGCUAUGCGUAAAACAAGUAAAUUAAAUGACGCAAUACGAGAAAAGCCGAGAUUGCCGAUUCCUAGCUGGAUAACUGAUGAUAAAACUAGAACAACAGGUAAAACCUAGAAUUCUAGUAGAUAUCGAUAACUAGUGAAUAAAUCUAAACGAAACAACAGCGAUGCGCCCGAAGUUAAAGCUUAGAAUUUACUCGAUAAACGGAACUUACAAGAUUAGCCGGAGGUCAAGUUGAUGCAGCCCCGCCAACCCGUACGAACUCGUGAAAGAGGAAAAGUAUUUGGCGAAGUCGCCUGCUUGAAAAGUAAGUACGAGGAAAUAGUAGUUUGUUGUAUUGAAUUGUUGAUGAUUACAGAUCUACAAAAGUGGCUAUUUACAGCCCCGUACACACGACUCCUUAUCUGACUAGAACUCUAUCCCUAAUUCAAAUGGAAAACGAAUAUUUACAAGUACGAUUCGUACUAGGUUGAUUAUUAUGCACUUCAUGGGCUGAUUCCCUCUUCAUCUUUAUAAUCCUUUCUAAGCCCAUACCGGCCCAACUAUUCCAACCUCCUAAUCGGCCGAUUUCCUCAUCGGCAAGGGGUAACCGAUCGGGAACCGGACGCGUCCGAUCCUAAACCUUCAGGGGUCAAGCGAGGCAGAAUUCUAAAGGUCAAGCGAGGCAGAAUUCUAAAGAUCAAUCGAUCCUGGACUGUAGCAUCGGCCGAUCCUGGACUGUAGCACCAACUAACCGAUCUUUAACUGUAGCGCCAUUCGGCCGAUUUCCAACUGUCACCCCUGUAUCUCGCCGUAUCUUCCAAUUUCUUCCUCUCCUGAUGCCGAUUUUACUCGUGUCAAAAUCUAGCGUCAACAGGUAGCUAGCAGCCGGAGGAUGGGACGGAAGCGGAGGUGGUCGGCAGCGGCGGGCAGAGUGUGAGGUAGCUGACAGCUGGAGGAGGGGGCGGAUGCGGUUGGUAGCAGGAGGCAGGGUGGGGUCGGAGGCGAUGAGCGAGGCAUGCGGGCAUCCUGCAGCUGGAGGUAGGGCUGGAUGCGGUCAGCAGCAGCAGGCGGAUGGGUCAGCAAUGAGCCACUUGGCGGGGAGGAAGAACAAAUAAAAGUGUUGGUCUCAAAGAAACACUUGUAGGUUUUGGAAAACAAUGGAUCCCUCAUUACGAUGGGUAGAGCUCACUGCAUUCCUUGAAUAUACUGUACAUAAAAGGACAUUGGAGGUGACGUGUACAAAUUGAAUUCCUCCACGUGGUCACAUUUCUCAUGCCUCCAUCCUUCCAAUCUCAGGACUUCACCUGCACACUAGAUCGAUCCUCCAUCCUUGUGUUUUCACCCUUGGUCCGAGAUAGUUGUCCAACCUCAUGGCACCUGGUUCAUUAUGCUGCCUCGAGAACUUAUAACCUCGUGAAGUCUCCCUUCAGGUUCCGUUCCUAAGUAAAGAGUAAAAAGGUGAAAGAUCGGUGUUCAGAUUAACAUCUAACACUCGAGGGUUAGCUCAGUUGGAGUUUAGUCAUCAGCUAUCAGUUGCUAGCUUUGAGUCUCUCUAGUAACAAAGAAGAUGUGAGGGUACGAGUUUUACUACCAGAAUAGUUUCCACAAGAACUUGCGAGGUUAGCCAAGUUUUGUUCCUUGGUCCAUAACUUGCCAGGUUACAGAGUUUUUACCCACGAACGGCGUUGGAGGGUGAUUAGUUUUUUGGCGAUCCCCAAUAGUAGCCCCUCAUGGGCGAGGGUAGACUCCGAUGGGCUGAACCCGUGACAAAGUGUUGUUCUAGUAAAAACGUCACCCUCGAGCGUUUGAGGAGAGAUGAUCCAAUGGUUACUUUUUAUGCCUGACGUUUUGAUUUUUGAUUGGUUGUCGCUUCGGCUUCAGUUCGAGGUUUGAGGCAUUCGUUCGCGCCUGUUAGCUCCCCUAUAAAAGGUGGGGUGCGGGUCGCUCGGGGCUACCCUCACGUUUUGCUAUCAGUUUGCACGUUGUUUUCUUAGUGCUUUGAGAUUCACGCUUCAUCAGCUAUUUUCGUCGAUCUUCAUAGCUUCGAAGGUAUUACUCUUAUCCAUAUUUUUCAUUCUUGUUUGCCUCUUACUCUAUUGUUUUGCUUUUUUGAUUUGCUGUUAUGUGUUGUUUAGCUAGCUUGAAUUAUGCAAACCGUUAUAUUGAUGACACGUGAAGAGUUAGCAGAGCAAGUGAGGCCACGUGGUGAUGCUCUCGAGGGACAAGAGGGUCGCGUGGGUUCUGAUCAUUUGGAGAUUUCUUCCGAUAGUGACAGUGGGGAGGAUCUUGCAAACAUCGAGGCUGACCCAUCGUAGCUUAUGGCUAGCAAGGAUACUUUCCCUACAACCCUUCACUUUGAGCAAUCUUUGGUUUCAUAGAAUACUGUUGAUUUUUAUGUCAGCAAGGGCUAUUUUCCUAAGGGUGUUGCUAGGCCUCCCGGCGAGGAGCUUGUGCCAAAACCUAAUAUUGGCGAGGCUUUGGUCUUUAGGGAUUUCUUUGCCACCGGCCUGCGGUGUUCCUGUGAUAAGAUGUUGCCUCAGAUCUUGGAUAGAUAUGGUGCUAAGCUUCAUCAGCUUACUCCUAAUGCCUUCGUGGCACUUUCUAAGUUUUACUACAUCGAGCGGACGUUCGGAGACGUGAUUGACGUUGAUGGUUUUGCAAGGCUCUUCGAGCUUGAUGUUUAGAAGAAGAGGGUUGAGUUUGAUGAGGAGGAGGGGGGCUUUUGAGAUGCAGUUUGGCUGUUGCACGUUUACGACCCGGAGGAAGAAUGAAAGUAAGAAAAUUUCCAGGGUCAACCUCUCUAUGGCACAGAAUAAUAGAUGGGACAACAUGUGGCUUAGCUAUUGGUUUUACAUCAAGGUGGACAUGUCCGAGGUUUCUGGCUAUGGUCAGUCGUUCUACCCAUUUUUCAGCUCAAUGUCUCCUUUGAUCAAUAUAACUGCUCCACCAUUCUUAAGAACAAAGGCUUUCCGAGUUUGCGAGGAUGCUUUUGUUCUUGCUUGUUCGUCUGUUGCUGAGUGAGACUUAGUUGAAGAAUUUUUGGCUGCGAACAUCUGGCUCCUUGUUGACGCAAAAAUCAGAUGGUGACCUUCGCAUAUUAACACACGAAACCUGAGAGAUCUGCUUCGCUCAAGUAUAGGUUGUAACCCUCUCGAUCCAAGGCAUGCCAGUCAAUUUGACCUGCUAAUUAACAAGGGCAAAGAAGUUGUUAAACUCGAGAGCAAAUCAACUGAUGUUCCAAUUAGCUCCAGGAGAUCGUAACGGCCGGGUAGCCGCUACAGAAAAAAGACGAUCGGCUAGGUCAGCCGAUGUAUGAGUAAUCAAUGCAAAGGAAUUGUUGAAAUGCAACCUAAACAAUGCUACGCGAACAACACUUGAAAUAGAUCUAAUCUGCUAUAGAACAGUUUUUGAUUGAAAAACAAGUUAAGAAGCCAAUCGGAACCUAUUCCAACCUGGAUAGUGGUGAUAAAAGCUAAAGCAACAAGAUUUAAACAAAUAAACUUGCAGAUUUCGCAAAUAUUGAUAACUUAAUGAAUAAAUCUAGACGAAAUAACAGCGAUGCAAAGAAAAUUAAAGCCUAGAAAUUACUUGAUAAACGUGGAACUUACAAUCCAGUCGAAGAUCAAGAUGAUGCAUCCCUGCUAGCUUGGAAGAACCUGUGGAGAAAAAGAGAACUUUGGCAAAGUCGCCAACUUGAAAGUAAAUUAUGAAUAAAGUAGAUUUGUUUGUUUGUGUGUACAUCUUUUUCAGACCUCGCUGCGUCUCUAUUUAUACCCUAAACUCAAGACUCCUAGUCCUAGUCUAUUACGGCGCAAUACAAUAUAUGUAACUAAAGAAACAAACUUGUCUAAAUAAAAGGACUCUGAUAGAGUCGGAGUGCCCGAUCUUUCGGUGAGUGGAGAUAAAUUCGACUUGGUGGAAGUAGACCCUCACGAUCCGACUACGACGAGCGAACCCGAAGCGCCAAUGCAAUCGCUGAACCAACUCCCGAUGGUUACCAACCUCGCUGGUGCGAGAUCAGCCUGAUCACGAAGAUCGAUUUCUGUCCGCAAUCGAAGAACGAACAAGAAAGAGAGGCGAGCAAUCUAAAUAUCACUCGAAGGUGGAGUUCUGAAUCACAAGGACAGCGCGUAUUUGCGCGUGUUCAAGAGUAGCUAAAGCUAGAUGUAAAACAAAACUCAAGUCGUAAACAAAAAGGACUCGGACUAAAUAAAGGGGGCGCAGCCCCUGGAGUCCGAAGGGGUCACGGCGCCCAACCCUAGGCGCCCCACCUGGGCUGCUCUGUUGGGCCAACUUCUUAUUCUGAUGGGCCUUCGUUCCUUAACAGCAUGAUGAAGUUUAAUUCUCUCGCACGGGCUCAAGUGAUUGGCCCAACUGGAUGAGCAACUGUAGGCGCCUGAGGUGGAGGAGCAACUGGAGGCGCCUGAGGUGCUGCUGGUGUAGAUGUACUCGUGGUGUCCUCAUCAGACUCGUACAAGAGUCGGAAAUGAAUUUGGCCUCUCUUGACCAACUCUACCUCCAUUGUCUCGCAAUAUCUUCACUGAUCAACUCUUGCCUUUUAACAGUCGAACCCCAAUAUCUCCGAUCGGCUGGAAUCCUCUUGCUCGCUUCGGCUGGGUCCCUGUCACCCUUCAUCAGCUGACACCUCCCGUCCUCAUCGGCUGGGUCUUCGUCACCUUUCAUCGGCUGAACCUUUGUGACUCUAUCGACCGUUUUCACUAGCCGUUGCCCUUCUGUCAUGCAUCAGCAUCUCUGCUUCAUUUUGACGCCAGUUUUGACACAUGUCAAAAAUGGUGUCAACACAUGCCCCCUAGUUUCGGAGUGAAAUAUAUCUUUCGCUUCCGAAAUUCUCUCGACCAUGAUUUACUUUCCUGAGAAAGUGCCGGCGAACAACGGUUUUGGAGUAAAAUAUAUUUUUUGCUCCGAAAUUCUCUCAGCCAUGAUUCACCUUACUGAAAAAAAUGCCUACGAACAAUAGCUUCUCAUAUUUCACAUGGACAGUGGAUGAAAUGCCAUACAUACCCUUCACAAGCAAGACUAUAAAUCCACGGCCAUUAUCUCUCUCCUCUGCUGGCUCACCCUUUCGCGCAUCAAAGCAAAUCUUGUUCUUCUCCUUCCUCAAGCGAAAAAGCGAUCUCCGGCGACCCGUCUGUGUUCCCCAACGGUUGCUUCAAGUCGCAGGUCCGCUCCAUCCAUGGUGACCCUUUCUUCAAUCCCUGAGGUAUGUUUCCUAUCUCCCAUCAUUCUUUCUACAUUCUUGUUCUAAAUUGACUAUUCUGAAUCAAUUCUCAUCUGCAAUUUAUACUCUUUGUUCUCCCUUUUCCCAGAUGAACUCGGUGAACAGCCAACUUGAGGCGAUCAUCCAAAUCCUCCAAUCCAACGAGAAGCUCUCUCAAGCAAACAAAGAUCUGAUCCAGACCAACCUUGAUCAAAUCAGAGAUUACAUUCCCUCGGAUGUCAAGCUGGUUUUAUCUGCAAUCAACUCUGCAAGUUCAAGUCGGCAGGUGCAACAAUCGGCCAUUCAAGCACGAGACCUUCAGCUUUCUUCUUCAAUUCUCGAAAUUAAAUUGACUACUCUGGAAGCUAGAUGGGAUCAACUUCCGCAAGAACUAAGCCAGAUCACCAGUGAGAUUAACAUAACGCCAACUCAACUGGGACACCAUCUAGGCCUGCUCCACCAAAGGGAACAAGUAAUCGCCAAUCUUCAAGUUGAAGACAACCAAGCUCGCCUGCGUGCGAUAAAAUCGAUCCAAGAUUUCUUGGGUUUGAUGUAAUGUCUUGUUGUAUCUUGAUAACUUAGAGGUCGCAGAUAUUAUUUGUUCUAAGGGCGAUGCAUAUUGCAUCAGCCAUGUAUCAGCCGACGUACCGAAUUGAAAUUGGCUUACUUGUAUCUCAUCGACUAUCAACAUGUUUGCUUUCCUUCUUUUUUUACUGAAGGCGAUACUCUCAGUAUCGGCUGUAACAAUCCGAAGUUUUAAGCCAUCGGCUAUGCAUCUACCCAUAUACUAGGGUAGUAUUUCUUUAAGUACUUCCCAUUUAAGGCUCUAACGAAUUCUUCCCAUUCAAGUGUCUCUAGAAUAUAUGCGUUGCCCGGAGCAUACCGAUUUACCCGAUAUGGUCCUUCCCACGUGGGCGACCAUUUUCCGUAUUUAGGAUCUUUAGACCCUAUCAGCAACACUAAUUUCCAGACCAGAUCUCCUUGGGAAAACUCUUUGACUUUGACCUUCUUAUCAUACCAUCUGGCAACUCUCCUUUUAUUUUCUUCAAUACUGAUCAAAGCCCUUAGCCGAUGACUUGCUAGAUCCUCCAACUCACCUUUCAUCAGGAUUGAGUAAUCAUUGGUUGUCAAUUGAUCCUGCAAUGAUAUACGUCUUGAUCUCGUCUUUAAUUCCCAAGGCAAAACCACCUCAUGCCCAUAAACCAACUGUAAGGGGAUACUUUUGUAGCACCAUGACAGGCCAUCCGAUAUGCCCAUUAAAAUUCAUUUAGCGUAACAUGCCAACGUCUUGGUUGCUCCUCAAUCUUCCUCUUGAUUAACUCGAUAAUCCCUUUGUUGGAUGCUUCAGCACCACUUGCUUGAGCAUAAUAAGGAGAAAAAUUCCAUAAUUUAAUUCCCAUACUGGCAGCAAAUUCAUCAAAUUCCACUGAAGUGAACAUAGUCCCCUGAUCGGUUGUAAUAGUCUGAGGGAUACCGAACCGAUAGAUAAUGUGCUCUUUAACAAAGUUAAUCAUGUUUGUCGAUGUCACAUUCUUCAAAGGAAUCACUUCAACCCACUUUGUAAAAUAAUCUGUUGCUACCAAUAUGAACUUGUGGCCCAUACUUGAUGAUGGAUAGUUCUGGCCGAUCAAGUCAAUUCCCCAACCCCUGAACGGCCAUGGCUUAAUUAUAGGAUUCAUAGCCGAUGUUGGAGCUCUCUGUACGUUGCCAGACCUUUGGCAAUCUUGACAACCCUUGUAAUACUUGAAGCAAUCUUCAAGGAUAGUUAGCCAGUAGUACCCAUUAUUUCUGAUUAUCCAUUUCAUUUUAAAGGCCAAUUGAUGAGCCCCACAAACUCCCUCAUGAAUUUCACCCAUUAAGCUUUUUGAUUCUUCAACACCAAGGAACUUGAGCAAGACCCCAUCAAUCAUCCGAUAAUAUAAAUCAUCCCCUAGUAACACAUAUUUUACAGCCUGAAGACGUACUCGUUUGUCAACCUUUUUGGAUGGAUCCCUUAAAUAAUCAGCUAUUUCUUUCCUCUAAUCAUCAACCAUCGGCUCUAAGGCCAUAGCACCACAAACCGGCCGAUACCCGGAAGCACUUUGAGCGAGUCUGUUAGCCUCUUCAUUGUAAGAUUUGGGAAUAUGCUCAAUGGUCAUGCUCUUGAAUUCCUUAGGUAACUGGAGGCACUCUUCAUGGUAGACUCUCAAAAUGUCAUCCUUGCAUUCAUAUUCUCUAGUUAAUUGAUUGACGACUAGCAUAGAAUCCCCAAAUAUUUUAACAGCAUUAGCUUUAAUCUUUCUCAAUAGCUUGAUGCCCUUUAAAAUAGCUUGAUAUUUGGCCUGAUUAUUGGUAGCGGUAGCAUCAAUUGACAACGAAAACUCAUAGUUUGCCCUCCGUGGUGACACAAGUACUAUGCCAAUCCCUGAGCCGAUUCCACAUGAAGAUCCACCAAAGAAUAAAGUCCAUGGAACUGGUUCCACGACAUCAACCUCCGGACCACAGUGCUAAACAACAAAAUCGGCCAUGACUUGUCCUUUAACAGCUUUAGCCGAUUCAUACUUUAGGUCAAAUUCUGACAGAGCCAAAAUCUAUUUUCCAAUUCUCCCAUUCAAAAUCAGCAACGACAAUAUAUAUUUGACAACAUCAUCUUUGCAUACGAUGAUGCAUUCAGCCGAUAAUAGACAAUGUCUAAAUUUAGUGCAGGAGAAAUACAAGCAUAAGCAUAGCCUUUCGACUGGAGAAUACCUGGUCUCCGCAUCCAAGAGUCUCCUGCUCACAUAAUAAAUUACCCAUUUGUUACCCUCAAACUCCUUAACAAGGGCCAAUCCGAUGGCACGCUCAUCAGCCGAUAAGUACAACUUGAAUGGCUUAUGUUCCUGGGGAGGUACCAACACUGGAGGUGACACUAAGUACCGCUUGAUAUCAUCUAACACCUUUUGUUGUUCCACUCCCCAAACAAAUUCUUGAUUGGCCUCUAAUUUUAACAACAAACUGAACGGUUGAAUUCUUCCAGACAAGUUUGAUAUGAACCAUUGAAUGAAAUUAAACUUGCCGAUCAAUGACUGAAGCUCAGUUUUAUUUUCCGGAGCAACAACCUUGUUAAUGGCACCAAUGAUCCUCUGACUAACCUCGAUGCCACGUUCAUGUACCAUGAAACCCAAGAACUGUCCACCCGAUACACCAAAAGCACACUUAUUUGGAUUCAUCUUCAGUCCAUGCUUCCUUGUGCACUCUAGAACCCUGCGUAAAUCAGCCAAAUGCUCUUGGUAUCCUUUUGAUUUAACCACGACAUCAUCGAUGUAAAUCUCCACUAUCUUGCUGAUGAGUUCAUGGAAAAUAUAAUUUAUGGCCCAUUGAUAUGUAGCCCCAGCAUUCUUCAAUCCAAAAGUCAUGACGAUCCAUUCAAAUAAGCCGAUGUGCCCAGGACACCUAAAGGCUGGUUUGGAAAUAUCUUCUUUAGACAUAAAUAUCUGGUUAUACCCAACAUUACCAUCCAUGAAACUAAUAACUUUGCACCCUGCAGCAGCAUCUAUCAGCACAUAGGCUACUGGCAUCAGAUAACCAUCCAUCAGCGUGGCUUUGUUGAGAUCCCUGAAAUCAAUACAAACUCAUAGCUUUCUAUUAUUCUUGUAUACAGGGACAACAUUAGAAAUCCAUUUAGCAUAAUGACACUGCUUGAUGAAGUUAGCUUCAAUUAAUCUUGUAAUCUUGGCUUUAAUAUCAGGAAACACUUUUGGAUUACAACGCCACGCAGGCAGCUGAUAUGGCCGAUACCCUAGCUUUAUAGGAAACCGAUGUUCAACAAUAAAUCGUUCUAAACCAGGCAUUUCAUAAUAUUCUCAAGCAAAGAAGUCUUUAAACUCCCUAAGUAACUUAAUCAAUUCUUGCUUAUAUUCAUAAUCUAUCUUAGCAGUAAUGUACGUCGACCUUUGCUUGCUACCAUCUUCAAGAUCUACCUGCUCUAAUUUAUCGGCCGACGUAUACCUGUGCCUAAGCUUCCCAUCAUCUUCAACGAACUCAUCCAUCAAGAUGAUUCUUCUGAGCCGACUGCUUGGACUGGCUAUAGUACAAAAUCGGACACCUUCAAGAAGUCUAUAUCCCAGGCUUUGCUAGAUAUACAACUUACUUGUUCACAGCUCCACUGUUGGGCAUCGGCUGCGGCAAUGCUGAAAGAGGAAUCGGUAGGGACAACUUCCACUGAAUCACUGAUGCACUGGAUGAGACAUUGAUGCAUUGUAGACGAGAUACAACAAUUGGCAUGAAUCCAAUCUUGACCUAAGAGCAUGUUAUAUGACCCUUUACCAUUAAUGAUGAAAAAUGUGGUAGGUAAGGUCUUACUUCCAACCAUCAAAUCAACGCAGAGUGCCCCCUGGGCUAGUGAGAUGUUUCCUUCAAAGUCUUUCAGCAUCAUAUCCAUUUUCGUCAAGUCUUCUUCGCCCUUUCCAAGCUUGUGAAACAUGGCAUAUGGCAUGAUAUUUACCGCCGCACCUCCAUCCACCAACAGCUUGGUAACUGGCCUCCCAUUAACCUAUCCUUUGAGGAACAAAGCUUUUAAGUGCCGAUGCUUUUCAUCCUCAGGCUUCUCAAAGGUAGCUAGCAUCGGCUCUAAGGUUAACUGCGCUGUCCCUAGCUUUGCUUCCGAUAUUUCACUAUGAUCAGCUGGAGCCAUAAACCCCAUCGGCAGAAUGAAGACCAUGUUCAUAUCUGCAUCCGAUUUAUGGUUAUUAUCCGUAUUAUCGGCUUUUGUUUUGACGCACCACACUUGGGAUUUGACUCUUUUCCUCUCUAGGGCACGUUUUUCUUCUUUUUCUUGUUGUUCCCAUUGGCGCAAGUGCUGAACUAUUCUCUUCUGGGACUUGGUCAAACCUUCUGGGCACCACCUAAGGUGCUUCACACCACCAUGCUAUGAUGCACGCUGCCUCUCUAGUUCGCGACACACCGGCUCCUCAUCAGGGACUCUUUCAUUGGCCCUUUCUUCCAGCCAAUUAGGUACAACAAUUCUGCCCCCAACCAAUCAUGCACAUUGACCCUGCCCCCCAGCCAAUCAUGCAUUGGAAUACGCCUAUCACCAUAAUCAAAUCUAUUUCUGAUGAUCGACUUGCGAUUUCUGUCAUCAAAGCAUGGCCUCUUAAACGAUCGGCUAUCUUGACACAACCCAUUGCACUCAGGGCAGUUAUUAGCCGAUGGUAGUUUGAUCCCUUCUUCCCAGCAGUAUAUGAAGAACGGGCACCUCCAAUGAUCUUCAUGGCGACGUAUCUUCUCUUCCCUGUGCGUUGCUAUCUCUUGUUGCCUUUGGAAUUUGUUGAGCAAUUCUUGAGAAGUAAUCAGCCUUGCAAGGUCCCUUUGAACUUUCUCCCUCUUCUAAUCGACCUUUUCCCUUGAUGUCAUCGACCGAUAUUUGAACUUGUGGAUCUACAACUCCACUUUUCUUGGCCAAUUCUAAAGUCAACACUUUGGUCUGGAUUGCACCUUUACCACCAACUUCCACCAUGUUAGUUGGGAAAGGGUGCUGGUCGAUCCUCAUUGGCUUUGGUGGCUUUGUAGGGACUUCAAACUUAAGUCUUCCAACUCAAUAGCUGAUUGGAUCUGCUGACGGAAAACUUUGCACUCAUUUGUAUCAUGAGAUAUAGCAUUAUGCCACAUGCAGUAUUUGAUCUUUUUGAGCUCCUCAGCUGAUGGGAUAGUAUGAUAGGGCGACAACUUGAUCUGCCCCUCUUGCAACAACAAAUCAAAGAUUUUGUUGGCUUUAGUAGUAUUGGACCCAAACUUUUCAAGUUCUUUCUUGCCAAAUGGACACAAAACUGGCUUUUUGUUUUUGAUCCAUUCAACCAAGCCAAUUUCCAUCUCUUCAUCCGAAUCGGAGUACUCCACAUAUGCAACCCUCUUUUGAAAGUUCCUCUUCUGCUCAUAAGGGCGCACUUCCUGGUUUGACAUCUGAUGCACGAGCUGACCUAGACUUUCAAACUCUUGCGAUGCGUAUUUUUCUUUGAUGUGCGGCAAGAGUUCUUGAAAGGCUACUUCAGCUAGCUGGCUAUCACUUAGGACCAAACUUUAGCAUUUGUUUUUGACUUCUCUGAAUCUUUGUAUAAAGCCAGCUACUGACUCAUCACUCAUCUGCCUUAAACUAGUCAAAUCCGUGAGCUUCAUCUCAUGAACUCCAGCAAAGAAGUAUUUAAGAAACUGCUUCUCCAGAUCAGCCCAGGAAAUAAUAGAAUUUGUUGGAAGUGACGUGAACCACGCAAAGGCCGAUCCGGACAAGGACGAUGAGAAUAGCCAAACCCUCAACGCAUCUUGUGCAACUGCUUCUCCACAUUGAAUAAUGAAUCGGUUGACGUGCUCCACUAUAGAAGUAUCAUCUUGUCCAGAGAACUUGGUAAAGUCAGGUACUUGGUAAAGGAAGCAGAUCAUAAGCAGGUGGAUACGGCAUUCUGUACAUGUAAGUCUACUACUUAGGUUUUAACCCGAACUGAUCUUGCAUUACUUCAGCUAUCUUUGCAGCCCAAUCUACCUGCUGGUGUGCAGACUGUGGCUGUCACGGUAUGACCAGCUGAAUCAUAAGUUGAAAAGUCAAUGCUUGUUGCUGCAGUUGUGGCAAAACUAUCGGCUGAGCAGCUGAUGCUUGUUGCUGAGGCUACGGCUGAACUAUCGGCUGAGAAGCCGAUGCUUGCUGCUGAGGAAGGAUAACGUGCUGUAGUGUGCCUACCUCCUCAUUACAAUACCAUUGUUGACCUGUCUUGAUGACGUAUCAAAGUGCCGGUUCCCCCAUUGACUUUUGAAGUAUCUUGCUGUUGAUGUUGAGUCGUCGGUUGAGGAGUCAACACCUGUGGUAUCUGUAUAUGAGACCCUAUGGAUGGGGUGAACGACCCUGGAGGCAUUCCAAACCCAGUGAUCGGGUUCCAUCCAAUUGGUGUUCCUGCUGCUCCCCAUUGCGCUGAUGAUGAAGUCAACAGCGAUGGAGUAGAAUAUACUGGGGAAAUCUGAGUCCCCAUCUGCGUCGGUGGAGGUAAUGUAGCAUUGGGCGUCAGUGGUGGCAUAACAUUGUAACCUCCUCUUGACUGCAUCAGCUAAGAAACCGAAUGAGUCAUACCAGGCGUUGUCAUGAUGUUUCCGAUUGGGGCACUAUUCACCCUACUAGGGGACUCAUAGGUUGGACCUCGAUAACCUUGAGGAGCUCCCCCGAGUAAAGUGUUGACGACAGCGUUGUGAACGGUGUUGGUCAUUACUGAAGAUUGAUUGAUCAACACUUAAUGAACAGCUUGGUUGACCAUCUCUUGCAUCUUCCCUGGAUUCUCAUCGAUAGUGAUAUGAUGAGGGGUUGGAAAAUCAUGCUUUUUAAUAGUUUCUCCCCUCUUGGUAAGGCUACAGACCUCAAGUACAUUAAUUUAUAUUCCUCCAUAGCUCUUGCCAGGUCACUUUUCUGAUCCUCCUUGAGAUCAUCUUUCGUAACCUCCAUGAUAUUUUUGUUUGAGAGAUCAGAAGGUUCCGGAAUAGACAUGUUGAAAACUGCUCGUAGUCCCACCGGGCGUGCCAAAAGUGUGUUGAUGCAAAAAUCGAACGGUGACCUUCGCGUACUAACAGACGAAACCUGAGAGAUCUGCUUCGCUCAAGUACAGGUUGUAACCCUCUCGAUCCAAGGCGUGCCAGUCAAUUUGACCUGCUAAUUAACAAGGGCAAAGAAGAUGUUAAAUUCGAGAGCAAAUCAGCUGAUGUUCCGAUUAGCUCCAAAAGAUUGUAACGGCCGGGUAGCCGAUACAGAAAAAAAACGAUCGGCUAGGUCAGCCGAUGUAUGCGUAAUCAAUGCAAAGGAAUUGUUGAAAGGCAACAUAAACAAUGCUACGCGAACAACACUUGAAACAGAUCUAAUUGGCUAUAGAACAGUUUUUGAUUGUAAAACAGGAUACGAAGCCAAUCGGAACCUAUACCAAGUUGGAUAGUGGUGAUAAAAGCUAAAGCAACAAGAUUUAAACAAAUAAACUUGCAGAUUUAGCAAAUAUCAAUAACUUGAUGAAUAAAUCUAGACGAAACAAUAGCGAUGCACCGGAAGUUAAAGCCUAGAAAUUACUUGAUAAACGCGGAACUUACAAUCCAGCCGGAGAUCAAGAUGAUGCAACCCUGCUAGCUUGGAAGAACUCGUGAAGAAAAGGAGAACUUUGGCGAAGUCGCUGACUUGAAAGUAAAUUACGAAUAAAGUAGAUUUGUUUGUUUGUGUGUACAUCUUUUUCAAACCUCGCAGGGUCUCUAUUUAUUGUAGGGAUAUGAGGUAGGCUACGCUAGCGCAAAUCAAAAUUUUUCUACCGCGUAAACCAGGAAAACUGCCGUAUAAGGAUCACGGGAUUACCACUCGACGCACUGGUGCAGAAGAUGUACAAUCGCGUCGGGGCAGCGAAGUCGAUCAGCGUAGUCGAACACGUAGUCGAUCACGUCGAUGUCGAGCAGCUCCUCAGCAACUCGUCCACGUGCAGCAAGAUCGUCCUCGUGCCGCGGCUCGUCAUCGGCUCGUCGUGGCUCGUCGGCGGCUCGUCCAAGUGCUGCAGGCGCAACACCUCCAAGGUAUCCACACGUGCAGGGAGGAAGCAUCGCAAGCCAGACUGCUAGGUCCGCGAGUUGCAACAGGCAAGGGCGUGGGAGGCGUGGCAGAUGUGUUUCGGCCAAAAAGGGAUCAAACCCUAGGGCUCCCCCCCCCUCCAUUUAUAGAGGUUCCUGACGGGCCUUUGGGUCCGAGGCCCAUUAGUAAUUCUAAACCCUUAAGUGUGUGACCCUAUGGGUUCGAAUACAUAUAGAUAUGGCCCGAGUACUCCUAUUCGGCCCAAUAGUCGGUAGCGGCCUCUAGCAAGACGUGCCAACUCCUAUACGCACACAAAGAUCAUAUCAGACGAACCGUCACAACAUCAUGUACAUGCUAUUCCCUUUGCCUCACGAUAUUUGGUCUAGCUCCAAGCCGACCGCUUUUCUCGAUCCUAUGAUUCGGAAUCCCUUUGUAGGUUAACUCUUAACUGUACGUAGCAUGGCUCUGCAUUUUCGAAUCCGAUCACUCGAGGGGCCCAGAGAUAUCACUCUCAAUCAGAGAGGGGCAAAUCCCAUCUUGAUUGACCAUGUCGCACAGCAUGCUUCUUGACAAAUCCGAAAGCUACCUUUUUAACUACCCUGUCACGGUGUAGCGUUUGAUAGCCCCUAAGUAAGUCAAUCCACAUCUUGAGUAUAUGCGACAAUCUUAGGUCUAAGGACAAAAGCGUACAUGUUGUGUAAAGACAGAACUACUUCUCGUGUUGGGUCAGUCCUAGCACAUGUCUCCACAUGUGCCCACAUUAUUAGUUUAAUAUCUCCAUGUCCAUGACUCAUGAAACAUAGUCAUCAACUAAUACAUGUGCUAGUCUAAUAUUCAUGUGUGUCCUCACAUGAACUCCGACUAGGGACAACUUUAGAAUAACCAUACAAGUAAAGAGUUUCACAUACAAUUCACAUAAUUGCAAAUUAAUUCAAGUAGCCUUUAAUGGAUAUUCAAGGAACACAAUAUAAUUCACGGAUACAAAUGGAAUAUCAUCAUCUCUAUUAUUGCCUCUAGGGCAUACCUCCAAAAGUCUCCCACUUGCACUAGAGUCAAUCUAGAAGGUACCUAAUACCCAUAGCUCUUACAUGCGCAUCAUGCUUAGCCUGCGAGAGUGGUUUUAUCAACGGAUCAGAAAUGUUCAGAUCCAUGUGUAUUUUGCAUAUCUUGAUCUCACCCCGGUUAACGAAAUCUUGAAUAAGAUGAAAUCGCCGCAUUACGUGUUUGUUCUUCUGGUGGUUCCUUGGCUCCUUUGCUUGCACAAUUGCCCCAUUGUUAUCACAGUAGAGAUUCAAUGGGAUGGACGCAUUCAAGAACACACCAAGCUCAAUGAGGAAAUUCCUUAUCCAAACACCCUCCUUCGCGGCUUCCGAAGCCGCGAUGUACUCAGCUUCUGUGAUAAAAUCGGCCACUGUCUCCUACUUGGAACUCUUCCAACUAACAGCACCACCAUUUAGCGUCAACACAAAUCCUGAUUGUGACUUUGAAUCAUCUCUGUCGGUUUGGAAACUAGCAUCGGUGUAACCUGUUACAGCGAGCUCCUCCUCACCUCCAUAGACGAGAAACAUAUCUUUAGUCCUUCUUAAGUACUUAGAAUAUUUUUCACUGUUGUCCAGUGACUCUCACCUGGAUCAGACUGGUGUCUACUUGUCAUACUUAGCGCAUAUGAAACAUCUGGGCGAGUACUUAUCAUUGCAUACAUGAUAGAUCCAAUAGCCGAGGCAUAUGUCACUCUACUCAUGCGAUCCCGCUCAUCAGCAGUCGAAGGACAUUGAGUCUUGCUGAGAUGUAUGCCAUGUGACAUAGGCAAGAACCCUUUCUUCGCCUCUUCCAUCCUGAACCGCUUCAACACUUUGUCAAUAUAAGUAUCUUGGCUUAAUCCUAUAAGCCUUCUCGAUCUAUCUCUAUAGAUCUUAAUACCCAGAAUAUAUGCCGCUUCCUCUAAGUCCUUCAUCGAAAAACUAUUUUUCAGUGAAGUCUUUACGGACUCAAGUAUAGGAAUGUUAUUUCCAAUCAGCAAUAUGUCAUCCACAUAUAAGAUUAGAAAUACUACAGAGCUCCCACUAACCUUCUUGUAAACACAAGACUCUUCUUUGUUCUUGGUGAAGUCAAACCCUUUGACCACUUCAUCAAAAUGAAUGUUCCAACUCCUAGAUGUUUGCUUCAAUCCAUAAAUGGAUCUCUGAAGCUUGCAUACUUUUCCAGCAUUUUUUGGGUCGACAAAACCCUCUGGCUGUAUCAUAUACACGUCCUCAGCUAGGUUUCCAUUUAGGAAAGCUAUCUUGACAUCCAUCUGCCAUAUCUCAUAAUCGAAAUAUGCAGCUAUAGCUAGAAUAAUCCGAAUGGACUUAAGCAUCACUAUGGGCGAGAAGGUCUCGUCGUAGUCAACUCCUUUAACUUGUCGAAAACCUUUUGCGACAAGUCGUGCUUUAUAGAUGUGAACAUUUCCAUCCAUGUCCCUUUUCUUCUUAUAGAUCCACUUGCACUCUAUGGCUUUAACACCAUCAGGCGGGUCAACCAAGUUCCAAACUUGAUUGUCUCCCAUGGACUCUAUUUCGGAUUGCAUGGCACUCUGCCAUUUUUCGGAGUCUGGGUCCAUCAUUGCUUCUGCAUAUGUUGCAGGCUCAUCAUUGUCCAACAAUAAUAUUUCCCGCAUUUCGCGGAGCCUUGCCGACCUUCGUGGUUGUGGCGGUGCUUCUCUUGCCAUGAGUAUCUCAACUUAUUCUGCUACGUCAGCAUCACUCAUUGAUUCUUGCCCGAUCGGCUCAUCUUAAACUUCUUCAAGAUGCACUGUCUUUCCACUCUUUUCUCCUUUAAGAAACUCUUUCUCUAGGAAAACCCCGUUCCGAGUGACAAACACUUUGCCCUCUGACCGGUUGUAGAAAUAAUAUCCUAACGUUUCCUUUGGAUAUCCCACGAAAAUGCACUUAUCCGACUUGGGUGUGAUCUUGUCCGACUGAAGUUGCUUGACAAACACUUCACAUUCCCAAAUCUUUAGAAAAGACAAACUGGGAACUUUUCCGGUCCACAUCUCAUAUGGUGUCUUAACUACGGAUUUAGAUGGUACCCUAUUAAGUGUGAAAGCUGUUGUUUCCAGAGCGUAUCCCCAAAAUGAUAACGGUAGGUCCGACUGGCUCAUCAUUGAUCAAACCAUGUCUAACAAAGUUCGAUUACGUCGCUCGGAUACACCGUUUCUCUGGGGUGUUCCAAGCGGCGUAAGUUGUGGAACAAUUCCGCAACUCUUUAGAUGAUUGCUAAACUCGUGGCUCAAAUACUCGCCUCCACGAUUAGAUUGUAAGGCCUUAAUUUUCUUGCCACGCUGAUUUUCAACUUCAUUCUAAAAUUUCUUGAACUUUUCAAAGGUUUCAGACUUGUGACUCAUCAAGUAGACAUAGCCAUAUCUACUAAAAUCAUCAGUGAAAGUUAUGAAGUAUUGGAAUCCUCCUCUAACCGUCGUGCCCAUUGGUCCGCAUACAUCGCUUUGUACGAGUUCCAACAAGUCUACUACUCUCUCAGGAAAACCUGUGAAAGGUGUCUUGGUCAUCUUGCCUAGCAAGCAAGCCUCACAUGUCUCGUAUGAUUCAAAAUCAAACGAAGUUAGAAGUCCAUCAGAAUGGAGCUUCUUCAUGCGCUUUUCACUUAUAUGACCCAAAUGACAAUGCCACAAGUACGUAGGUGUAAUGACUUAGGUUUAAUCAGUCGAGCUUAAUCUUAAGACAAGUUCCCAAAUCUGCCGUUCAACUCAGCCCGACCCCUGAAACCCAAUUAAACAGCACCAACCUAGUGAACAUCAGCUCUUCUCUAAGUCCCGGAACCAGUGUUCUUCCAAAUCUUGGAGUUGUGGGAGAGCCAAAGGCUGGAAGAUGGACCCAAAACCAGAUCCCAUGGAUCUCUCGGGUCCAACGCGCUAGAGCCAGCGUGCGCCCUGCUUCAGAGCCUCUCCGCCGCGUGGCUCAACCUCCCCGACGAGCGCCGCCUCGCCCAGUCGCCAGCCGCGACAAGAAAGAUCAGCGCGCCUCCUUCCCAAUCGCACGCAGAAGCACCCUGCAGACUUUCCGCCUCGUCUCGUCUUGCCCGCAACCUCGCUAGCUGCACCAGGCGCCCUGUCACCGCUGCGACCAGGGAUUGGCCGCUGCCGCGCCAGACCGCCUCGCCUCCCGCGCUCAUCAUCUCACCCAGAUCCCUAGCCGCGCGCCCCGAUGCCUUCCGGCUUUUCCGUCACCCUCUCAGUUGCGCUGCCCACGCGUGCGCCCCACGACAAUACCGUCCUCGCCAACCACGGCUCCGGCAGAGGCAGCUCCUAUUCCCGCCUCGCCAGUAGCGUGCCCCGGCAAAGCUGCUGGUCUGCGCCGGCUCGCAUCGCCACUCACCCGGUCACCUCGCCUAUAGCGCCCUCACCUGCAGUGCCCCUUUCUUCCUUCCUGUCACACGCUAGUCGAGCCGCCGCACCCAAUCCGCCGCUUGAUGUGACCAGACUCGCGCUCGCCCUCGCCAAUCCUUCCCUCCAGCAAAAUCGUGCCUGCACAAGCUCUGUCUCUAGUGCCCAAUGACCGAAGACCCUAUCCCCAAAGCUCCGCUUCGCCGGCCAAUGGAGGCAUCGACCAAUCGCCGCCAUGGCAGAGCACUUCAUCCCCUUCGACCUGAUCCUCGCACUGCCCGAACUCCUACUCUUCCACACAGCUAUAAAAGGGAGUACCAGAGCCUCUACCAGAGUUCCCUUCAACAUCGUUGCCUCACCGCACCUUCCUCUAUUCGCACUCAAGCGCUGUCGCAUAAGCUCUUGAGGAACUUCCCCUCUCCGCUCAACACCCGCUUUUCCCAACCCACCAGCCGCCUGUUUUCUCCGCACGAUGCUAGAGCUUACUUGUUGUACACAAGGAGCAUCGCCGCCGCCGGAGCACCGCCGGACCUCGCCGCCACCCAAGCCUUAGCACCUUAAGUCUUUCCGCCUGAGUCUAUUCCUUCCCGACCACAAGACUUCACCAAGUGGGCCUAAAGGUAAGCUGCCGACCCCUUUCCGGCUCGCCCGACCCCUUUUUCCGUCUCUCCCGACCCUAUCUGUUCGCCGACCCUUGUCCGCCUCGCCCGAGGGCUCGGCUAUAUCUUUUUCUUUGACCCGAGGGUAUCUGUGUAAAAUUUCGGGACUUCUCUGUGUUAAGUCUGAGGACCCUGGUACAGUUAUUCCUUAGGUCUGAGGGUCAGAUCAUAAGUUUCUCCCCAUCCGACCCUUUUGUCUUGUUCUCUAUCAACUGAAGCUUGGAAUUCCACACCUUUUCCUGUAGCUUGCUACAAUUUUCUGAGCUAAAGUGUGCAAGUGUUGUUGAAAUAACCUUCUAAAUGUUUAACCCUUGCAUUUGCAUUUUCGUGUAGAACUAAAUCUCACCGAUAGCACCUACGAGCUGCAUCCGGUGCCAGAAGACGGAGCGCUAGCUGAGCCGCCGACCGCAAGAGCUGAAGCAGAACCCGCAGAAGACCAGUUUGCCUCCGCCCCGCUCGAAGGAAAGCCCCGGAGCAUAACCCAACUUUUCUAAACUUGUGCACGCCUUCACUUGUAUGCAUGUGCAUUUACGUUAUAGGAGUUGUUUGAAACCAUAGAUGCAUGACUCAGUUCCCUUGAUCUGAACACUAGCAUGAUAAGUCCGAAUAGUUGCAAUGCUUAACAGGACUCGGUAAAAGUCGAGUGAUUCCCUGUCACUCGCGAGUUAUAGGAGUUGCUUGUUUUCCUUCUGGUUACAACUAUAAGGAUGGUGGACAGGGCAGGGCCUUGUGAACUCUUUUUGGUGGUCGGUGGAUCGCCCCGUCUGUCUAUAUGAAACUGCUUAAGGUCGGAAAGUGUUGGUGUUUAUGAUCAAGUGUUUGAAAGUACUAAUCUCAUACCUAGUAUGGGAUGGGGAAGCCUAGUACCUGAUUGAACUAGGGCGUGGCUUAUACCCCUGCUGUCCCUGGAACGAGGUUCCCAUGGUGCAUCAUGUGGGUGCAAGUGCGGUCACAGUACGACAAGAGGUCGGGACUGUGGAGCAUUGCAUGCCAAGGGAAGUUUGGACCUGACACGUGCCUGGGAAUUGAUGGGGACGGCCGACACAGGAAGCGACCCUCGGUGGUGCGCGGAUGUCGUGAGAUUAGGUUUGCCAUGCAUGGUUAAGAAACCCGAAUCAAUUCGUCUGCCUCUCACAGUUUGAGACUGCUUGAUCGCUAUGCUACACUGAGUAAAGAUGAAAUAUGGUGAUGAUAUGAACUUGAUGCUUUCUCUAUAUAUAUAUUGUUUGGAAACUAUGUUUGCUUAGCAUAAGUUGCAAAUAUAGACUGGUUAAUGAACUUAGAACCGGAGCUAAAAUAUUAAAAGUAAGGACCCACUGUAGUUGCUUUUGGCAGAACAAACCCCUCAACCAAAGAGCCUUGCAUGUCUAAAAGUUGGUGGAGUAGUUUUCCACCGGUCGGUUAAGUCUUGUUGAGCUUAGUAGCUCAGCCUUGUUUGUGGCAUCUCUUUCAGGUGAAGUUGCAGCUUCUGAGUGUGCUGCUAUUGGCACUUGGCCGCCCCAGCUUCCUCCUGGUCGGACGGCGAGGACAGGGACCAUUGAUGUCCUGAUCGGCCUCAUCAGGGACAUCCGACCCGACGCUAGUUUCCGCCGUUCUGUUUUACAUUUUUCCGCUGCUCAUGAACUUGUAAAACUCUGAUUUUCAAACCAGUGUUGAAAUAAAUUGUUGAACUUGUUUAACUUGGAUGAUCUGUUGUAUUCUCUGUAACCACUCACCUUCAUGUGAACUAUGCUAACUCGGUCCUGUAUAAGUGGUUUUAUCGGAUGAAAUCCGACGGAUCGUCGAGUUGACUUGAUUAAAGCAUAUGAUCGCGUGUUAGGCGACUUAAAUGUGCUUUAGUUAAGUUAAUCCGAGGUGUUCUGCCACAGUAGGACUCAAAUCAUUAGGCCGAGGCCUUUUAGCACUUACGUUACAGACAGGUGAACCAUCAAGAUUUAAAAAAAACAAUCCAUUCACAAUGGGUGCAAAAGCCAUAAACAUAUCAUUCUUAGAGAUCACACAACCAUUGUUUUCACUCACAAAUGAAUAACCAUCCUUCAUCAAGCAUGAAGGAGACAAAAUGUUUCGACUUAAACUAGGAACGAAAUAACAAUUAUUCAACUCCAUAAUAAAUCCUGACGGGAGGUGGAGUUGCAUCGUCCCAACGGUCAACACAACAACUCUUGCAUUAUUGCCCACGCGGAAAUCAACUUCUCCUCUUUCCAUGCUUCUACUUCUUAUCAUUCCCUGCAUCGAAUUGCAAAUAUGAGCAACCAAUCCGGUAUCAAAUACCCAAGAAUUAAUAAUUGUAUCAGCGAGAAAUAUGUUGUCUAUAACAUUAAUAACAAGCGUACCUGAGGUGGAAGUACUCUUACUUCCGCCAUUCUUCAACGAAGCUAGGCACUGCUUGCAAUUUCUCUUCCAGUGACCAAGUUCAUGACAAUAAAAGCACUCUUUGUCUGGAGCAAGUCCAGGUCCAGCUUUAACCUUGGGUGCUGGGUUUGGCUUGGACAUUCCAGCCUUGCUCUUCUUCUUUCAAGAAUUGCCCUUCUUCUUAAAGCUAGGCUUGUUCUGUAUAGCCAUCACAUGGCUACUACUAGCGCUUUUCUUAAUGUCAGCCUCUGUUAUUUUAAGCAUGACACACAGUUCAUUCAGACCCUUCUCCGUCCCAUGCAUAUGGUAGUUCGAGAUGAAGUUCCCAUAGCAGGACGAAAGAGACGAAAGAAUGAAAUCAGUGGCCAACUCUUGGCCCAGUGGGAAGCCCAGCUUCUCCAACCGUUGAGUGUAACCAACCAUCUUGAUUACAUGUGGUCCUACUGCUGCGCCUUCUGCUAGCUUCCUCUCCACAAAGGCCUCAGACACAUUGAACCUUUCAGUCCUGGCCUGUGUUUGGAACAUGUCUCUAAGCUCCACGAUCAUAUCGUGCGCCUCAUGGUUUGUUUUGAACUACAUCUGCAGCUCGGGUUCCAUGCAAGCAAGGAUAAGGCAGAUUACUUCGAGGUCAGCAUCACAUGCUUUCUUGUAAGCAUUCUUAGUAGUAGCAUGUGCAUCAUCAGCAGGUUCUUCUGGUAGUGGGUUGUCUAGAACAUCUUCCUUUUUCUCAACCCUGAGAACAAUUCUCAGGUUACGGAUCGAAUCCGAGUAGUUUGUUCCAUUCAACUUGUCCUUCUCAAGGACCGAACGCAAAGCAAACGGUGUAGUGCUGCUAGGUGCCAUUUAAUCUACAACAAAAGUAAUGCAAAAUACACUAAGACAAACGUAUCCAUGAUAGAGCAAAUCACAUUAAACUAUUUUAACAGAAUCUACUCCCACUAAAAUCAAUAUCCCUCUAUUGAUACUUAGUGAUUCAGGAUCCACAACUAACAAGUCCACUAGUGAGCUUUAGCAUCACCGCUAGCAAACAAGGUAGAUCGGUAAGCAACUUCUUGCUAAUCAUAUCACAUAUGAUUCCUGUUGUUGGGUGACAUCUCCAUGUCUUGGCACCCAACCUUUAUGCUCCAAGGUCCUUAACCAUUAAGAUAACCUUGUUAAGCAAACCAACCCUUAUGCGUGUAAGUGUCCGACACAAACCCGUCUAGUCAAGGAAAACUAGUGGCACCCUAAUUUCAUAGACCCACCACCAAUUGUACAAGACAUGGGAUGGUGCAAGUUUUAGUUGGGAAGACAUACUAACUUAAACUUUGUGAGGGAUCGUUCUACUUCUAACAUCACAUCAUGCAGGAAGUAAAACAUAAAGAAUAACAUGCACACAAUUGUGACACAGUAUGGCCUGUUUUCUUAUGGUAAUUUCCAUCUCCACAGAACCUGUUCACCAUGGUGAUCUCCAUCUCCAUGUUCCAUGUGCGUCAUCCUCCUGGUGAUGAGUCCUCAAGGAAAUAGAACAUGCUAUGAUGCCUAAUAGCUGGUAAUGAAGAUUACAUAGUUGCUUGAAUCAUCAUAGAUUGGUACGCAGACCAUUAAAUACAUUAAACUGACAACACAUAUGGCUCCAGCCAUGUUGGCGUACGCGCGACACGCAGGUCAUGAAUGACUAACACACAUGCAUCACAUACACAAAGGGCCAUACUGAUCACAAGAUACAUACAUCCUGCAAAAUAGAGUUAGGCGUUCUAACGUUCCAAACAUCAGAGACCCGAAACUCCAUCUUCCAAGCUGAAUUUGGGAAAUCUAAUUUUGCCGAAAAUGGCAAAGCCAUUGAAUUUCAUGUGUAGCUUUUUCUGUAGAUCAAUUUUCAUCUAAAAUUCGUACCAAUCCGAGAUCGUACCGAAAAGUUACGGCUGUUUUACCGAAGCACACGCACACGGCAAAAUUCCGACCCGGCAGUAGAUCCAUUCUACUAUUGCGCAUCUCAUGCGCCUGGCGUAUGAACCUGAAUUUCGAUUCGACCAAUCACAUCGAUCUUCGCUCGUUGCAACUGGCAUUAUGUGAAUCACUUAACUCUGAUGGUGGAAAUACGACCGGUAGGAGUAUGUCGUUACACAACCAUUGCAGCACGAUUAUGAAACUAGGACAUAGAUCAAACUGAAAACUCGCAUAUCUCCAUAUGCACACAUCCCGAAUCUAAAACAAAACAGUUACGGCUCUGAUACCACUGUAGGGAUACGAGGUAGGCUAGGCUAGCGCAAAUCAAAAUUUUUCUACCGCGUAAACCAGGAAAACUGCCGUAUAAGGAUCACGGGAUUACCACUCGACGUACUGGUGCGGAAGAUGUAGAAUCGCGUCGGGGCAGCGAAGUCGAUCAGCGUAGUCGAACACGUAGUCGAUCACGUCGAUGUCGAGCAGCUCCUCAGCAACUCGUCCACGUGCAGCAAGAUCGUCCUCGUGUUGCGGCUCGUCAUCGGCUCGUCGACGGCUCGUCGUGGCUCGUCGGCGGCUCGUCCAAGUGCUGCAGGCGCAACACCUCCAAGGUAUCCACACGUGCAAGGAGGAAGCGUCGCAAGCUGGACUGCUAGGUCCGCGAGUUGCAACAGGCAAGGGCGUGGGAGGCGUGGCAGAUGUGUUUCGGCCAAAAAGGGAUCAAACCCUAGGACGCCCCACCCCUCUAUUUAUAGAGGUUCCUGAUGGGCCUCUGGGUCCGAGGCCCAUUAGUACUUCCAAACCUGAUCCAACUUGGAUCAUAUCCGAGUUGGGCUUCCAGCCCCUUAAGUGUGUGACCCUAUGGGUUCGGAUACGUAUAGACAUGGCCCGAGUACUCCUAUUCGGCCCAAUAGUCGGUAGCGGCCUUUAGUAAGACGUGCCAACUCCUAUAUGCACACGAAGAUCAUAUCAGACGAACCGUCACAACAUCAUGUAGAUGCUAUUCCCUUUGCCUCACGAUAUUUGGUCUAGCUCCAAGCCGACCGCUCUUUCUCGAUCCUGUGAUUUGGAAUCCCUUUGUAGGUUAACUCUUAACCGUACGUAGCAUGGCCAUGUAUUUUCGAAUCCGAUCACUCGAGGGGCCUAGAGAUAUCACUCUCAAUCAGAGAGGGGCAAAUCCCAUCUUGAUUGACCAUGUCUCACAGCAUGCUUCUUGACAAACCUGAAAGCUACCUUUUUAACUACCCUGUCAUGGUGUAGCGUUUGAUAGCCCCUAAGUAAGUCAAUCCACAUCUUGAGUACAUGCGACAAUCUCAGGUCUAAGGACAAAAGCGUACAUAUUGUGUAAAGAGAGAACUACUUCUUGUGUUGGAUCAGUCCUAGCACAUGUCUCCACAUGUGCCCACAUUAUUAGUUUAACAUCUCCAUGUCCAUGACUCGUGAAACAUAGUCAUCAACUAAUACAUGUGCUAGUCUAAUAUUCAUGUGUGUCCUCACAUGAACUCCGACUAGGGACAACUUUAGAAUAACCAUAGAAGUAAAGAGUUUCACAUACAAUUCACAUAAUUGCAAAUCAAUUCAUGUAGCCUUUAAUGGAUAUUCAAGGAACACAAUAUAAAUCAUGGAUACAAAUGGAAUAUCAUCAUCUCUAUGAUUGCCUCUAGGGCAUACCUCCAGCAUUUAUAUCCUAAACUCAAGACUCCUAGUCCCAGUCGAUUACGACCCAAUACAAUAUCUGUAACUAAAGAAACAAACUUGUCUAAAUAAAACGACUCGUACAAGAGUCGGAAAUGAAUUUGGCUUCCCUCGACCUACUCUACAUCCAUUGUCUCGCAAUAUCUUUGCCGAUCAAGACUCUCUUGCCUUUUAACGGUCGAACCCCAAUAUCUCCGAUCGGCUGGAAUCCUCUUGCUCUCAUCGGUUGGGUCCCCAUCACCCUUCAUCGGUUGACACCUCCCGUCCUCAUCGGCUGGGUCUCCGUCACCUUUCAUCAGCUGAACCUUUGUGACUCUAUCGGCCGUUUUCACUAGCCGUUGCCCUUCUGUCAUGCGGCAGCAUCUCUGCUUUAUUUUGAUGCUAGUUUUGACACAUGUCAAAAAAUGGUGUCAACACUCCUUUCUCGUGGAUGGACGCCAAAGGAAUUGUGAUGAAAACAGUGUCAUGGUACCCUAGACCGAUUCCUUUUCCUAUUUUUGGAUUGAGUUUGCCAAAGGGGGCCAAUGCUAGUGUUUUCGUUGACGAGAUCGAGAGGCGGGCUGUGGAUAUUCUAGGGCCCUGUCACGAGAAUGAGUUUUUGUCUACUCGUAAGUUUGUUACGCAUGGUCUUCGAGUGAACCGUGUUUUUUCGGAGAUGGGCAUAGAGGUGGAACCUCACGUCAAACCUCGCAAACCCUCUACGCGGAUGAGCGAGGCUGGUACGACUGGUUCGGUUGAAAUUGGUGGAAAUGGGGGGAAGGAUAAGAAGAAAAAGAAACCUAAUGACUCAGCUUCUUUGUCUGUGGUCGACGUUAGCAAGAAAUCCAAGAUCUCUAGCCUCGAGGCUCUUAAGAAGAAAAGUUUACUUGGUCAAGGCUCCUCUGCUGAUCAGCAGUUGAGCUUUUCCAGCAAAAGGCUCGAGGUUGGCAAAAGCUUUGUGCUUACAAAAUGCGAGCUCAAGGCUAAGUCGGAUACCACCAGGUCAGAGCUCAAAGCUUCCGGAGCCUUGGCUGGGUUCAAGUUGAAGAAAUCUGGAAAGAAAAUUGGAGUAGGAAUUGUAAGUGUCCUAGAUGAUGAUGAUGAUGAUGAUUAUGAUGAUGAUGAUGCAGAAUUUUGAGAUGAGGAUUUGUCUCUAGCUUCGUCUUUGCACCUCAAGGCUGAGGAAACGUCUCCUCGAAAAGAGUUGUGCCCCGAGGCUGCUAUUGCUACCAAGAAUGACAAACUUGACCCGGUGCCUGCUGAGUCAGGUAAAAAUAUCGUCAAAUUUUCGCCUAAAUUAAGCUUCGUAGAUUCCAACGGUGCCUCUAUUAAUUUUUUAUGGAAUUCCAAAAUACUUUUGGCGCAGCUGGAGAGCCAUACAACAAGCUCUCGAUGCUUUUGAGAGUGAAUCCUGUACCCAAGGGCUCUGCUCUGCCUCAGUUUGUGGUAGAUUACAGUAAGGCUUUUGGCACAGAACUUAGGGAAAAUUUAUUGUCUGUUCAUGUGCCUAGGUCAGGUGAGGAUGAUGAUCCUUUCAAUCCGCCACUUCUAUGGGGAUCGAGAGACUCACUUCAGGUUGUAGGUGAAAUAGCAAAGGCAACUUUAGGGGUGGCUAAAACUGAUAUUUCUUCCGAGGUUCCUGAGGAGGGCGAGGUUGCCAAGGAAAAAGAGAAAAUUCCUCAAGUUCCUACAAGGGUUAAGCCUUCUGCUCAAGAUAAUACUCGAGGCAAUUCAUUUGAUCUCGAGGGUUUGUAUUUUGAUGAUGUCUCUUGUUUUGUUUGAUUCUUGCUUACUUGCUUAUUUAUAUGAUGUUCGAUGUUUUGAUAGAUUACGAGAAGUCUUUACGAUGCUACGACCCUAUCAUUUGGCAAGAAUAACAGCUACCCUCAGGUAUAAGGUAUUGCUUUUGUGACUGUCGAGGUUUUGGUGGUCUAGCAAUGCGGUCUUUUUCUUAGUUUUUUUACUUGUUUUUCGUCAUUUCUCUUUUUAGGCUGUGAUUUCUAACAAGGUUGGCAUUGAUAGGUUUCAGGAGAAAGAGAAAGCCGCACUUAGCCUCAGCACCAAGAUUCUGGAACUCGAGGCUAAGAUUGUGAGGUUAAACAAGGAGAACGCGUCUUUAAAUGAUCUUACGACCUCACUUUCUUAGGAAAACACAGAUUUGAAGAAAAAUAAGGAAUUGCUUGUGAAGACAUGUAGUGACCUUGUUCAGAGGGUGGAAAAUUUGGAGAAAAUUUAACAAGAUAAUCUUGGUGUUAUAGAGAAGUUGCGGAGCACUAUAAAAAAGGAUUCAACAACUAUUUCAUCUUUGAAAAAAGCUUGCGCUGAAAAGUAUACGAUGAUCCAUACACUUGGCAAGAGCCUCCAGGACCAGAAAAUUUUUAUUGAUGAAGGGGAAUAGGUGUUGAAGAGUAGAUUUGCAUAGGUUCACAAUGGAUAUAAACUUGCUUUGGCAGAGUUUGGUGCAGGAGCCCCUUCCUUUCCCUACAGACAAGGGGCCAAGGAGAUGUUUGAUUGGAUGGACCAAGAGUUUGAGUCCUUUCCCUAGGUCAUUGUUGGGGCUAGCAACUACGCGGCCUCUUUUUGCUGUGAUGGCAUGCUGAUAAAUUGCUGGAGGGUGAUGGUUGUUCUGAUUUUUUGAAGUUUGGGGCAUGCAGUUAUUAGUUUCCUUUAGCCUCGAAGCUUGAGGAACAAGAGAUGUCUAAAAAUAUUAAAAUUUUGAAGAAAAAUUCCUUGAAACGAUUCUGGGCAGCUUCUGGACACGAUCAUGCAAGGCUAGUUGCUCGUGAUCAACUUGCGAAGGUUUGUGUUCUUAACUCUUGAUUGAUGUUUGUACCUUUUCUAGUUGUUUUCUUACUGGUAUUUUUUUGAUCAGGCCAAGGGUAAGGAAUCGAGGGACGAAGGUGAAGCUGGUGGUUCUGGGCAGCACGAGGCGUAGGCUCGAGGCUUGAUUUAGUUUGAUGUGAAGCUUAGGAUCAGGAAGUGAGACAUUUGCUGGUUGUAAUAUUUGAUGGUUGUAAACAUUUGCUGUAUUGGAUGCCUUUUCGACCAUAGCUAUUUGAAUAUAGUUGUUAAUUGUGGUGUUUGUCAUCUCUCGUGCUUUUUGUUCAUGCACUACUUCUCACGAAUCCUUUUUUCUUCAAGGGUGUUUUAUGUUUGGCUACUGUGCCAAAUGUGUUGCCUGAGGCUUCGAGCCCCUUGGCCCUUAGAGCCACGAGGUUUCGAGGUUCGACCCUUGGUUAUGCAAUAGAAAUUCGUUUUGGACUUGUAACAAAACUCGCAGCAAAAAGGAAUAAAUACUGUUUUUCUUUUUGGAAAAAUGUCACCCCCCCCCCAUAUUUCUUUUUGCGAAGGUUUUGUUCAUGUUGCUAAAGAUUUGUGAUGCAUGUGCAAUCAUUCGUUAGUCUUGAGGGGGUUAUUGAUCCAUUGCCUUAGUGUAUUUUCACACAAACGGAUGAAGAGCUUUUUUGUAAAAAAUGUCAAACCCCCUCCCCUCUUCCAUUCCUUUGUGUGAAAUGCGUUGGUUGGUGCCUUUUUUUAUUAGAGACUAUGUUAUCACUUCUACUAAAGUUUGCGUAUUUGAGUAUUCUAAAGAUAAGUUGACAAAACUUAUUUUCGAGUUUUGUUGACUUAAUAAUUUAAUGUAAAGUUGGGUCGAAAUCGCAACUCUUGGUUGCUUCGACCGCAAAGCUUGUAAAUCUGCGAGGUUAGGUGGAAUUUUUUAUGAAAGCCGAUUAUUUAAAAUUUGUAAACCUGCGAGGUUGGAUAGAAUUUUUUAUGAAAGCUGAUCAUUUAAAACUUGUAAACCUACAAGGUUGGAUAAAAGUUCUUCAUCACAUAGGAGUGUGAGGCUCGGAUGCGCAGAAACGCAAGUUUUCAAGGUGUUUAAAGAUUAAAACUGGUGUUGCAACUUGUUGUUGCUUCUACCCCAUGCUUGUGUAGAAACACAAGUUUUUUGUCACACAGAAAUGCGAGGUCUGGCAACUUGUUGUUGCUUUAGGUUGGAUUUUGCGUAGAAACGCAAGUCCUUCUUGCGUAGAAAUGCAAGUUUUUCGUCGCAUAGAAUUGUGAGGUUUUGUAACUUGUUGUUGCUUUUUUGCUGGAUCUUUGCACAGAAAUGCAAAUCAUCCUUUCGUAGAAACAUGAUAAAGGGGGAAUUGUACUUCAUUAGAAUCUAAAGGGUUUACAUGGAUCCGCCUCGUUAAAAACCUUGCCUCUAGUGUGGAUCCCCCCUAGCAAGUAAAAGAGUACGAUUCGUUUGCAGAAAAGUAAAUACGAUAAAGUAAAUUUUGUGCCCUUGACAUUGUUUAUAGAUUCACAAGUUGAAGGCUUUUGUAAGUGUAGUGACUAUGGGUAAUAUUUGCACAAGUUGUCCACAUUCCAAGGGUGUGGCAACUCUACUCCAAGCUGAUCUGCGAGGUAGAAGGAUCCUAGCCUAUUGCUUCGAGUGACAAUAUAUGGCCCUUCCCAAAUUUCUUGUAACUUCCAGAGGUUCUCCCAGUUUUUUCUCUUCUUGAUAACUAGAUCUCCCACCUUGAUUUCUUUUUUCACUACCUUCUUGUCCCUCCACUUUUUUUGUUUCUUGUUGGUACUUGUCAAGGUUAUCUGUUGCUUGGAGUAUAUCAAGCUCUAUCAUGUCUUUAUCGAACUUUUCAUUGUCUGAGGAAGCCUCGAUCUUUAGCACUCUUUAGCUUUCAUUCCUGAUUUCUUCAGGUGUCAUUGCCUCAGAGCCAUACAGAAGCCGGAAAGGUGUGAAGCCUGUUGCUCUCAAGGUUGUGGUGUUGUGAGACCAUAUGACUCUUGGUAGCUCGUCUACCCAUUUCCCUUUCUUUUGGUCGUAUAAGCAUUUUUUGAUCAAAAAAAAUUAUGCCAUAUGCUCUUUCUAUGACUCCAUUUGAUUGUGGAUGAUAUACUGAGGUAAAUUUUACCUUGGUUCCUAUACUUGCACAAAACUCCUUGAAAUCAUUACAAUCGAACUGCUUGCCAUUGUCUACUAUUAGCUCUCUGGGAACCCUGAAUCUACAGAUGAUGUUCUGCCAAAAAAACUUUUGCACAGAGCUCAAGGUUAUGUUUGCCAAUGGCUUAGCCUCAAUCCAUUUGGAUAAGUAGUCAACUUCCACCAUUGCGAACUUGCAGUUGCCUUGAGCAGUUGGUAGUGGUUCCACCAAGUCCAUGCACCAUCUCUGCAGCGGCCAAGUUGGCGGUAUCAGCUGUACUGGUAGUGAAGGUGCUUUUUGCUAAUUGGCUACCUUUUGGUAGGCCUUGCAAGUUCUUACUAAGCUUUGAGCAUCAAGGAUUGCGGUUGGUCAGAAGAAACCUUGCCUUAUGGCUUUACCCACAAAGGCUUUGGUUCCGAUAUGAGAACCACAAAAACCACUAUGGAUUUCAGUUAGUAAUUAUUUUCCACUCUCUGAGGUUAUGCACCUAAACCAAGGAGCCGAUAUUCUAGAAUUGUACAAUUCUCCAUCAACUAUGGCAUAGCCCCUAGCCCUUUGCUUUAUUUUGCUUAGUUCAGCCUCGUCAUGUGGCUCGAAAUGUCCCCUAAGAUAAGCCAUGAUUGGAGCCCUCCAGUCAUAUCUGGUGGUGUUUAUAACCUUCGAGGCUGGCUCUUUUGUUGACUUUGAAUGGAUGACUUCGUAGAACACAUCAGGAGGCAUGGGUUGGUUUUGUACUGCUGCUUUUUCUAGUCUGUCUGCUUUAUCAUUUUCUGCCCUUGGGAUGUGCUGUACGGUGAAUCCCUUGAAAUAUUUCUCCAUCGAUCUUCCUGCGGCUAAGUACUUCACGAGCUCUGGCUCUCUAGCCUCACUAUUUUCCUCAAUGUGCUCUUGUAUUACUUUUGAAUCUGAUUUUACAAUGAAUACUCAUUGGCCCAAGGCUCUCCUUUUCCUUAGCCCCAAGAGUAAUGCUUCAUAUUCAAUAGUGUUGUUGAUGGACCUUGCUUCAUUUUAAAAAUCAAGCCUUGCGGCGUAUCUGAUUUUCACCCCCAAUGGUGAGGUGAUUAUCGCAUACACUCCAGCCCCCUUGUCACACCAGGCCCCAUCUCAGUGUAUGAUCCAUGGGACCUCGAUCUCAGUUUGGCUGAUGCAUGGAGAUGUCCAAUCUACUAUGAAAUCAGCUAAAACCUGAGAUUUGAUUGCACUUCUUUUUUGAAGUCCACCACGUACUCAGAUAGCUCUGAUGCCCAUUUUAUUCUUCCUGAGGCUUCCCUGUUUGUGAAAAGGCUAUGAAGCAGUUGGUUGGUGACCACUACUAUUCUGUGACCCUCAAAGUAAUGCCUUACCUUGCGUGCUUCCAUGAUUACGGCAUAGGUGAUUUUUUCUAACUCUGAAUAAAACAGCUUUGAUGCGAAAUAUGCUAGCGUUUGUUUUGACUUGCCUUCAAUCUCUCUUUCUUGCACCAAGGCGGCAUUGACUGAGGAGUUUGAGGCUGACAAGUACAGCAGCAAGGGUGACCUUGGCUCGGGCGGGCACAACUUUGUCAUAUUUGUUAGGUUGUCUUUUAGUUCUGCGAAGGCUUUGCUCUGUUGUUCCCCCACUCAAAUUUCUUGGAGCUUCGCAACACAUGGAAAAAAGGUAGGCUUCAUUCCACAACUCUUGGGAUGAAUCUGUUGAGAGCUGUUAUUCUUCCUGUUAACUUUUGCAUAUCUUUUACUGAAAUUGGUUCUUUCAUGUCAAUGAGGGCUUGAAUUUUAUCUGGAUUGGCCUCGAUGCCUUUUGUUGAGACCAAGCAUCCCAGGACCUUACUGUUGACACUGGAUUUUGGAUGAUUUUCCAAUAAAUUUCAGAAUAAGGAAAAUAAUGGAUUCACACUGCAUGGCGAAGGAAAUAUAGCAUGAUCAUGUCUAGUUCCGAUGCGAGGCGUGCGUACAAGGAAGCCCAACGUGUUUCGGCCAGGAGGAGUUCGUGACGUCUACAUGAAGGAAGCAAUGGUAUAUAGAGCAAAUCACAUAAGAUUUCCAUUAUCUGGAGUGAUUAGCAAAGUGGCCAAAAUAUUGUAUUAUUUCUUUUGGGUCUUGUACGUGAUAAUUUGUUAUUAUACGUAUGGCUAGGAGGCAGGAUAUGGAAUGAUAAUUAUGGUAACUAAAUUAAGUUAGUCAUAUUCGAUUUAACCCUAGAGUCUUGCCUUGUACAAAAAGUCCAUUGCACCCUAUAAAUAUAAAGAGUCGUGACUCAUUGUAAAGCUUGCUGGUUACUGCACCAAGUUUUGGUGUCCACACUUACCUCGUUGAAUUCCAAAUACACAUUUUUCUGGAUUCAGCUUUAAGUUUGCUCCCCUCAGAUUGGCAAAAGUUUCCGCGAGGUCAUGAAUAUGACCUUCUCGUUUGUCACUUUUACAACAAUAUCAUCCACGUAGGCUAGGAUGUUUCUUCGAAGUUGCUUACUCAAGACUAUUGCUAUCAUUCUUGAGAAAGUUUGCCCCGCAUUCUUGAGCCCCUCAGGCAUUCUUACAAAGUAGUAUGUCCCAAAUAGAGUUAUGAAACUUGUCUUUUCCUCAUCUUCUUUUUUCAUUCGUACCUGGUGAUAACCUGAGAACAUGUCUGGUAGUGACAACAUUUCACUAUUUGCAGCAUCAUCUACCACUUUAUCAACCUUUUCUAGCGGGAAGUCAUAUUUUGGGCAAGCCUUGUUUAGAUCAGUGAAAUCUAUACACAUUCUCCAUUUGUCGUUCAUCUUCUUGACUGGGACUGUGUUUGCUAGACAUUCGAGGUACAUAACCGUGCGUAUUACAUUGGCAUCAGCUAGCCUUUGAACCUCUGCUUUGAUAUCUCGUAUCUUGUCCUCUAAUAUUUUUCGAAGCUUUUUCUUUUUGAGUCCUACGCCUUUGUUUAUUUCUAGCUUGUGUUCUAUUAUAUCCCUAUCAAUCCCUUGCAGGUCACUUGUGGACCAUGCGAAGACAUCCUUGUUUUUGUUCAGGAACUCAAUUAACCACUUUUCUUUGUCAGCCACGAGGUUAGCCCCGAUUGUUACAACUCUGUCUAGAAUGCAGUCAUCUAGCAACACCCUUCUGAUUUCGCCGUCGACGCUCAUUUUCACCUUUUCUUUGCCUCUUUUAGGUUUGAUGUAUGGUUUUUUCUUUUCUGAUGGCUCAACCUCCUCGGGGCUUGCUAGGUGGUGUACAUUUUUCUAGCCUGGGGUUGCACCUUUUUCAAUGUUCCUGGCUGUUUACUGAUCGCCAUAGACUGUGAUGACUCCUUUCAUGGCUGGGAUUUUCAUACACAAUAAAAGCUGCCUUAUAACUGCAUCAAACUUGUUAAUGAAUCCUCUGCCAAAGAUAGCGAAGUAUGGAUAGUACAUCUCCACAACGUUGAACAUUAUGCAUUUCGUUCUGGCGUUGUCUAAGUUUCCAAAUGAUACUGGCAAUGCUAUUUUUCCCAAGGCUCGUACUGGCUUUCCACCAAAGCCAAGCAGUGGCACUUCUGCCGGUCGUUGCAGGUGAGGAACGAUUUUCAUUUCCCUAAAUGUGCUUGCAAAAAUGAUAUCCGCUGAGCUUCCAUUAUCGACUAGCAGUUUUUUGAUUUUCCAUCCGGCAACGAUAGCCUCGAUCACCAUCACAUCAUUAUGCGAGGAUGUUUUAAUUUAAAAUCUUCUUCCGUGAAGUAGAUGGGCAUGUGUGCCUAUUCUAGCUUGGCUGUGGCCCGACAGGGAUGAUGGAAUGGACUUGUCUGAAGUAAUUUUGCCUUUGUCUUUUGUUCUCAAACUCUAGAGAGGAUCCACCUGCUAUUAGCAUGAUCAUGCCGUAGGUGGGCAAGGCGUUUGAAUUGGUUUUCGGAUUUAUGAGUUCUUGCAAGGAUCCUUCCGAUAUUGGUAGCCGUAGGUGGGUAGGGCUUUGGGGUUGUUGUUUUGGGUAUUGUUAGGCUCAGCUUUAGGUAUUUGAUUGGGUAGAUUUGGUAGGGGCAGUGGUAUCUCGUGUAGAGGCUGGAAAGGUGCGUAGUUUGCAGUUUGCGAGGCUUGCUGACUUUGAGGUUGAUACUAUGGUGAAGGUUGCCACAUCAUGGUGGGUUGGUAGUUGAAGGAAGGAUUGGUAAAGGAGUUUGCGAGGUUAGUAUUUGGGUUUGCUUGUGGAUAAACUUGGAAGUAUGGCUGUUGUGGCCAAAAAGAGGUGUAGUGGAUGGUUUUUGGUGCUACGGCUACUCUUUUUUCUUCAGCUAUUCUUUCGAAGGUCUUUUUCAUUUCUUGGCAAAAGUUGGUCACAUGAUCUAGUUGCUUGCCAUGAAAUGUGCAAUAGAACAUUUGAGGUUGAUUAUUUUGAUUGUGCAGCCUCUGAGGUCCUCUGCCUCGGCCUCUCCCUCUUCCGGAAUGAUCGCCUCUUUGCCCGUUGCCAUAGUUUGUUUGCUGUUGUUGUUGGGGCUGCCUACUAUGAUCUUGAUUUUGCUGUUGUGAGGAUUGAGCACCCUCGAUUGGUAGCACGUGCUGAGCUGGCUAUGGCUGCUAGUAUUGUGGAAAAUUGUAUUUCAAGGCUUGCCAAUUUUGGUCUUUUUGAUCUUGCCUUUGGCGGUUUCUUUCCAUUACUCUUUUUCUGUGAUCCUCAUCUGACCUGCAGUACUUUUCCAGCUCUGCGAACAAAGCUUCCAUGGUUUUUGGCUUUCCACUUGUUAUGUGCGAAGCUGUUGAGCUUGGUGUUAGCCCUCUGAUGAAGGCUGUUAUGGCUACGCUUUCGUCCACAUCUAGAGUUUGUGACUUCAAUUGCACAAAUCUUCUAACAUAAUUGGCCAGAGGUUCUUUGUCUUUUUGGAUGCAAUGGAACAAGUCGCUCCGGUCUAAUGUUGUACUGGAAGCCUUGGAAGUUUUGUAUUAGCUUUGUCUCGAGAUCUGUCCAACUGUAUAUUGACUAUGGUAGGAGUAGCGAGUACCAGUUCAGUGCUGCUCCUUCGCCUGCUAUGAUUAGGGCCUUGCCUAAAACCACAUCAUCUCCUCCGGCCGAUGCUACUGCAGUUUUGUUACUCAUGAGGAACCAGCGAGGGUCAUUUUGCCUAUGAUCGCCUUGUAAGUUGUAGGCCAUGGAGUCGUUUGCAAGUCCAAGAACAAUGGAGAGUUUUGGUCAACUGUUACAUAAGCGCUUGUCAUCAUUGGGUGUUGUGCCCAGCAAGAUUAGGAUUUGCCUGUGGGAUAGAUGCAUCGUUUAUGACAUGUUGCUGUCUCGAAGGUGGUGGUUGUGGGGGCAUGUUUUGCAAGUAUUGUACUUCAUCCAAUUCUUGAUUUAGUUUUGGCAUGUUUUGCAAGUAUUGUUUUUCUUGAUUUAGUUUUGCUAUUUUCCUGGCCGCUAGUCGUUGUGCUUCCAAUUCUUGAGCAAAUCUUUCUUUUUCUUUUUUCAAGGUUUCGAGCUGCUUUAAUACCGAGGCCAAUUCUUUUUUCUGCUCCAAGUAAAUCGUUUACUGUGCUUGUUUAUGGUUAUGUUUGGUUUGUUGUCUCUACCUCGGCUCUUUUUUUCUCACUUCUUGUUCGUAAGUUAGCCUCGACUCUUUUUAAUCUCUCAAGGGUGUAUGUGUCAUCUUGAUCAAUAGGGACAAGUCCUCUCUCUUGCUCUCCUUUGCCCUCGGUGGUUUCCUGCAGUGUGAUCUUCUUUUUCUUUGGUUGUAGCAUCGUGGGUUGUGUUGUGGCUGAGAACACGGUGGGCGUCCUAUUGGUCUCAAAGAAAAUUUGAUACCAAAUAGAUUUGUGGAUAAAAAAAUAAAACACUUGGAGGUUUUGGAAAACAAUGGAUCCCACCUUGCAACGGGGUAGGGCUCCCCUUUUAUAGUGACCCAUGAGCCACUUUACAUUCCGAAAAUGUCCUUCCUCAACCACUACAUUCCUAGGAUAUGCCGUAUAUAAAGGUCAUUGGGGGUAACAUGUACAAAUUGAAUUCCUCCACGUGGUCACAUUUCUCACACCUCCAUCCUUCCAACCUUGGGACUUCACCUUCACGCUAGAUCGAUCCUCCAGCCUUAUGUCUUUACCCUCAGCCCGAGAUAGUUGUCCAACCUUGUGGCGCCUGGUUCAUUAUGCUGCUCCGAGAACUUAUAACCUCGCGAAGUCUCCCUUCAGGUUCCGAUCCUAAGUAAAGAGUAAAAAGGUGAAAGCUCGGUGUUCGGGAUUGACUUCGAACACUCGAGGGUCAGCUCAGUUGGAGUUUAGUCAUCAGCUAUUAGUUGCCAACUUUGAGUCUCUCUUGUAACAAAAGAAGAUUCAAGGGUACGAGUUUUACUACUAAAAUAGUUUCCACAGGAACUUCCGAGGUUAGCAAGUUUUAUUCCUUGGUCCAUAACUUGCGAGGUUAGAGAGUUUUUGCCCACGAAUGGCGCUGGAGGGUGAUUAGUUCUUUUACCUAUCCCAACAAAGAGGCGGGGGUAGAGGUGACGACGGUGCGGUCUAGGCAGCGGGCGGGCAUACGAAGGCCGGGAUGCAGGGUGACGGUGGCGUGUGCGAGGCGGCGUGGGUGGGUGGGCGAGAUGGAGGCGCUGGACGACGGCAGCGUGGAAGGGUGAGGCGACUGGUGCGGGUAGCAAAACGAGGAGUAGAACAUGCGAAGGGCAUGUGUUUGACAGAGGAAGAAAGGAGUGGGCGAGCUAGAGACUUGAUAAGAAAGAGAGACCGAACAAGGAAGGGAAAAAGGGAAACGAGAGGAGAAGCGUACAAAUUAUUGGAUAUGAUUAUAUUAUUUAAUCCUUUUAUUCAUAUGAAUUUACAUUAUAAAUUGAAGGAAAAAGUAAAGGUGAAUUGGACAUUUGAUCUAUUAAUCUAUUCAUCAAAAAAAUAGGAAAAGUUGUUCUACCAAACGCUUUCCAAAAAUGACUUUAGCUCCUGCAAAGAAGUCGCUUCACUAGAGAAGCCGCAGCCAAAGCUGUCUUGUCAAUAGUCAGAGCCCUGCCAAACAGACCCAGAUAGAAUGGGAAUUAAAGAAAGACAAGAAGAAAAAGAAAUAGGAUGAAAAAAUAGAAAAAGAAUAAAGGUAUUAUGGACAUUUCCUCUUUUGCAUCCAUUUGAAGCUACCUCCAUUAUAAUUGUUCCGUAAAAUAGUUCUCGCAAAUUUACGGUUCAAGUAAAAGAUAGUAACUUAUUAGUUAUAAGAAUAUGAAUAAAAUAUGUGUGUCAAAAUAUAGGAUUGCAAAUAAGAGUUGACUGAAGUAUAUAGAGAAUGAGAGAAGUAAGACACUAGUAGAGAACUGCCAUCCAACCCAUUUUGUCUCGGUUAACAUUGGACCUGGCGCUAAAGUGGCUUUAGUCCCGGGUUAAAAAUGAGGCACCGAAAGGACACCGACGGGAGGGGUUUUAGUCCCGGUUGUAAAAAUCUGGCACCGACGCCACCCUCCUUUUUGUCCCGGUUGGAAAUUCUAACCGGGAUAAAAGAUUUAGUCAUAGUUGGAAUUACCAACCGGGACAAAAGGGGACAUCACGCGGCUCGAGGCAGCGCUCUCCAUCCGCUUCGUCUAGGCUCUCCUCUCCACUUAUCUCCUCAUCCUCAUCCUCAUCCUCCUCCCUUCUUUUCCUCUCCUCAUCCUCCUCCCUCUCCUCAUCACUGGCGCCACCCGUUCCCCUCCUCCCCCUCUCGACACCACUGCCACCCCCUCCUCCUCUGCUCGCCCCUCACUGGCAGUGAGGAGCGGCAGCGGGGCGAGGGCAGGGCAGCGACCGAGCGGCGGCGGGCGAGCGGCCGGCGGGUGUGGGCGAGCAGCACGGCGGGCGGAGGCGGCGAGCGGGCGGGCGGAGGCGGUGAGCGGGCGGGCGGAGGCGGCGAGCGGGCGGGCGGCGGGUGGGGGCGGCGAGCGGGCGGAGCAGGGCGGGGCGGCGGCCGGUUGGAGUGGGGUGGCGGUCGGCCGGCCGGCGGGCGUGGGGCGGCUUUUUUUAUUUUUUUUUCAAAAAUUUUAGUCCCGGUUGCUAACACCAAACGAGACUAAAGGGGGUUAGACCCGGGACUAAAGAAACUUCCUUUUAUCUCGUAAAAUUAAUGCCGGUUAGGCAUUGGAGAUAUACGGUCCUUCCCAACCAGAAUUAAUGUUCAGUUUCUACGAGUGAGAAUUCGUAACAUGUACGAGGAAUAGAAGCUUAGGUUUGAGUGUUCGGUUGCAAUGUGCGGAGAAGUCGUGUUUGGUUCACACUAUGGUACUUCAAAUACCAUAUUUUUUCAUGCUCGGUGUAUUGCCUUAAAAACUUUUUCUGGCAACGAUGUGAUAUACUCAUAUACGUUGCAUCUUAAUAUUGUAUUUUAUAAAUUCUUCCGUAAUCCAUAAAUUAUAGAUACCACGGAUUAGUAUCCCGCGUGCUGGUAUCAUUUUUUGUCUUCUUUUUCUAGAUAACAAAUAAUAUUGGAUUAUGAUUCUUUUUACUAUUGCAGAACUCUUUGGUUAAAAUUUAUAUCAGAGAAUUCAAGAAAAAAUACGCCGAUAGGCGGUCAUUGAUGGUUCUCAUUAUCAUAUGAUUUCAUGAAACUUCCUUGUACAUCUAUGUUAAAGUUAAAUGUUUUGUAAAAUAAAUUUAUGUUAAACUUAAGUGAGUUCAAUUCACAGUGCUUGUCAAUCCAAUGUAUAUAUGAUUAUAUUGUUAAGGCAACUAGGGCCUGGUUUGGUUCUAUUUGCUUAUUUUUAAGCAAGUGUCACAUCAAUGUUUAGAUACUAAUUAGGAGUAUUAAAUGUACAUUGGAUUGACAAGCACUGUGAAUUGAACUCACUUAAGUUUAACAUAAAUUUAUUUUACAAAACAUUUAACUUUAACAUAGAUGUACAAGGAAGUUUCAUGAAAUCAUAUGAUAAUGAGAACCAUCAAUGACCGCCUAUCGGCGUAUUUUUUCCUGAAAUUAUCUGAUAUAAAUUUUACCCAAAGAGUCUGCAAUAUAAAAAGAAUCAUAAUCCAAUAUUUAUUUGUAUCUAGAAAAGAGACANNNNNNNNNNNNNNNNNNNNNNNNNNNNNNNNNNNNNNNNNNNNNNNNNNNNNNNNNNNNNNNNNNNNNNNNNNNNNNNNNNNNNNNNNNNNNNNNNNNNAGUGACACUAUCAGACCCCCAGACUUUUGCUAUGCUCCCACGUGGUUCAGUAUAAUAUAAGAAAAAAAUCAAGUCGCUACAGAGCAAAACAAAAUUUACACUAUCACCCCCGAUAUUUGAGGCGUUAUGUUCCCUUUGCUUAAAAAUAAGCAAAGGGAACCAAACGCCCCCUAGAUAGGUGGUCAUAGUGUAAAUUUUGUUUUGCUACGCAGGGACAUGAUUUAGUUUCUAUAUUACACUGAAACACGUGGGCGCCUAGCAAACCUCUGGCGCCUGCUGAUCGACUACUGCGGACUACGGUAGUGCCUAGCGAGUAGCGACCCGGAGAAGAAAACGAUAGGGGCAAAUACCAAAGCCCAAGAAAUCAUGGUAGCCUCCGCGCGCGUGCGGAGUCUCUCGAUGGGGACCACCAGGGCGCCACGGCUGGCUGUAGUCGCCAGCCAAGCAAGCGGCCGCGAGCACUGGUGGCGGCAUCGGCGGGUCAGCCACUCGGCCCGGCGCAGCGUCGGCGACGGCGAGCAGCUACGCUGCCUGGGAGGAGAAUGGCCGUCGCUCGCAUGCUCAGGGAAGCUCAGAGGCGCCAAGGUGAGCCCGCGCUUCUCCCUCUCAGCUUGUCGUGUGGUGCAGCACGCUAGGUAUUCGACCAAAUAUCUGAAUCUGAUUACAGUCCGAUAUUCGUAGGCAAAUUCGAUCAUCACUGGCAGAAUCUGAUGCAAACGCUGACUCAUGUACGCGCUCUAGUCUACGCUUGUCACCUAGAAACGCAUCUUUUUACACCUGUCCCGCAAAGCACGCGCAUUAAUUACACGGUAUCUUUCACUUGGCCAGCCUGUAGCUGUAGCUAUGUUCAGCGUCCAGAGUGGAUGCACUUUUUACUUGACAGCAACCAAACACUUGUUCUUGGUGGAAACUCAACCCACUUAUCAUCGAAUUUUCCAGGUAGGCGGCCUCAUGACUUGAAGUCAAAGUCGUCUAACAUGCAUCAUGCCAAACUGUCAACUUUGCAAAGAGUUUUUUAAAACUUGUGGGCCAUGUACAAGAGGUGCAAACAAAUACAUCGACUUGGCAAACAGUUCCUCUGAAAUAUAGAUGAUUGCCAAAUGUUAGAGUAGUAUGUCUAUUGCAGACUUCCAAUUUCAACUACAGGCAUGUCCGAUUUGAACAGUUAUGUCCAGUUGUAGAGGAUAGCCCGGGAGGUCGCCGGCCCGGCGGCGGUGGUGGUCGCGGGGGCGGGGCGGCGAGGCGGCUGGGGCGCCGCCGGCCGCAGGUAGCAGAGGACCCCUGGUUGGGUGGGGAUGGUGGCGGGGGCGUCUUGAUUGGAGUGGUUAGUGUGGAGGUGGGCUGCGGAGGCGGAUUCGGAGGCUCCCGCCGUCGGAGACGAAGGAGGAGCGGCGGGGCGGGGGCUUCUCGCCGGGGACAGAGAAAAGGCCACGGGAAGACCGUCAGCGGUGGGAAGGGCUAUUUGCGAGCAGUACGGUAGGAGGCAUCCCAUGGGGUGCGCCAUGGGAUGGUGACGGGCAAGGCAGAGGGAGGGAGGCAGGGAGCACAGGAAGGGGAAGCAGACGGAUUGCGGCGGCCCGUGAAAUCAGUCGCGGUUGGUCGAUGAGUAGCGGAGGAAGACGAAGCGUACAAACGAUAGGGAAUGAAUCUGGUACGUUGGCAUCCAAUCAAACGGCUGAAAAAAUCAACAUAUUUUAGGGAAAGAAUCUGUCAUCAGAUAACUAGCCACUCCCAAAAGAAAAGAAACAGGAAAACAGAUACGUAAGAGGAUAAGGACGGAGAAAAAAAUAAAAAAAGAUAACAAACCUUUUUCCCAGUCAUGAGUAAAGGUAAUUUGUUCACGACCUUACUGACAGGUGGACCCUAACUUUGAAGUGGUAAAAUUGUUUUUUCCAUCUAGCACAUGAAUGGAAAUAUGGAUGGAAUGACAUUGAGAAGAUAAAUUUCAAAUUCAAUAGCAUCGGAGGGAUUUCAUAUAAUUCUACUGUACUGAGGGAAGUCAUAUAAAUUUUGAUGGCCUUCCAGUGUGCAAAUUUGGCAUGUUUCUCUCUCUUCAGCAAAGGUCGUUCAAGGCGCGAGCUAGCUGUUUGCGUUGAUGAAAUAUUUGAGUCAGACGACCCGUGUGGUGGCAUCGCGGAUGCGUGUUGAAUCCGAUGUUCGUGGCCUUGCGGGCAUUGCUGAUCAUGGUUAGCCUCUGAGACAAACAGUAAACCAUGCAUCGGUUCUGUGCUGAUUAAAUGUGCCAAGAAAUGCUUCUUUACUCACACGUGUCCGACAAGCACUUGCCUUGAAUUGGACUGUAUUAUUCAUUUGCCCUGCAAAUUCGGAUACAGGCAACUAAUUUGUGUUUAUCCGACGUCCAAAGCAUGGACUUCGAGUCUUCGACUCAACGACAGCCAAGCAAUUGUUCUGGUCUUCUGGAUGGAUCCAAAAGCUAUGAUAAUAAUGAAAACUGCAUCCAUUAUCUUCUGCUAUACUAGAGAAAACUGGGAUGCCAGUAGCUCUCGUUGAGUCGAAGAUUUGGACAAAGCUAUGAUAAUAAUGAAAGGCAGGGGCUUGUUCAUAAAUUCAGCAUCCAUUAUCUUCUGCACUGCAAAGCCCCGUUCCCUGGUCACUUUACCUUACAAAAAAAUUUGGCAACAGCUGCUCAAUCACCUAUCCUGGGCUUUAGGGUCUUCCUGUGAAGUUAACACCACUUCAUCUUCCUUAUCAGGUACUUCAAGCGAUCUAGUCUUUAACUUGUUUAUUGUAUAGUUUACAGAAGUUUUCUUUUUUACUUGCAUGCUAUUCCUGAAAAUCAUUGCCUACUGAGUGUUCUUUUUCCGGCCUUUCAUGGUUAUAAUGUCAAUUUUAUAUAUAUUUACAUAUUUUUAUUGGCAUCUAAAUUCUGCAUCAUCAGCUAUGGACCCCAAAAUUUUGACCCCUUGUCAAAAUCUACUACGUUUUGUUGUUACUUUGUAUUAUUUUGGCACUUAGAUGCACAGAAGCUCCUUAAUUCAUCAUCUAAUAUCUUGUCUUUGGUGAACUUUCUUCUAUCUCAACUUGGCUAUAUUUUUUCCUACUGAAAUUGGAACGAUUAUAUUUAAUUUUCUUUUGUAAUUCAGGCAGUAUGAAGUUCUUUUGGUCGUUACUUCUUCACCUGACAUAUCUACUGUCUAAAAAAAUAAAUUUAUUACAAAGUAAACGUCUUUCGAUAAGCCCGUAUCAACAAGUCUUAGAUGAUAUAAUUGUUCUUAGGCCUAUUUUGGACUAAAUUGCUCAACAAAAAUAUUCCAACAAUAUUUAAUCUUGGCACACCAAAUACUACAACUGCACAACUUAUUAUUCUACAAGUUGCAGUCCUUAAAUUGUUGACUCCCAUGCAUAUUAUUGUUCUACUGGCUCUGAUGUUUGUGAGAAGCCUUGACCUUACCUUUGUUCCAUCACCCAAUGGCUCCUAUACAUUUGAAAACCGUACGGUAUCGUGCUUUUGCGCCUACGCGGCUAUUGCUGUUCAAUGCCAAAUACCAGCUUCAUCACUUUUCAUUUGCAAAUAGCGGAACCUUCGGAACACCAGGGGUCUGCGGUGGCUGCUUUGCAAUUGCAUCAAAGGUUGCGACUGUCGGUGUGCGACAGCUGUUCCGCGGUGGCGGGAACUCCAAGCUGGAGUUGGCCAGGCUUGUAGAGCUGGCCCUUGACCGCCGUUCCAGUCUUUGGCAGCUGGUAGGCGCCUUGCGUCCGGACAGCAGCGCACGACUUUGCCUGGCUUUGGGCGGGCUACUGCGCGCAGCUGUGGAGGGCGGCCGUGAGCGGGCUGUGAUAAGCGGCCGUGCGCACCGGCGGCGUGAGGCCGUGCGAGCUGCGGCGUGAAGCCGUGUGCUACGGCAACUAACCAGAGCUGCCUCGUCGUCGGUGUGGUGGCUGCUGGUUGGUGAUGCAGGUGGCGUCCACGGCGAGUGGCGAGCGUAGGUGCUGGCCGCGGUGGUUCAUCAUGUGGCUGUAGAGAUGACAGCGCCAAGGGAGUCCGGUUCAUCGAUGGUGUGGCAAUAGCUUCAUGUUGUGACAUGUGUGUUGGUCAGGCUGCUUGCAGUGGAACGCGGUGGUUGGCCUGAUUUACAUCGGCUAAUGCGGUGCGGAACAGCGUCAAAAGAUGGAGCUUGCAACAACGACAGCAUGUCGGCAACAGAGCUUGCAGCGGCGGCGGUUAGCCCGGCAUGGCCGGGGCUACUUCGACGUGGGACAUCGUCGAAAGAUAUCGCAAGCAGCGAUGAUGGCUUGUUGACACGAUAGUGGUGACCAUGUGCUAAGGUGGGCAAAAGAAGUAGUUGGAUUAGUAUCUCUAGAGGUUUCUGAUGAUUGUGCUUGCGGUGCAAUUGAGAUUUUGGUGACGACUUGGCAGAAGGUGGCAGAGCUGGCGGAGCUUAGGGUUGUAGGGCGAUGCUCUGUUACCCUUUGAUGACGAUACAUAAGACUGGUUCGUGAUGUAGAGUUCAGUGUCAGGUGCGGCAAGGCCCCUGCGUGCUGUGUUUCUUUCUAGUUGACGAGAUUGAGGUGAGGAGUCCAACGGUGGAUGUAGCGAAGCCUCCCGCUUUGUGUUUUCAUGGUAGCGACUGCGAGACAACCUUGAGUGGUCCGGAUCAGAUGGAUUUCUUUGGUCAAGUUGGGAGUGUGGUGCUGCAGCAAGGUCACCCCACUUUGUGUUUUCAUGAUGGCAACUGCGAGACAACCAUGAGUGGUCCGAAUCAAAUGGAUUUCUUUGGUCAAGUAGGGAGUGUGGUGUUGCAGCGACACUACGAUGACGGUUUCCACAUAGCGGCGACCUUUCUCGGCACAAUGCGGUCUACUUCUUCUUCGAUUUCUGAUGUUGUGAAGCCAUCACUAUGCCAGAAACCUUAAUUGGAGACGCGGUUCAACUGUCAUCGGAGAUGAAAAAAUUCGCAUCACCAAGUUUUCGUCAUCGAUGUGAAUCACAUCGGAGACGUGGAUUUUUCACGCCACCAAUGACCCCUGACGCGGUUUAAUAAGAAACACGUCUCCAAUGAGAGUUAUUAGUAACGCGGAUUUGGCAAAACGUGUCUCCAUUGACUUUAUCACAGAGACGCGUUUUGCCAACCAAACGUCUCCAAUGAUGAACUAAAAAAUAAACGGGCAUGAAAUAUAUCAUUUCCUUUUUAAUAGACAUGUUUUAUCCAUUAUAUACAUCACAAAUACUUUCACAUAUGUCAUAACAUACACAGUAAACAUGCACUUUUUUUUCUAUGAAUCACAAUAAAAAUCACAUUACAAAGCAUGCAUCUGCCAGAAAAAUAGCAGCCCUAAUAUAUGGUCUAGUGACCGGAUCUAGUGACAUCUUCAAUUUACAUUGCCUGCAACCAAUCCACAGAAAUGGGAUACAUCAGAUCAAUAUAGUACUCACAUGCAUGUGCAUCUGUACAACUGUAAAGGAACUGAAAGUAGAAGGAAUUGUGAUAGUACUACAUCCAUCUUUUUCUUGUUAGAACAAUCCUGGCACUUUCAGUCAAAAAACAGUUGAGACUUGCUAUAGCAGCUACUGACCAAUCUGUAUAAUUUACAUGUUUGAGUUUACUCAAAUUAAAACUUCUAAUCAAAAUCCUAUCCAAGUAUUGGGCGUUGCUACCAUUGAUCUGAAGCACAGAGAGCAAGGGCUUAAGUCAGACAGCUAUCAGGCACUUCAGAUGCGCGCAUAUACUUUGACGAAGUUGAUAUCAAUGCUUUUUUAAGAACAGAAUCCACCAUAUACUUUGGAGAAGUACAUAUUGCUGUUUGGUUUCAUAAGAAGAGGGGGAGAAGAAAAAUAGCUAAGAGAUAGAGUUCCUGACCUUGAUCAUUGUGGUUCCAUUCUCACAGACUCUGUGUAUAUCCUCAGACAAGGGCGGAUCUAGGGCCCGGGCUGCCCGGGCUGCAGCCCGGGGCGAGACCAUGGAGUCCCUUUAACAUACGUACUGUUUAGCCUAAUAAAAUGAGGCUUAGAAGAUAAUAUUAGACUGUUUUAGGUGUGAUUCAACAGCUCAGCCCGGGGUGCCCCUGUCCUCAGAGCCAGCUAUUUUCUAAAGAUUUUAUACUCUGCAAAUAGAACAACAUGAGUCCAGUUGAAAUUCACAGACUUUAUCCAUUAUAUAUUUAUAUACAUCGCACAAGUCAUGUUCUCAUGAGGUGAAAUAUCAAACUAUGUUCUCAUGGGAAUCUGGAAUGACAUGCUAUAGAUGUUACAAGACUCCUAACACAUGCAGCUAAAAAGAAGAAGAAAAGGUUGACCUAAGCCUGCCAUAGCUUGGACUGUUGGCUUCUAUCUGUCCAGCUUGACUCUAUAGUAAGGAAUCUGAAAUGAAUAAACAAUGCUAGAGUCAAACUUGGUAAAUAGCAAGAACCCUGGAAUGAAUGCAGUUUGCUCUCUGCAUAAACUUCAGCUAGAAUUAUGUGUUCAUUUCUAAAUAUAAAAAUAACUUGGACAGAGCAUUUUCUGUGUAUUCAGAUAUUCAGGUAUGGCACUAGGAGCAAAAGCACUAGCAGAUAUUCAGCGCAUUACAAGGCAUGAACAACUUCCUAUAGUAUAUAGAAAAUUCAAUUGUCCAACAUUUAGCCUAAUAUAAUUGAAAUGUUCAAUUAACCAUGAUACGCUACUUUUGGAACAGGAAGCUCUAUUUCUUCCACUUUACCUUUUUAUAACAGUUAUUAGGACGGUCAGAAAAUUAAUGUUAAUGGAUCAUAGCCAAAUAUGCAUUAUCUAUCUAUACUAUAAAUAAAGCAUGAAUUGCUUUGAAUAUGCAAGACAGGAAAAACUCACCAUUAGAAUAUCCAUUUGUGUUCACAAUUUCCUUUGCCAUAUCUGCCAUUUCGGAACAUUCAAUCUGUAAAAGUAAGAACAGAUCAAUAUAUUAGUAAAAGAGAACAUACUCAAGAUCAGAAACAACACUAGAACUGGUUCACAUAACUGGUCGACCAAGGUAAUUGCCUCUCAUGUCUGGCAUCCACUUAACAGUCCUUUUUUAAUGGAUCUGUAACCCAAAAUACUGAAGUAAUUAACCAGUAAAGAUUCUACUACUAUGGUUCACUGCUAAGUUAACUAUGCAAAAUAACAGUCUAGUAAUCACGGUGACUACUUCAGUGCUACAAUCUUUUGAUUUUCUUACAAAUUUUGUCUCAAUCAGAAUGCAAUUCAUGGUCUCACCUGCGUGUAUAUAUGGUCGAGCAGCUAGUGUUAGCUUCGAAAGUAACACACCACGAUCUCUUAAUGUCUCUAGUAUAGUGCAUGUCCACCCGGUGCAUAUCACAAUUAAGAAAUAUAUAUUGUUGUUUGGUUUCAUAAGGAGUGGGGGAGAAGAAAAAGAGGCAAAGGGAUACAGUUCCUGGCCUUCAUCAUUGCAGUUCCAUUAUCACAGACAAGAGUGUGUGUAUCCUCAGAGCCAGCCAUCAUAUGAUCUCAUAGAAACUCAAUGAGGGCAGAAGUUAAUAGAUGGCAGAUCCGAAACAACAUUAGAAUAUUGAAGCUAACAAUCAAGCAACAGAUAGCGAAACAACACCUCUGUGACUUGCCAUUAAACUGCAAAACACCUUCAUGUUUCAUUCCCAUCAUGUAAUUUGUGUGGGAAAAACACAUCUUGCAAACUAGAUUACUGUACCUGUGCAUAGCACCUGGAAGAGCUUGCCAUUCGACGCAGCUAGCUUAAGAACUUCCAGUACUACUCUGAAAUGCCCAUGUCCAAGCAUAGUAUAUCCAUCACAAACAAAAUCCUGCCUGAGCUUUGCAGUUGUCUUGCAAGCCUGAAAACGCACCAUACCAAAGCAUCAGUAAACAAGGCAUAAAUUCGAGUACAGAAACUAGAAUGUAAGUUCUGGAUUGGCUGACAACCUUUAAAGAUGUCUAUCCAGAUUUUUCUCCACGCUCAGCUAGGCGUGAUUUUGCUGCAUCAAUCAACCAGGAGCAGCACAUGGUACGCCAUCCGCAUGGAUAAAUCAACACUCCAAGUUUAUCCUUGUAUGGGAAUUAUUAUAUAUUUAAUUAGAACAAACAUUUCAAACUCGUACCACGCUAGAGUUGUUGUCAACACAUUGUCCCCAUUACCAAUCAGUAGAGCAGAGUUUUGCACGAGCAGUACGUAGAGCAGAAGAUGCAUGAGCCGCAGAGGGGAGGCUCGAGCAGUAGAUGGGCAGGCAUGAAGACAAAGGGGAGAGAAGAAACUACCUGGGUAGAGGAGGCAGUGCAUGAGACCAACUAUUAGACAGCAUCAACAUACUCGACACCAUCGACACAAACUGGAUCUUAAACAAAGUUGGUGACCGUAGUGAGCAAUAUCUUUCUGUUAGUUCUUUUCAAGUCCGGUCAUGCGCUGGCUUAUUGGACAUGUACGGCAGUUGAAGGUAAUUGUUAUUCCAAUUUAUUUGGAAAAAAGAACGAAAGGAUUUCCAUCUCGGAACAGAAACAUGUUAGCUUUUUUUUUUUCACAGCCACCUUUUCUGCCCUAUUUGUAGGUACUGCUGUCACAAGCAUCUUUCAAUUUCAUGCUCGCUCAGACAUUAAGUAUUCUGUUGCAUCAGUUUAUUGUUGUUCUUCUUGCAAAAGAGUGAAUGUACUUACGAUGGAAUUCUUUAUUAUUCUUAUUAUUACAGGUACAGCUCCAAUUCGUAUCAAUCAGAAUCCACCUUGUUGGCUGAACAAAGACUACACAAGUACUAUCCAACUGCACUUCAUUUUCCCUGAUUUUUUCUUGCCUGAAACCCCCACAUUGAAAGGUCUAAUUUUCUGUUAUGAUGCGGUUGUUCCUGAAGCUAUCUUACAGCAAAACUGAUUUAUAGACAUCCUCAAACUUUGUUUAUUUAUUCUUCACAGACUAAUCACUACAAUGGCCCGGCAGACCUUGAUACUUACCCUCACAUUCCUCACACUGCUCUGCAUCAUAUUAUCAGUUGCCAUGGGCAUCGAUAACGACUCCACCGACUCUGGUCAGAUCCGCCUAUGUUGUGGAAACCCCAGUCCCAUGGUCGCUGAUGCUAUUAAUCGGGCAUGGUACAGUGACAUGAAUUCCAAGUUUGCGCCAUCAUUACUGGAAAGCUCUGUCGAUGCUUAUGCUUGGUACCCUGACCCUGGACUACCCUCUGCUGCUCCAUACAUAACUGCUCGCAUCUUCACUUCAAAUUACACCUAUUCCUUCCGUGUCAGUUCUGGCCGCAUGUUCUUGCGCCUCUACUUCUUUCCUAUCACGUAUGUCUCCCAAGAUUCCAGUGAGAACUUUACUCCUGAAUAUGCCUACUUUGGUGUCACAGCCUCCAAUCUGACCCUUUUAGAUAACUUCAAUGCCUCCCAAACUGCUCUGGCAACAAAUAGUGGAUUCUUUGUUCUUGAAUACUCUGUAAAUGUUAUUGCCGGCAGGCUAGACCUCACUUUCUCCCCAUCCACACACCAGACUGGCUCUUAUGCAUUCAUCAAUUAUAUUGAAAUCGUGCCCACGCCUGACCUCUUCACAACAACGACACCAACACUAGCAAAUGGUGGAAACCCAAAUCCAUUCCCUAUCGAUCCUGCAACAGGUUUCCAAACAAUGUAUCGGCUUAAUGUUGGGGGCCAGGCCAUCUCACCGCAAGGUGAUAUUGACUUUUACCGCCAAUGGGAUGAUGACAGUCCUUACAUAUAUGAUUCUGGUUUUGGGGUGUCCUUUGGGAAAGACAAAAACCUUUCCAUCACAUAUACACCCAGUGUACCAAAUUACACCGCACCUGUUGGUGUCUAUGAAUCUGCACGGUCAAUGGGGCCAAAUGCACAGGUCAACCUGAACUACAACCUUACAUGGAUUUUACCGGUUGAUGCGGGAUUCUAUUACCUGCUAAGGUUCCAUUUCUGCGAGAUCCAGUAUCCAAAAACUGAGGUCAAUCGGAGGUCAUUCUUCAUCUACAUCAACAACCAGACAGCACAGCAGCAAAUGGAUGUCAUCGCGUGGAGCGGAGGAAUUGGCAGAACAGCAUACAGUGACUAUGCUAUUUUAACAAAUGGUUCCGGUCGGAUGGACUUAUGGGUUGCCCUUCACCCUGAUCUUUCGUCCAGACUAACGUUUCCCGAUGCACUAUUGAAUGGUCUUGAAGUCUUCAAGCUACAGAAUGAUGAACAUAACAGUCUUGCUGGGCUCGAUCCUCCCCUUCCAUCUGCAAGGAACCCGAAUGGUGCUUUACCAACAGCCAUUGGUAAGCCUGGUGGAAGAAACUCAAAAGGUGUUGCACAAGCAGCGGCUGGUGGAGCUGCUGGUGGCUUUGCUAUUCUGUUGUUUGCCUGUUUUGGCAUGUGCAUCAUCUGCAGGUGCAAGAAGAAUGUAGCAAAGGAUUAUGGAAUGACUGGAGUCAAGGGGAACAUGGAACCUCGUCAUAGAAACGUCACACCUGUUCCGGGAACACAGGAACAAUUUCGCCCUUGGCAUGUCACAAACUUUCGCAAGUAUCAUGCCACAUUCCUUGAUACUGUUCCUCAACCCGAUCGACCUGGGGACAUGGUGACUAUGGGAAGGACUAACAACAAGCACUUGAAUCAAAUUGAGUGCAACAAUAUGCCAUCAAAUCUAUGCCGUCACUUCACCGUCAAGGAAAUCCAGGCAGCUACCAAUAACUUUGACGAAACCUGCCUCCUGGGCAAGGGUGGUUUUGGGAAUGUAUACCACGGAAAGUUAGAUGAUAGAGUUAAGGUAGCAAUUAAGCGUGGCAACCCACUAUCUCAGCAGGGUCCCCAUGAGUUCCGAACUGAAAUCGAGACUUUGUCCAUGCUCCGUCACCGCCAUCUUGUAUCUCUUAUUGGAUACUGCAACGAAAAUAAUGAGAUGAUCCUAGUUUAUGAUUACAUGGCGAAUGGUACCCUUCGGGAGCACCUGUACAACACCAAGAAGUCACCUCUGCAUUGGAAGCAACGCCUUGAGAUCUGUAUUGGUACAGCUCGAGGGCUCCAUUAUCUGCACACCGGUGCUAAGCAAACAAUCAUCCAUCGCGAUGUGAAGACUGCCAACAUUCUAUUGGAUGACAAGUUGGUGGCAAAGGUUUCAGACUUUGGGCUAUCAAAGGCCAGUCCAGACAUGGACGACACCCAUGUUAGUACUUUGGUGAAGGGCACCUUCGGAUAUCUUGAUCCUGAGUACUUUCGAAGAAAGCAACUUACCCAAAAAUCUGAUGUAUAUUCUUUUGGGGUCGUGUUAUUUGAGGUUCUGUGUGCACGCCCAGUGAUUAACACUCAGCUCCCGGAGGAGCAAGUGAGCUUGCGUGACUGGGCACUGUCUUGCCUGGAGAAAGAUGUCCUCAGCGAGAUUAUUGACCCUCAUCUCCAAGGGGAAAUAACUCCUGAGUGCUUCAUAAAAUUUGCAGAGAGUGCUGCUCAAUGUGUCGCUGAUCGUAGCAUUGACAGGCCAUCGAUGAGCGAUGUACUUUCGAACCUUGAGGUCGCUCGCCAGCUGCAGGAGAGCUCAAGGGAUAAAAGCAGCGGUGCUGAGGCGAUGGCGUCCCGUGCAAAGACAUGUGUGGAUUCUGCAAAUCCAGCAAAAGACUCAACAAUGAGUGUCGCAGGACAAGAAGUCGUCUUCUCAGAUAUCGCAUAUGCUGAAGGCCGAUAACCGUGAGCUUCAGGUCUAGUUUUUUUAAUUAAUACUCAGGUAUCACUUCUGGUUAGUCUGUAUGGUCCAUAACUGAUUUGGUGAUAUUGUAGAAAUUGCAGAGGACUGAAUGGCAUUAUCUAAUUAACUCAUCAAUGUAUUAGAAAUUUUUCUUAGCAUCUUUGCUUGAAGAAAUCUAAGACGCGUGAAUCAGUGAUAUGCUGCAUACAUACGGAUCCACUUAGGAAUCAUCAAACCCUGUAUGGCUGCUUGUAGAGGCAACAGUCAAUCUUGCGAAUGUUCAAUGUGCAUCCAGGAGCUGAAACAAUGGAACUAACCUAGUUUGUUAAUGAUAUGACCCAUAUGACCAAACCCCCCAGCAUUUGAGUGAUUGUAGCUCUUUCUAUUUCAGAUGUGCUAUAAUCCUUGUGUAGGUUCACUUUGUAGGAACUUGCCAUGCUUGUCCUCAAACAGAGUUGAGGAAGGACCACUGUUCCAUCCCCACCGAAGAUAUACCUAGUGAUUCCAGUUUAAAUUUAUGAGUGGUGCUUUUUAUGUAGAAUCAAGUAUGAGGAAUCCAGUUUUCAUUUCCUUUGUUUGCUUCUGUGAAAGAAGAUGCCAUCUUCUAUUGGUUAUAUGGUCCCGGACAGUAGCACAGUUACAUUAACCUCCACAGUUUAGGCUUAGAGGUUAGAGCCUUUGUUUUAGUUUUUCUUUGUUUUGAAAGACCCCUUUGUUUUAUUGAAUUGUUCACUCCUGUCUCCUGAACACAAACAUACCAAUCUCUCAUGAUGCUCACUUCCUGAGCUGGGCUCAUCAGUAGCAUGGACGUCCGUCACGAGUCGUUUGGUCCUUUUGCAGUUCAGGCCAUCCCACUUGUCUGGAGCAAUCGACAUUCAGAGUUCAGGCCUGUCUCCCUAGGAUACUCCACAAAUAUUUUUUUUAUCGCUAAACAAGCUAUGUGCAUAUCGGAAUCCUACAGAACUAAGUUUUUUUUUACGACCGUGCCUUCUGCCUUGGCACGUUUUCCAUUAAGAGAGAAGAAAUAUUGUUACAUCCUAAGCUAUGUCAUACAGAGGAUGACACAGCUACAAGAAAAGACAACAACUCAACAAGAAGAAAGGAAAAGCAGGUCAAAAACAAUUGGAGACUAUACGGCCAAAAACUAUUGGCGACCUGAUGUUCAUACUUCGUAGUUCGUAUCGUACUAAAUUCGUGUAUAUGGUAACAUUCAAUCGAUACUCAUGUUUUAGUGAAUUCGUUGUUCCACUCUGCUCCCAACAAACUCCCAAGCAGUAAGCGGCGAAGACAAAUGGGCCAUCAAGAGAACGGCCCCGCGUCAGCUGGCGCCGGCCCGCUCGUAGGCAAUGCCUGGCCCGGAGAAGAAAAUCACGAAACGGUGGUUGAACCUGAUCAAUUACAGCGGCCUCCACGCGAGUGCGGCGUUGUACCGUUGAGCACCGGCCGCCGCCACGCGAUGGCCUACUGCGGUCGCCAAGAAGGCGCCCGCGAGCGGCGCCGGCAUUGGCACGGCCACUCAGGGCGAAGUGACGAGUCGAGCUCGAGCACCGAUGCGGGCGGGGUGACUGGAUGGCGCACGCACGCAUGAGUUGGCGUCGUCCGCAUGCUCAGGGAGACUGCGCACAGGCGAAGGUGAGGCCGCGAUCCUUUUUCACGGCGUGUUGCCACCAUGGCGCGCUUUAGCUGUUCGAUGAAAUGCCUGCACAGAGAACCAGUAUCAAAUAUGGAUCCGUAUCCUCUGCCUUUGAGGCCAACGGGGUGCAUUUCCAAACCUUAAUGCAUUCUUUGCUUUGUAGGUGCUGUAUAUGCACCUUUAUUAUUUGCACGUUUUCAAACACGCACUUGCAUAGUUGGCUAGUUGCAUAGCAUUGCACGGUGUCUUUACUUGGCUUGCUUGUACUUGUGUAAUGUAUCUGAUAUGUGUUUAGUACUUUAGUUAUACUUGUUUACCGUUCAAAGCAGAUGAACAUUGACUCGACAGCAACCAAGCACUCGUUUUGCAUAAAUCCAAAAGUCCUUCUGUCCCACUUGCAUACAUUGGACAGUAUCUUCCAAAGGGUCUAGCUGCCAUUCAGUCGAACCCACGACUGAGACUGGGAGGAUGUAAAUUUUGUCUAUGAAUGUGACAUGAGACUUCCAGCAGUCCACACAUACAGUUAUUAACAAUAAAACAUCAAAUCAUCAAUUUGAUGUACUGGAAAUGUAGAUGAUUGUAGGUGAUGUACUUUCCAGGUUUUGCAUUAACAACAGAAGCAUCUCUAGCUCUGAUUGGUUGAGUCACCAAUCGCCAACCAAACACUUAGUCUCGGUGUAACCCCAGAUCAUCAGGAUUCAUGACUUGGGAGUCCAGGCCAUCUCAAAAAGAAAAGUCCAACUUGUAAACCAAAUUUAAAUUUGAAAGAAAAAACAUUGUAGUCAUAGUUGAUUUGGAACCAUAGAUGAUGAUUGCCUAAUGUUCAAUUAGCAUGCCCACUGCAGCCUUUCAGUUCCAACUAGAAGCAUCUCUACUUCUGAUUUGCAGUUUUUCAUGUUAUAUUGAGCAAAUUAUGCAAAGGCAACACACCAGAUUGCCAAAACAAAAAGGUAAAAGGAGAAGAAUCUAUGCAGCCUUUUUUAGAAAAUUGAGAAAGUAGUAUAUCCACCUAAUUUUGCAUUAGAUUAUUCUUUCUGGCUUGGAAAAUUGAAGUACUAAAAUUGAAUCCCUCAAAUCAAAAUAUGAAAAUUAAUAAAACAACAGGGGCUUGUUUGUUGGCAAUGGCCAAGGUAAGCUCCCUGAGCUUACUCCCUCACACACACACACUCAGGCCAGAGGUAGAAGAAGGUGAGAAAGAGCACAGCACACACACAACUCUCUGUUGCUGCUGAACUGCGUGAGCUGCAGGCCUGCAGCUGCUCAUCCACUCUUUAUAGAGCACAAAGUCAAAAAAGAGUACACAAACCUAUGAGUGUAUCUACCAACUACUAGUACUAUAUACAUGACAGGGCUUACUGCCCACUACUCACGGCACUGCUGCCUUACACGGCAGACAGUGGCCAUUCAGGCCAUUCAGCCGGCCAAGGAGCUCUACCUGCUCCCCUUUGCAAAAGGAAGAGAGAAGCAAUGAGCUGAGCAAUUAACUAACAUUGUUCAUAAAAAUUUAGCAUCCGAUUCUUCUGCAAAGCUCCACCCCCUCAUCUCUUUACCUUCCAAAUUUUUUGACAACAGCUGCUCAGUCACCUAUCCUGCAGGAUAGCACACCUUCCUCAUCAGGUAACUUUAAGUUGUUAGCUUGUUUAUUGUAUCGUUUCCAGCUUCAGUUUUUAGCUCAUUUUGUAUUCUUUUGGCUCCUAGAUACACAGAAGCUCCUUAUUUCCUCAUCAGAUGUUGUAGUCUUUGAUUAACAUGCUUAUAUCUCAACUUUUAGCUUUUACUCGAUGUUUCUGUUUUAUUCUGUGAUUCAGGCAGUGUGAAGAUCUUUGUUGUUACUUCUUCACCAUGUGUACUGUCUAAGACCAUAAAUUUAAUCAUGAAUGUCUUUUUAUAAGCACAUGAUUUUUCUUAGGCCUAAUUUUGACUGAAUAGCUCAAAAGUCAGAAGACAUCUUCCAAAACAUUUGGGGCUGUUUGCUUCGGACCUGGCAGGCAGCUCUGUAGCCAGGCAGCGAUCUCCACCCCAGGCCGAUGAAAUCAGACGCCUGGGGAAGCUGCCUGCGCCAGGCAGCUUUGCCAGGACACCAAGCACUUACUAUUGUGCACCUAAUUCUACAAGAUGCAAUCCUUAUAUUUUUGGCUCCCAUAUUAUUGUGCUUGCUACAAUCAACUCAUGCAGAGGCCGAAAAAAACACUAAUCCUUUUCUAAGGAAAAAUUCAACUCUACUGGCUCCGACCAAUGUUUGUCGAAAGCCUUGACCUUACCUUUGAUCCAUCACCCGAAGGCUCCUAUACAUUUGAAAAUGGUACCAAAUCGUGCCGAUGACUGGCGUAUUCACAAAACCAGUUCUAAAACUUGCCAUUUGCCAAUAACAGAAAGGCCUUUUCCAGUAACCCUCUUCAGGUAACACCUCAAUGUAGGGUCCCACACGUUUCCACAAAAGAUGAUUUAGGGAGUGUUUGGAUACCAGGUGCUAAACUUUAGCCGUGUCACAUCGGAUGUUUGGAUGCUAAUUAGGAGGAUUAAACAUGAGCUAAUUAUAAAACUAAUUGCAGCCCCUAGGCUAAUUCACGAGACGAAUCUAUUAAAGCUAAUUAAUCCAUCAUUAGCAAAUGGUUACUGUAGCACCACAUUGUCAAAUCAUGGACUAAUUAGGCUUAAUAGAUUCGUCUCGCGAAUUAGACUCUAUCUGUGCAAUUAGUUUUGUAAUUAGCCUAUGUUAAUACUCCUAAUUAGUAUCCAAACAUCCGAUGUGACAGGUGCUAAGCUUUAGCACGUGGGAGCCAAACAGGCCCUUAUUCAACCUCUUUCACCUUGUUGGACAAUGUUUUUUUAGAUAAUGAAGAAGUCCAUUUGAUACUCCAAUUACCACAAGAGUUCGUAUUCAACUCCAGUACCAGACAGCAUUAGCCGCUGAACUUUGGAAACUGGACAAAGACCUCCCUCAUCCAAUAGAACCAGGUUUUGGUGCUGAGUUGGCAAAAGUCUCGGUAUCUGGCUGCUGACAUGGCAUAUUCAUGGCAAUGGGGACCACCUUUCACCCUUCACUUCAUCUCUUCCUCUUUUUCGAGAAUACGUAGGAGAGCUGCGUAUCUUUGUAUUAAGAAGAAGAGUAAUAAAAAGUUUUACAACGCUAGCCAACCGGGCACACGCACAUGGUUUGAUUACUUAGAGUUCUAUUACAUAGGAACUGAAUCAACUAGAGAUACUUCUGAUGAAGGCCAAGAAACUAAGAGGAUCCUAAACCUCCUACUCCUUGUACUGCAGCCGGCCAUCCCAAGGAAACCAUAUGCUUAGCGCCAGCUUCGAUCCAUACUUGAGCCUCUUCGAGGAUCCCAUAUGUCAAUUGUGCCGCAGUUUUUGUUUGAUUUCUGCUAAAUACUCUGUCGUUCCUUUCUUUCCAAAGUUUCCAGGAGAUCAACAUGAAUGUGGAGUCCAAUCCUUUCUUCUUGGAUUUGUUCAUUCCCAGCCUCUUUUGCAGCCACCAUUCUAUUGCUGUCAGUCCAGGACUAGGAGCUGGGCAUUGCAGGCUCAGCAUUCUGCUGACUGUGUGCCACAUCUCCUGGGUAUAGCAACAUGUAGCGAAUAAGUGGUCAGCUGUCUCCAAUUCCUGAUCGCAAAGUGCGCAUGCUGUGUUGUCCUGCAGCCCGUGCCUGUGUCUCCUAUCUGCAGUCCACAACCUAUCUCUGACGGCCAGCCCCAUGAAGAAUUUCACCUUCAGCGGCGCCCAAGUCUUCCAGAUAGCAGCAGCUGCAGGAAAAUGCGUCACUCCUUGGAAUAAGAACUGGUAUGCAGACUUUGCUGAGUAUGUGCCCGACGGGUCCCAUUUCCAGGAGAUGAUGUCUUCAGUUCCAGGCUGAAGUUGAAUCUCAUGCAUUGUGUGCCACAGCUGCACAUACUGAGAUAAAGCGUUAACUGUUAGUCAUCCGACAAUAUCUCCCUGUUUGCUCGUGUGUUCUGUGUGCUCCCUCCACCACAGCGUUGUUCUAGGCAGGGCCAGUGUGAUGUUGGCUAGGAUGCCUGCAACAACCCCACACCAUCCGCCAUUUUUCUGCUCAACACCACCACACGUCCACACAGCAGCAGCAAGAAGAAGAAGGCAAGUGCUACUUACCGAGUUACCAUAUCUUACCUUGUUACACUCUGCAGCCUUGUCAUGCUCCCUUGCUCCCCACUUCCUCAGUUCCCACAUUCAUCACCUACAACCAUGACAUGAGUGCUGGAACGGUGGAUCGUUUCCACCAGAGCCUGCAGCCUCAUGAUUCAUGAAGUAGCCAGUGCCCACAAAGGCCCUACGGGUGGAAGCCCAGUGAUGCAGCUGGUUUAAGGUCAAUAAAAGAGGAGCAUGGCAUUGGACAAGCCAAGACAAAUAUGAGGAUGGUUGUGGCACAGCCAGAGAGACUCACUAAUAGUUAGCCGGAAAAGGGCCAACUUUGGAGGACUGAAUCCGUUGUAGUCAAAUUUCAUGAUCGCUCUUAAUUAUUAUUUUGCAUCCUUUUAUCGUUGUUCUUUCUUUUUUGCGAAUAAUAUCGUUGUUCUUCUUGCAAAAGAACUAGUAUGCUUAAGUUGAAAUCUUUAUUCUCAUUGCAGGUUUUUAACGACCUGAAUCUGCCUUGUUGACUGAAAAAAUACUAGAAAAGUUCUAUCCCAACUGCCCUUCAUUUCCAUGGUUCUUUCUUGCUCAAAACCGCAGAUGAAAAGGUCUAAUUUUCUAGUAUGCUGCAGUUUUUCAUAGAGCUAUCUUACAGCAAGAUGUAAAGAGAUCUUCAAACUUACUGUAUUCUUGAGACACCAACCACUACAAUGGCAUACCAGACCUUGCUAGUUACCCUCACAUGCCUAACAUUGCUAUGUAUCUUGUCAAUGGCCAUGGCAACUGAUAAAAACUCCACUGGAUCCGGCCAGAUCCGUCUAAAUUGUGGAGCCUCCAAUCCAACAAGUCCUGGUGCUGAAGGACAGACUUGGGACAGUGACACCGGUUCCAAGUUUGCGCCAUCACUGGAAGGCACUGCUGCCACUGCUUCUCACCAAGACCCUGCACUAACUUCCACUACGCCCUACAUGACUGCUAGCAUCUUCACUUCGAAUUACACUUAUUCCUUUCCUGUUGGUCCAGGCCGCACGUUUGUACGCCUCUACUUCUAUCCUAGCACUUAUGGCAACUAUUCUCCUUCAAAUGCCUACUUUGGUGUCACGGCAAGCAAUCUGGUCCUUUUAGACAACUUCAAUGCUUCCCAAACUGCUUUGGCAGCUAAUGUUGCCAGCUUCUUUCGUGAAUACUCUGUAAAUGUUACUUCAAGCAACCUACACCUUACGUUCAGCCCAUCUGCACACUAUAAUGGCUCUUAUGCAUUUGUGAAUGGGAUUGAAAUCGUGCCCACACCUGACCUCUUCACGACACCAACACCAACACUAGCAAAUGGUGGAAACCCAAAUCCAUUCCCCAUUGAUCCUGCAACAGGUUUCCAAACAAUGUACCGGCUUAAUGUGGGUGGUCAGGCCAUCUCUCCACAAGGUGAUGUUGACUUUUACCGCCAAUGGGAUGAUGACAGUCCUUACAUAUAUGGUUCUGGUUUUGGGGUGUCCUAUGGGAAAGACAAAAACCUUUCCAUCACAUAUACACCCAGUGUACCAAAUUACACCGCACCUGUUGGUGUCUAUGAAUCUGCACGGUCAAUGGGGCCAAAUGCACAGGUCAACCUGAACUACAACCUUACAUGGAUUUUACCGGUUGAUGCGGGAUUCUAUUACCUGCUAAGGUUCCAUUUCUGCGAGAUCCAGUAUCCAAAAACUGAGGUCAAUCGGAGGUCAUUCUUCAUCUACAUCAACAACCAGACAGCACAGCAGCAAAUGGAUGUCAUGGCAUGGAGCGGAGGAAUUGGCAGAACAGCAUACACAGACUACGUUAUCAUCACAACUGGUUCCGGUCAGAUGGACUUAUGGGUUGCCCUUCACCCUGAUCUUUCGUCAGGACCAGGGUACUCUAUGAUGCAAUAUUGAAUGGUCUCGAGAUCUUCAAGAUACAGAAUUACGGAAAUAACAGUCUUAAUGGGCUCAACCCUCCUCUUCCAUCUGUUGAACCUGAUGGGAAGCCUGGUGGAAGAAACUCAAAGGUUGCUGUACAAGCAGCCAUUGGUGGAGCUGUUGGUGGCU
This 94772-nucleotide long non-coding RNA is filed under the name Setaria italica (foxtail millet). Its description in RNAcentral is "long non-coding RNA (SITA_LNC002261)". The record is from RNAcentral. Lineage: Eukaryota; Viridiplantae; Streptophyta; Magnoliopsida; Poales; Poaceae.